CCAAAACGACGUUGUUUUGGUCUCUGAACCCUAAAUCCAAAACGGCGCCGUUUUAUGGGGUUAUUUAAACCCAAAUUUUUUGAUAUCCUUCAUUUUAGCCACCCUCUUUUAAAAAAAAAUUCAGAAAUCCCUCCUUUCCUCUCCAAAAAUGGCCGGCCUUUGGAUUGCCAUAGCGCCGCCGCGCCACCGCUGCGCCCGCCGCACUACCACCGCCUCCGACGGCCGACGAAGCGCCAGAUCGGCGUUUGAAACUCCGUCACAGUGAGUUUUUCUCUUUUUUCUUUAUAUUUUCGUUAAAUAAAAAUAAAAAAUAAAAACAGUGAUAAAAAUAAAAAUGGAAGAUUGAAAUCAGAAAACAAAACUUGGAAAUCACCUUGGAGAAAUCUUUUUAUUGUAUUGUUGAUAGUAAUUCUUUUUUGGUUACAAUCGUCGAAAAAAAGAAAGAAAGAAAAAAAAAACCCCUUAGAUCUGUUUUUUUCGUGGCUUUAUAGUCGAUCUACAAUGUAUUUUUUUCUAUUUUUUUCUACUGUUUUGCACUAUUUCUUGCGUGUUUGCAGGAGUGGUUGAGCGGUGGAGCAGGUGGAGGUUGUGGCGCCGGUCAGAGGGCAGGUGGACGAGGGGACAGUGGCGUCUGAUUUGAAAAUUUUGUUUUUCUGAUUUGUGUUUUCUAGGCUAGGGUUAGAUUUGGGCUAGGGACUUUGGGCUUGUUAUUUGGGUUCUUGUAUUGGGCUUAGGGUAAAUUUGGGCUGGUACAGCUAUUGUCAUCCAUGGGUUACUAUAGAUGACUAAAUUACAUGUAUUAUUAAAUGACCCAAUUGAAAAAUAUAUAUAAAUUAUUAUAUUUUCCCUUCAAUGAUUGCUAUGUAUGUACAUAUAUAAAUACAAGAGUUUUGAGACUUCUUCACAUUCAAGUGAAAUUUCUCUUUGUGGAAAACAUGAAUUGAGAAGAACGAUAUAGUAAAGAUAUCAUCCAAAAUCAUGAAUUUUUGUUUUCCAAGCUUCAACUGCUUCUCCUCUUCAGAAAACGUUUCACAUCAACAAGGUAUGAAUAUUUAAACUAAAUCUAUAAGACUAAACCAAUCGCUCAUUUUAUAAACAAGUCUACACCCUUCCUGUUAAUCCUUCUCCUACUCUUUUUCUUUUUCUUAAAUUCUUUUCAUACAUACAUAUAUAAAUUGGGGUUUUCUCCUAUUUAAUUUUUUUUUGUACUUUUACAUGUUUUUCUUCUUAUUUAGUUAUGGUAUUAACUAUAAACAUUGCAAAAAGAUUUUUUUAUAAAAUGUCUACUUUUAUUUAUAUUCUUCUCAAUUCUUAAAUUAGAGAAAAAAAUAUGUUUAAACGUCUUCAAAUUCAUAUAUUUAUAUUAAUGUAAUAACAAAAAUGUCAACUGAACUAAAACUUAAGCAAAUGAGUAUAAAUGUUUUUUUUUCAUUGUUUAUCGAUUCCCAAGAAUGUAAAUAUUGUUUUCAUCUAAAAAAUAUAUAUAUAUAUAUAUAUAAGAAAAGAUUGCAUGAAACUGUGAUUCCACGUCAUCGUUAUUCCUUUUCAAUAGGAGAAUCACAUAUCAAAUUUUUCAUCCUGAUUUUUAGCAUUUUUAGUUUGAUUUGAAUUUUUUAAAAAACCAAAUUUGAUAUGUCAUUCUCCUAUUAGAAAUGAUAAGGAUGACAUGAAAUUACAAUUUUAUAUAAUCCUUUUUCUAUGUAUAUAUAUAUAUAUAUUCAUAUCCAUAAUGCAAUGUAUGUUGAUUUAUUUCAUCAAGUUUGUUCAAAAGUUCAAAUCAUUAAGAUUAAGAAAAAAGCGUGAUAAAGCUUAAAUUUUUUUGGUAAUGAAUUUAAAGAAAAUUAUCUUAAAGAAAAAUAUAAAUGGAAUUUAAUUUUUUAAAAAAUAUGUUUUCCUUUUUAUUUAUAUAAUAUUUGAAUUUUAAAGUAUCGUUAUCUUUAAGUUGACUCUCCUAAAAAUUAUUCAUGCAUAUCAUGGGUCACCAUCAUCAUUUAUAUAAAUUUUCUUUUUUUAUAUUUUUUAAAAAAUGUUUAUUUAUUUUUGGUUAGUUGGGAGUUUAAAUUUUUUUAAAACAAAUUAGGUUAAUUAUUAUUUUAUAAUGAUGGAAUUUCAUGUCCCCACAGAUUCACAAGCUCUUUGGAACCUUCAAGCUUUCUCAUAUGAUGAAUUGAAAAUUGCAACUGGUGGAUUUCGAUCUUCCAAUAAAAUUGGCGAAGGUGGAUUUGGUUUUGUUUAUAAGGUAGUUUUCUUUUCUUUUUUUUUUUUUAAAAAUCCUCAUAAUUUUCCCUUUUAAAAUUCAUCUUUAAUAAAUUAAAAUAUAUAUAUUUUAAAUCACAAGGCCUAUCGUGAUGGUAGAUCGGCUCUUAAUUGUGUGGCGGAGUUUGACCAUCACUCAUGAAAAUAAAAUAAAACAUAUUUAGUGAUCAGUCAUUUAUCUCUUUGAAAAAUUCUUAGAACGUGAGGUUUAAUCACUAUUACUGGCCUUUGGAUAUUUUAGAAUGGGAAAAUAUUUAAUACACGCUAUAAAUGGAGUUUUAAAAUUAAAAGUUGACAAAUGUAUAUUUUUUAAAAAUGGAUAUUUAAAAAUAUAUAUAUAUAUAUCAAUUUUUUAAAAUUGCUUGUAGAAUAAAAAGAAUAAUUUCUAAAAUAUCAAAUACUCGGUCUUUUAAAAAACCCUUAUCUUAUUAAUUAUUUUUUAUGAAAAUUAAAAAAAAAAACUUAGGUUCAUGCAUUGACUUCUUUAUUAUGAUUAGGUGUUAGCUAUAAAUUAUAAUAAAAAAAUAUUAAUAGAUGCUUUAAAGAGCAUUCAUUAUAAAAGAAAAUCUAAGGUAAACUAUUAAAAUAGUCAUUUUUAUUAUCUUAGGUUAUAUUUUAAUUAUUUAUUCAUAUUAUCACAUUAUAACAUUUUAGUUACUGAGUUGUUAAGUGUUAUUAUUGGUGUAACGGGGUAAGCUGAUGUGACAGGUUAAAUCAUCAUUUUAAAUAAAAUUUUUAGGUUAAUUUAUACAACUGGUUCCACAUUUUUUUUAACUAUUUAAUUUUUUUCUUUUAUGUUCUUUUAACUUUUUUUUUCUUCUUUUUUUUUUAUUUUCGUCUGCUUCUCCUUUUGAUUUCCUCCCUUCUCCAUUUCUUUUAACAUAGUUUUUCUAUGUCUUUUAUUUGUUAAAAAUAGUCCCUAUACUUUUAUUUUUUAAAACAAUUUAAUUUUUUCGAGUGAGGCGAACAUGUGGACUAGUUUUAACCAACGAUAAAUAUAGAAAAAUUAUGCUUAAAAAAAUGAAGAAAGGAGGAAAACAGAGGAAACAACAAAAGAUAAUGAAAAAAAAGUGGUCAGGUUACUGUUUUAUAGAAUUUAACUUAAAAUUUUCUUCCGAAAUGAUGAUUUAACGUGCCACAUCAUCUUACUAUUACACCGUUAACGAUAAUUAACGGCUCCAUGACUAAAAUAUAACCUAAGAUAAACAAAACGACUAUUUAAGAGAAUUGAAGUUGCUUAGGUAGGGGGUAUUUCCUUAUGAAUAUUUUAAUGAAUAAAUCCAAUUAAAAAUAAUAGAAUUUCAUACUAGAUGACAUUUUAAUCUUUUGUCUUAUAAAAUUAUUUUAAUCUAAUUUAGAAUUUUAUUUCAUUUGUUCAAUUUAGCUGAUAUCGUUUCAUCUACUAACAUUAAAUUUGGUCACCCAACCACUUUCUUAAUUAUUAUACAUUGAAAUGUUUUCCUUCAAUAUAUUAAAAAUGACAAAAGAUUCUUAAUUAUUAUAAUUAUAAAUUUUCCUAACUAAUGCUUCCAUCUGUUUAAAUUAAGUUAAAUAAUAUAAAUAUUUAAUACAUUUCAAUGCAUUCAAAUUUAAAAAUAAAGAAGAUAAUGCGCUUCAAUGCAUUCCAAUUCACGUCUUCCUGCAUUGACAACAAUACUCAUACCAAUCGAGCUAAGACUCAAUCGACAAUAAUUAAUUACCAAUUCAACAAAGUGAUGGAUGGCAUCAAAUACAACCAUUAUCACUCUCUAAUGUAUCAAAAUUAUAAAUAAUAAAGUCUGCUUGAAUGAUGCUGGUCGAGUACUAUUUAGUUAUUAAUUUGUUAAAAUAUUUAAAUUUAAUAUGUUUUUGUCCUAUGAAUGUUAUCAUAAUCCUUGCCACAAACCUCUGGUUAACAUUCUCCUAAAUUAUACAAUAUAAAUUCAUUUUAAAUAAUAUAUUUAAAGCAUUUAAGUGUCAUUUUCAUGUUAAGUACGGUGAUUAUCAUGAUAGCGAAAGACAGAGUUGCACUCAACCAUUUGAGCCGCCACGGUGGGCCGGAACCCAUUUUAAACUCAAACUUAUCCAUGGACUGGGUUUUUGUUCAAAAACCGGAAGAGUUAGAACAAAAAUAUAAGUUUAAAAAAUGAAUUUAAACAAAAUAAUAAGGCCUAUUUUUUUAAAUGAGUUGAGCCUUGGGUAAACUUUUUUGGCUUUGCUUAAAUUCAUAAAAAAAAUUCACUAUCAUUUAACUAUUAUAUUGCUAUUAUUUUAUUAUUAUUAUUUGAUUAUCGUAUAACUAUAAUUUUGUUAUUAAUUUCGUUAUUAUUUUAGAGAUAUUUACUAGCUAAGUUGCACUUAUCUUAAAAUUAUUUAAGUAUAUAUAUAUUUUUUAACUUUUUCUCAUUCGUUAGGAAACAUUUAUUUUUAUAUGUUAUAUUUUUAAAAUUUAUUUUUAUAAAAAAAUAAUAUAAAAAAUUUUAAUAUGCCCAAGUUGGACUGGACCUGGUUCGGUUUUAGCAUUUUAUUCGGAUCGGAUGUAGACAAAAUUUUAGAUUUAUUUUUUAGACCAAACCGAGCCCAAAUCUAAAAAUAGACCUAAAUUUUUUACUUGACUCGGCCAGUCAAAACAAAGAAUUUUCAUUUUUUAUUAAAAAAAGAAUUUUUUAUUUUUUGAGGGCUAACAUUGUUUUGGAUUGGGAACUUAAAGGGAAUACUGGAAGAUGGAAGAAGAGUAGCAGUGAAAGUGUUAUCAGCUGGAUCAAAGCAAGGGGACAGGGAAUUCAUGUCUGAAAUAGCUUCCAUCUCAAAUAUUAGACAUGAAAAUCUUGUAAAGCUCCAUGGUGGGUGUAUUGAUGGAUCCUCUAAGCUUCUGGUUUAUGAGUACAUGGAAAACAACAGUCUAGCUCAUAUCUUACUUGGUAUAUUUCUUUCUAUUUUUAGAAUUUCGUGUUCAUUUAUAAUUACUUUUACUAGUACCUUAAAUGUAUGUGUAUAUGAGACUUCAGUAUAAUCAUAAAUUUGGCAUGUAUUGACGUGUGGUAGGAGGGGAGGAAAAUAGAGCAACGCUAAGUUGGAAAGCAAGGAGAGAAAUAGCAGUAGGGAUAGGUCGAGCACUUGCCUACAUUCAUGAAGAGGUGAAGCCACAUAUUGUGCAUAGAGAUAUAAAGCUUAGCAAUAUUCUUUUGGACCAAAAUUUCGCCCCCAAAGUUUCUGAUUUUGGUCUCUCUCGUCUCUUUUUCGAUAAUGUCACUCACCUUACUACUGGAGUUGCUGGUACAUUGUAAGUAUAUAUAUACAUAUAUAUCUUAUCUUCCUCCCAUGUCCUCUCUCUUUUUUCUAAUUUGUUUUUUUAUUAAAGAGGUUAUCUUGCUCCGGAAUACGCUGUGAGUGGACGCUUGACACGAAAAUCAGAUGUUUAUAGCUUUGGAGUACUACUUUUAGAAAUUGUGAGUGGUCGAACUGCAAUUGACUUUGAUCUCCAUGUUGGCGAGUUCUUUCUUGUACAGAAGGUAUAUAUUUCUUUUUCUUCUUUUUUUCCUUCUUUUAUGAAACAUUAAAAUUUUAAACCUUCAUUUCGUUAAUAUUUGAUGUAUUGACGAUGAUUUAUGAUUUUAUAAUCAUGAAUCAAUUAAAUUAUGUCACAUUAUUACAAAUAAAAUUAAAUUAUUUAUCAUGCAUUUAGUGAUCAAGGGCAUAGUUAGGAGGCUGGCAGGGGUCUCGACGCCCCUAAAUAGAAAAAAUUGACAUUAAAGAUUUAUUGAGUUUAAUCAUUUUUUUUGACACAAUAUUUAGAAUUACUCAUAGAUUCUCCUCAACUCAAAAAUAGGAGGAAAAUGCGCUUUAGCGCACUCGAGCUCACGUUCUUUUGUAUCAACAACAAUGCCCAUACUAAUCAAGUUAAGACUCAACUGACUGCUUUUAGAGUUUUUUAAUUUUACUGUAUGUAUAUGAAAAUCCAAGAAAUUAAGGGGAAAAAAUUGUUUUUGUAAUUUAAGUGAGAGAAUUGGUAUCACUUAGCUGAAGUAAUUUAAAAUACAAAAAUAAUGAAGAAUAAAGUAAAAAGAGUAAUGCAAGGUCCGACACCCAAUUUCCAUUAACAUCAAUCAAUUCAUAAUAAUUUUAUGGUUUGAAUAUUUGUGAUGAAAGGCAUGGGAGAUGUACAGAUCAAACAAGUUGGUGCAUAUGGUGGAUCCAGUGUUGAACGAGAUGAGGUUCUGGGAACAAGACGUGGAUCGUUUCCUCAAGGUAGGGUUAAUGUGUGUGCAACAAAAAGCUCGGCUUCGACCCUACAUGUCCACCGUUGUUAAGAUGUUGUGCAACGAAAUCGAUAUUCGGAACAUGCAGAUAUCCGACCCGGGGCUCAUCACCAAUAUCAUGGAUGUUAAAAUUGGAAAUCCACGUUCAUUUUCUUCAAGCUUUUCCAAAAUGUUAAGCCCUCAGUUUCAAACUUCAUAAAAAGGAAUAUUAUAUAUUUUUAUUUGGAGAUAUUAAGUUGACUUUUCUUACUUUUUUUUUAAUGAUAAUUGUAAAUAGCUUCUUUUUGCCAUGUAUUUAAAAAAAUAAAAAAAUAGUGAAAUUUAAACUCUACUUAUAAAGUUAAAAAAAUUUCACAGAUUUACUAAAUAAUUACCCCAUAAUUUCUUAUAAAAAUAUAAAAGAUCAAAUUUAAUAGUAAAAAAUUUGAUAAACAAAAUUCCAGAGUAAAUUGAUUGUUCUAAGCAUUACGUUUUAACUGCGAACCUGAAUAAUGUGAGCUUCAACCAAAAAAUAUUAACUCAAUUAGGAAUAGCACUAACCAAAUUAUUUUUAUGAUUUAUUGAUCAGGUGUUUAACUUUUUUUAAAAAUAGUCUGAAAUCAAAUUUUUAUUAUAAAAAAAUUGAUAUAAUAAAAAAUUGAAGGCUUGUGUGGUCCAAUGCAUGUUACAUAUUUAAUUGGCCAAAAAAAAUUAUUUCAUUUUUUAAUUAGCCUCUUACUAUUAUUAAGUUACGGAUUUAGUUCCUAUUUUCAUAUUUAAUCUUUAUAUUUAAAAAGAAAAUUAAUUUUGACUUGAAUGAUAAUUGUUAAAUUCAUUAUUUAAAAUGAUAUAACUAACGCAACAUUACAGCUACGAUAAUAUAUUUGUCACAUAAUAUUUUAAAAAUAACAUUCUUAUAACUUAAUAAAUGAAUUUAAGAACUAUGGUUUUUAAGUUAAUAUUAAAAAUUCAAAAGGUAAAAAAAAAACUAAAUCCUUAACUUACGUAGAUAGGUAGAAAUUGACCGAAUUAGAAAAAUAUCGAAAUAUAAUACUUUUAUAAGUAUUUAUUAUUUUUGUUAUUAUAAUUUAAUUUAAAUUUCAAAUAAAUACAAAUUCUACAAUUAUUUGGGAGAUAAUACAAAUUAUUGAUGUUUUAGAAUUUAUAUAAUAAAAAAAUAAGAAAACAUUAAAAGAAAUAUGUGAACGAACUACUACCUUUGAAACAAGGUCCUUUUGUCAUGCCUGACCCAAUUGUCCCUUUUGACCUGCUUUGACUGUAAUUGCAGUAUUCCUGCUGCCCAAUCACAAAACAAGGACUAUGAGAAAGGAAUAAACGAAAACAAAAUUAUAAUACUAGCAAACCAAACAAAGGGUGGUCCAAUAUUUUUCCUUUCUGUUUUUUUUUUCUCAGAUUCCCCCCAUAAUCAUAGUCCUUUGCACUUUCUCCUAACAAAUACCCUUUCAGCUUUUUUUGAACCCUAGAAAAACAUUAAAUAAUUGUUAAUAUAAUGGAUGCAAUGGGCAAAUCAAAUACAUUGAAACUUGUUAUCUGUAUAUCCAUUUGUGCAUCCCUUAAAACACUUUUUCGAUAUUUGAUUGAUUUAAGUCAAUGAAAUGAAUGGGUAAGUAAAGAUGCAUGGUGUUUCAUGUGUUGUGCAGAGUCUUGCAUUCCUCCACCUGACAUAUCCAGAAUCGUAUACCUGGCUACCUGCACAACCUUAGGCAUUGGAAUAUCGUGUGAUUAAAUGAAUGGAACCCAUUUCUUGAUAUAUUGUUGUUGAAAGAGAAACAGUAACCUCAUAGUCAAAUCCAUCCAUCCAAUCAAUUCAAUAAAAAAACACUUUGUUUAACGCUUAACAUAGUGACUAAAUGUCGAGACCCUUUGCCCUCGUUCGCCGCUUGCAUUUUCCCUUUCUCUCUCUUUUCCUUUGCUCUUUAAGGUACAGCAAGCAUUAUCUCCUUUCAUCUUAGACAUGCCUCAUAUAUACUCUCUUGAGUAGGGGUUGGAGAGACAAGAUUUUGUGGCCGUCCCGAAAUGGAAUGGUGGCAACGUUUCAGGUCGAUUGCAUGUGGUGAUGUUGGCUUUAAUUCCAAAUACAAGGUGUUACAUUUUUUUUUGACGGAGUUUUGGGUUGAUCAAAUCUUAUAAUUGCUUUUUCUUUAUGGUUCUUUGAAACUGUUUCAAGAACUUCAUGCCUUGCUGAUUAAAGUGAAAAAUGAUUGGUUACUUGUUUUUGGGUAUCUUACAAGUACUAAUCUCUUAGUGUCAAGCUUGAGGCAUCUUACAGAUGAAUAUGAGUUAAUGAUUAUCAAGUUUAAGCAUAUAUAGAGAUAAAAUCUUAGCUCAUGUGAUAAUGUCUCUAAGGGGUGGUGACAACCUCUUAAUUUGAGUUCAGCUGUAUAAACUAUUAAGCAUUUAAAAGAUAUAUAAAAUUGGAUCAAAUUGUUAAAAGCCAUAAUAUGGAAGAUUGAUAUACUAUUAUCAAAUUCAUUUCUUAUUUCCAUUAUUCACAGUUUUUAAACAAAAAAAGUUACAGAUAGAGCAUCAUAUUACUGUAAAUUUCAUUCAAACUAAGUUGAACCCAUUUUUUAAAAACUCAUAAGAACUUCCAUUAUCCCUUUUGCUUUUGAUGCUUGUAUAUAAGAGCUUAAUUUAAAUGAAUGAUUUAUGAACUGAGAUUAUUUAUUUGAAAACAGUGAUAAGAUAAAGUUGGCAGAGAUCACAUGAAAAAUCCAUCAGACAAGACUUGAGUACUAAAUAACAAUAAUUUUUACAAGCAACAUAGGUACACAUAUGUACAACCUACAACAUUGUCAGUGAACAGUUAAAAGAGUUUCCCUGCAAUUUUUAAAGCUUUGGAUUUUCACUAUACAUCCUCUUGGAAAUUAUUAAAAACAGAAAAAGAAAUCAAAAUCAAAAUAUCUGCAGACUGCAAGAAGCUUAAGAAAUUAGUGCCUCUCUGCAAAAAGAAAAACCAGGUCAUAUCAAAGAAGAAGAAAAAAAACCCUAAUAACGGAUAUUAAGAUUAAAGAAGAAGAUGAGGAUGAGGAUGAGGAAAAUGAAGUACCUUGAAGCCCUUCAGUUUAAUUGGAAAGCAAGAAGAUUAAAACAGUAAAGCCUGCAAAAGAAGUAUACUGAUGGAGAUAUAUAUGUAGAAAUAUAUGCUUGACUCCUCAUACGCCAUUCACAGAUGCCAUCGUUGUUCGAUAGGUUCUGCGGAUGGCAUACAGGGAGCCAGGCACAUACAUGAUAUAUACAUGGAUGCCAAAACAUUUGCAUGGUUGCAUGUCAUGCUUGAUGACAAUGCAUGGAACAGUGCAAUAUGCAAUGGGAUGAUGCUGAUGCUGAUGUUAAUGAUCUUCAACAAAAAGCUCAUAUUUCUCUAUACAUAUAUAUAUCUGGCAUGGGGGAAAGAUUGAAGUAUUGAGUGAAGGGCAUGGAGAGAAGGGGAGAAGGAAGAUAUUUAUGGAGAUCUGAAGCCAUAAAACAAAGCUUGAAGGUCAUAAUCAAAUAACAAGAGCCAAAGGGUUGUGGGUGUUUUUUAUUUUCCACAAAUGAACUUUUUGAGUUGGCAUAAAACAAGCAAAGCAGUAGUUUUUAUAGGCAAACUUAGGGCAAAAGGCUUUAUUUUUUUGUAAGAGGGAAAAAUGGAAGAUGCGGGGUUGAAAUUAAUCCCUUCUUCCUCCAUCUUUUGACCAUUAAAGGUUAGUGUUAGAAACAUAAAAUUAUACCCACAGAAUUAGGGUCGAAAAAAACAUGUUUAAAAAAACGUGUUUUAAAUUAUCCUUUUUAAGUGUUGAGUAUUGUUUGGUAAAUUGUCCAAAAUUUUGUUUAAAAUAAUAAAAUGAGUUAUAUGGAUAAUAAUAUAAUUUAGUGGGAAAUUAGUAAAGAAAAGGGAAAUACUGAAUUAGCAAUAUUGAGAAUGAGGUGAAACAGCUUUUUACUUUAAAAAACAGGGUUAAUAAUAAUGGUGAAAAUAUCCAAAAAUAGAAAAUAUGAAGAAAAUGGUAGGGUUAGUAACCACGCAAUUUCCCAAGCUAAAGCAUGUGGUGUUUGAAAACUCCUUUUCUGGGUCUUAAAAGCAAAGGUUGCUUUUCUAUUUCUGAUCCUCUUUUUUGUCUUCAUCUGCUUGGAAAUUACUUGGAUUCCUCUAUCCCUCUUUUCUACCUUCUCCUCUCUUUUAAUUUUAAUUAAUAUUACUUGGAAAAUGAAAAUUCAAAGUAGUUAUUUUUGUACAAAUAAUUAAUUAUAUGAAAAAAAAGGAUCAAAAGUUUGAUAAUAUUGUACAAUAUGAAAGUAGUGUACCCUUUUUGCUUUGAGUGGUACAUUGUUUUGAUUUUAAAGGUGUUUUUCUGAUCAUUAUCUAUACCUAAUUAGCUUAAUUUUAAGUGUCUUAAUAAAAUAUAUCGGUAAAAGUUAUACUAAUUUUACAUUCUCUACUAAAAAAAUAUGUAAAUCAAUCUCUAUACAUUAGAUCAAAGAAUAAAUUAGUCAUUAGGUUAAAAAUUGGUCCACAUACGUCAACAUGAGGUAUACAUGGCACACCACGUGUCACUAUUUGAUUAUUCUAUUAGCUAUGUCAGUUUUUAACAGCGGAAAUGAAUGGAAAUUUUAACAAAAAGGGUCAGUUUGCUCUUUGAUCUAGUGUACAAUGACUAUUUUGCCCAUUUUUUAGUAGACGUGGCAAAAUGCAAUCUAACACCUAGUACAAGGGCCUCUGUUGUAUUUUUACCAAUAUAUAUGCCAACAAGGUUUUGGUAGUGUUGACAAAAACAUUACAAGUUCUUUCUAGAUCUAUUCUGACUUAAACCUCACAAUGUAUGGGUCCUCUCUAAAGAUGUCUUGGUUUGGCUUCGGAUAUAUAGCGUUUAUUAGUUGGAUUGUGCUCUGUAAUGCUUGAUUUUGGUUAUAAUUGAUUCGAAUAUGUAUAGUUUGUAAUGCUUGAUUUUGAUUAUAGUUGAUUUAGAUAUAUAUUAAUUAUAAUUAUAAUUAUAUUUGUAACUUUAAAUAUAUAUUUUUUAGGAAUAUAUAUACUUCAAUUAUAUAAAUAUGAAUAUUUUUUAUAUGCAAAUAUUCAAAAUUUUAAACAUCAAAUAAAUAAUAUUGAACAUAUAUAUAUAAUAAAUUAAUAAUAAAUAUUUCAUAUUUUAUUUUUAAAUGUAAUUAUGAAAAAAAAUUAUCAAUAUUUUUCAAGUUAUAAUUGUUAAAAGCCAUUACACAUUAAUAGUUAUAUCUAUAUUAAUAUAAAAUUAUUUGAUUAAAAUUAAUGUCAUAAAUUAAACAGCACUAACUCAACCGAAAAAAGUUUAAAACAUAUAUUUUUUAAUAAAAUAACAAAUAUUAUUACAAAAAAUCACACAAAUACGAUACAAAUGUCUUAAAAUAUAUAUAAAAUGAAUGAUUAAGUGUAAGAGAAAUAUAAAAUGCUUGAAACACUAGCAUACACUAGUAAUAAAAUGAUUGAAUAAUAUAAACAUAAAAUGUCAAAUUUAAUCAUAACAUAUUAAAAAGAGUUGAAAUUGGGUAGACAAGCUCGACAUUAUGAUUCCAAAUUAUACGGUCCAUGUUGUACUACAUGGACCAUCCCAGUGUCGUAGUGAAUUUGUAAUCCUCUAUUAAUUUUUUUAUUAAAAAAAUAUUAUAUAAAUUGAUGUUUUUUUGUGUCGAAUUAUGGAGUAUUUUGGGCAGUUUAAUUCUUCUUCCUGGUCGAGGGUAUCAAAAGACGACGAUUCAAAGUGAUUGUUUGAAGGUGAUCAAGGUUCUCCAAGACACUCCAUUGACAGUGUCGAGUUCUGCUUUGAUUAAGUGUAUCCAGCAACUUUUGAUGCAUGAUUGGUAUUGGUGCACAUGCGUCUCAAGGGAGAAUAACCAAGCUGUUGACUAGCUAAAAUGGUCUUGAACGGGAAAGAGGGUCUACAUGUGUUCGAUGAUCCUAGAUGCUAAUAAUCUUUUAUUUUAAUAAAACAAGUGAUGUUUUUGCUUGGUUUAAUAUAAUGUAACAUAUUUAUAUUAAUAAAAAAACUAAUUAGGACAAUGUUAAUAUAAAAAUAAAUCGACAAAUAUAUCGUUUGAGUGAUUUAAAAAUUGACAAAAGAUUUUAAAAAUAAAAAAUAAAAACAUAGUGGAGUGGUUAAAAUCUUGCGUUUUAGUUGAUAUCGUUGGUCAAAAUUAGUUUUUGGUUUCACCAUUAUACAAUUCCUACCCAUUAAUGAGAAAUCAUCACUUAUAAAUUUAUAUUAAUUGAUUGGUAGGAGGUUUUGUUGAUUUAGCCUCCAUCCAUUUAAAACCAAAAGUGUUCGUAGAUUUUUUUUUAUUCUUUUAAAGAAAAAAAAAGUAGAAUUUUUUCAUCAUUUUGCUAAAUUAAUUUCUAUACGUUAGAUUAAAGUAGACCUGAUCAUAGGCCGGGAAUGUUUACCCGAAAUGUGCGAGGAUUUGGACAAAAAUAUAGGUCUAAAAAAUGGGUUUGAACAAAAAAAUAAGACCCGUUUAAAAAAUGAGCUGGGCCUCGGGUAAGGCAUUUUUGGCCCGAGCCCAAACAGGCCCGACCCGAAUCCACUAAUGACAAAAAAAAUCUACUUUUUUUAAUAUUAUUUUCUUGUUGUUUUCUCCCCCUUUUUUUGCUACCAUUUUACUAUUACGUUAUUACUAUUUUGUUGUUAUUAUUUGGAUAUCGUAUAAAACUUAUUUUAUUGUUAAUUUUGUUAUUAUUUUAGAGACAUUUGCUUGUUAAGUUGCAUCUAUCUUAGUGUUAUUUAAUAUAUAUAUUUUAAAAUUUAUUUUGAAUUUGUUGGGAAAUAUUUAUUUUGAUGUUUUUAGUAUUUUCGAUGUAUUAUAUAUUUUUAAAAUUAUAUAAAAAUAAUAUAAAAUUAAUGUGGGCGUGCUGAGUCGAGUUCGAGUUUUAGCAUUUUUAUCCGAGUCGGGCUUGGGCAAAAUUUUAGGCCUAUUUUUCGGGCCAGACUCUAGACUAACAAACGGGCUUGAAUUUUUAGUUGAACCCGGCUGAAACCCAGCCCAUGCUCACCUCUAGAUCAAAGAGAAAAUUAGUGUUUUUUGUUAAAAAUCGGUGUGAUUAACAAAUAACCAAAUAAUUACAGCUAUAUAUCAUGAGUAUCUCAUGUUGACAUAUAUGAAUCAAUUUUUAACAGUAGAAAUAGAUGAUAUUUAUAAUAAAAUGACCAAUUUAUUUUUGAUCUAUAUUUUGAGUAGAAAGGACAAAAUAUAAUUUAGUUAUUAAAGUAGGAAUUUCUACCAUACUUUUAAGAGAGGAAAAACAAUAGUUUAGAGGUAAGUAGGAAUCCGAAAUUAUUGAAUAAGGAUAAAAGAGGUUGGUUAAAUUAUAGAUAUGUUGGUUGGAUUUUGGUUGUUCCUUCACGGUAGCAUUUAACCCCAAAUAGUGAUAUAGCUUCUUAUUUUACCCAGCACUGUGAAUAUCCCCAUUUGUAUAUCCAUGACCUACUAACCAAAGGCUUUCAGUAAUAAUUCUAACCUUAAGGGCACGUUUGGUUCGCUGUAUUGGAUUAAAGGUGUAAUGAAAUAGAGGUGUAAUAGCAAAUCAACUGUUUGAUUGAAUGUAAUGGAAUAGAGGCGUAAUAGUAAUCUUGUGUUUGGUUGAAUGGAAUAGAGGUGUAAUAGCAUAAUGAAAAAAACUAAAAUGACUAGAAUACCCUUAGCAUAAAUUUAUUUUGGUAAAUGAUUAUUGUUAUUGUUAUUUAAAUUUUAAUAAGAUUAUUAAUAUCAAUAAUAAAUAAUUUAAUCAUAUUUAAACAUAAUUAUUAUUAAAUAUAUUAUAAUUAAAAUAUAUAAUUUAAUAAAAUUCUUAAUAAUCAAUAUUCUUAUAUGAAUUUACUCAAAUCAUAAUAUAUGAUACUAUAAAAUAUAAAUUAACAUAAUUAUUAUUAAAUAUAUUAUAAUUAAAAUAUAUAAUUUAAUAAAAUUCUUAAUAAUUAAUAUUCUUAUAUGAAUUUACUCAAAUCAUAAUAUAUGACUGUUAUUGCUUGUGAUAUUCUUAUAUAAGAAUAAUUAAUAUUCUUAUAUAUUAUUCAUGUCUGAAUAUAAUGCUCUCAUACAAAAUUUUCCAAUUCAUAAUUGUUCUACAAUUUGAAAAAUGAAUCUUUUUAGAUGCUUAAUUCAGGGCAAUGUUAGAAAAGCAAAUAUCAAUUCCCAUCAUCAUGUCAAACCUUUAGGUUGAACAAAAGAGUAAAAAGGGCACUGCAGCUUUAAGAUUUGAAUUAACAAUACAACUCUGAUUCACUUUAGCAGUCAUUCCUCCCUAAAAACACAGAUAUGAAUGAUCAGUCUUAAAAAGAACAACAACUCAAUUUUACUAGAUAGAGAUUUGCAUUCAUCAAAAUCCAUACAGGUCUGGCAACAAAAUACCCCUCCCCUACUACUGUCUCAUAAAAGGAAAGAGAAUAAAAACACCACCUUAGAGUUCCAGAGUAAUAAUAUAACACUGUAUAGCUGACAUAUUUCAUAACGUUUUCAUCUAAAUUACAUGUCCAAGGACCAUGACAUAAACAAAUGCCUGGACCAUGCUUUACACUGAAUAACACGAUCGCCCAAAUAAGUAGCAUUUGAUUUCAGUAACUAAUGAACACAUACAACAGGUACUUCGAGUGCAAAGUUCAUGAAGUUCUUCAUAAGUCCACAUCUGCCAUUAUCACACAUUGUCAAUAGUCAGUUGUCGGUAUUGCCAUUUCGAAUUGCACGACAAAACUCAGCUAAGAAAUCCAUCUGUGAGCCAGAUGAAGGCCCAGUAUUGUUUGCUGGGGACAUCAUCUGAGGAAAAGCAAGUCAAAUGCAUAAGGAAUGGGGACCGUGAGAAGAAGAAGAGGUGAAGGAUGAAAGAAUACCUGAUGGGGAAGUCUGAAAUUCCUCCAGGCUGAAUCACUAAUUCUAGAGUAUAGAACUGGUCUUUUUGAAACAAGGAAAACCACAGUAAAAGGAAACAACCAUUAUGGAAGAAAAUAUCCAUCAAUAAACAAGAAUGGAAACAAGGUCAGACAUAAGGAGAAAUAGGAGAAACAAAAAAUAGAAAUAAAAAACGACAUGACAAAGGAUGCCCAAUAUGACACUCCCAAGAUCCUCUAAACAACAGGCAGCAAACACAGAACUGCUUGCAACCACAAAUCUAAAAGAAAGAGCAACAUUCAGCACAUUAGUAGCUUUCUUUAACAUCAUAUUAGCAGCAACACAGAGUGGUUCAGAAGCUGGUGGAAUUAUUUUAAGAAGAUUCAUAACCUAUGCUUGGGAUGAGGAACCUUGGAAUAUAUUAACAACAGAGUUCUUAGAAAACCAAUGAUUUAUCCACUAGCAUAAUUCAGGCUGGUUUGUGCUAGUCAUGAAUUAACUUGGUCCAAACUAAUCCUAAAUAUCUCAUAUGGAUUGGAUAUCUUCGAUGAUGCUGACAACCUUGUAAUUCACUCCUUCCAAUCCCUUCAACUUAACUUAUGCAUACAACAGUUAUCAAAGUACGGCAUCAAUCUUCGUGGGAAUGGUUGUCUCAUCCCCCAACAAGGAAAUUAUCUCAUAGUUAGCAGUUAGAGGCCACUAUUUUACUUAGCCAGAUCAACCAACUUCGACCACCUAGUCAAAACGAAACUGAUAAUAGCUACUACAUCCUCCACUUUUUCCAGAUCCUAACACCAUCAUUAAAAAAAACACUAUUGUUUUUCCUUGAACCAAUAAACAACAAUAACAAAAAAAAUCAAAAUAAAAAUAGCUAUCAUUCACCAAGAUUAACAAGUUAUUCCACAAACUAAAAGAACAAAGAUAAGCAUAUUAUGCGAGCAAAAAGAAAAAAAAAAGAAGCAAAAUAUGCUAUAGCCUAUAGGUACAUUUCGACAUAAAACUUGCUGCCAUACUAAAAUCCAUAUCAAAUUAAAUAACCUACAAUUUAAACAAUGACUUUGCUCUAAUACUGGGAAAUCACAUCAAUGCAUAUCAAGAUACACACUAAAUAUACAAGAAGAAAGACAUCUGAUAUUGAAAUACCAUCAAUCUGCAAAGAUGAUCUCUUUACAAUAAAGUCUCUAUAGCUAUUCAUACAAGAAUAUGUAUAACAGCUUCGACUAACAGCUACUAUUAACUCCUUAGCAGACUAUAAUGGAUAGCAAAUAGUUACAAUUGAACCAAUUGUAUAACAGCUUCGACUAACAGCUACUCUUGACUAACAGCUACUGACUAUCCUUAACAAUGCAGCAAUGCUCGUGCGAUCAAUCUCAGGCAUCCAAUAAGAACCUUCAAAUUUUUUCAUACAAAGAAAUACUAAGAACAACCCUCUACUUGGAGAAGCUAAAUAACAAUUAAUCCAAAACAAAAAGAAAACUAAAACUAACAGAUGCUCCCUUUUCAAAGAAAAAAAGAAUAAACAAUAGAAAAUUGUAUUCCAUCUUAGUUAAGGUUAUUCAUUCAACCAUCUGGGCUAAACCCAAUCAGAAAAAUCAGAGAAACAACAUUUACAAACUUUCCAGUUCCUUUUCCUUGGUUUUCAAUGCAACCAAACAGAUAUUUAACACGAGAAAGAAAAAAUAAUAAGAAUUACCUGGGAAGAUAAGAAUUGAAACUGGUUGUCUUCUGGUUCAAUUUUAGGGUAUUUUAUCAGCCCCUCCAUUGAUUCUUUUCAUUUGGUUUCAACAAAAUAAAAAAAAUUUCAAGGAACUACAACGAGAAAUAAAGAUAAUGAUAACAUAUAUCCGAUAUUCAUAACUCAUCACAGAUUCGACUGAAAAAAUAACUAAACGAGCAGCAAAAUUCAACGAAAACGAUAAAGAAAUAAACUGCUGAUAGAAAGGUAUUUGACUUACAGUUUUUGUGCGAAACUGAGAUUAAUAUUUUGGAUUCGAUCAAACAACAAAAAUUUGGAGCUAUAAUGAUACAAAAAGAAAAGAAAAAGUUGAGAAGGAGCAAAUCGGUUGUAAAGAAAAAGAAAAUAAAAGGUGAAGCCUGGGAGGGUAAAACAGGGAGGGUAAACUGAAGGAUCGCCUAAACGGAGCAAAAGGGAGGUAUUAGAAAUCGGUGGAUUUCACCGAUUAGGUCAGUAAUAGUUUAGCCCCGUAAUAGCAAUACAACGGAUUAUAGCCAAUACACCCAACCAAAGAUGCUCUAAGUGAUCAUCCUCCUACGAAUUGUCAAUAUCUUUAUGAGAAUCUUUUGCUGUCACAGUAAGCCCACCAAUACCAAUUUUCGCCUCACAUAAAUUUAUACCCACAAUUAAUUUCUUUUUUCUACUUAUUAUAUUUGAACUGAGAUUGAUUUCGAUUUUGGUAUUAGUAAACUUUUUGUUUUCUUUUUUAAAAUCAAUUUUAGAGUUAAUACAUACUAAAAAUGUAAUUUCUUCAAUUUCAAGAGACUAUGUAAAAAAGUGAAUGUUUUGAAUGGGAAUUUAUUUGUAUAAUUAAUUUUAAGAGGAAGCAUUUAACAUCUUCAAGUUCGAUUUUCCAAUUUUAACAUUGAUAAUCUCUUCUCUUUCUUUUUUUUUUCUUUCUAUUUUGUAAAUUAUAACCUCGAUCGUGAUAAGAAUAAGGUAAUCUCUUGAGUUUUGUUGAUAAAUGUCAAAUGUAUAUAUAUUUAUAUAGUAGUAGUUAUGUAGGAAUGCUAAGAAAUAUAUCCCAUAAUAAUAUCUUAUAAUAUCCCAAUAGGAAUCAAAUUACUAAAAGAUAAUAUACUAACACUCCCAUUUGGAGCAUGCAGAUCAUAAAUGUCAAACUUGCUGAAAAGAUAUUCAAAUUGCGAUUUACCAAGCGUCUUUGUAAAAAUGUCAACCAACUUAAUGAAGGUCGAAACAUAAGAAGGUGCAAUCAACCCAUCCUAGAUCCCUAACAAAGUGACAAUCCACUUCAAUAUGUUUAGUACGUUCGUGAAAUACGAGAUUCUGUGCAAUAUUGAAGUACCCAUCCUGUAGCAUGCGCUAAUUUAUGAUUUUCCUCUAUUGGUGAUCCUGUGGGCUCUACUCCCAAAAGACUCGCUUCCGAAAUAAUAUUAAGUGCAUAUUUCCUUUGACAAAGAAAUAACCCCAAAGAGUGAUGAGCUACCUUUAUCCCCUAAAAAUAUUUCAAAACACCAAGAUCCUUCAUAUAGAAGCAAGAACUCAAAUGCCCCAUAAAAGUUUUCAAAGCAACGAAAUCAUUCCCAAAAAUAAGUAAAUCAUCAACAUAAAUUAGCACAUUAAUGUGUACAAAUCCCUUAGUGUAUGUAAAGAGAGAAUAAUCAGAAUUUGAUUGAAGAAAUUCAUACCCUUUCAGUGCAGUAACAAGCGUCGCAAACCAACACCGAGGAGUUUGUUUCAACCUAUACAAAGACUUGCACAAACGACAAAUCAUUCUAAGCUUAUUAGGAGCAAAACCUGGAGGAAGCUUCAUGUAAACCUCUUUAUUAAGACCACAAUGCAGGAAGCCAUUAUGGACAUCCAUUGCUGUAACUCCCAAUUUUCGAAACUGUAAUAGUUAAGGCAGCCUGAACAGUCACUAUUUUCACCACAAGUUCAAAAGUUUCAUUAUAGUCAAUUUCUUCCACCUAGUGAUUACCAAAAACAACAAUAAGAGUUUUAAUUCUCUCCAUACUUCCAUCAGAGUUAUAUUUAAUCUUGUACACCUAUUUACUACCUAGUGCUAUCUUUCCAGGAGGAAGUAUUUCUAUAGACCAAGUGUCAUUAUAGUCAGUUCCUUCUACCUAGUGAUUAUUAAAAACAACAAGAUGAGUUUUAAGUCUCUUAAUACUUCCAUCGGAGUUAUAUUUAACCUUGUACACCCACUUACUACCUAGUGUUUUCUUUUUAUGAGGAAGUGUUUCCAUAGACCAAGUGUCAUUAUCCUCCAGAGCAUAGAUCUCCUUUUGCAUAGCAUCACACCAUCCUGCAUCUUUCACAACCUCUUUAAAAGACUAUGGCUCAACCCUUGAAGUAAUAGCUGCAAGAAAAUUUUGGUGUUUCAAAGUAAAUUUGUCACAAUUAACAUUAUGCGCUAUAGGAAGCAAAGUACCUGACGAAGGCUCUAAACCAAAUGAUGUGGGAGAUCAAGUUUUCUUUAUAUGACAGUAUGAGUGACAAAAUCUCGAAGCUUUCCAGAGAGAAUUUUCUCCCUAUGCCCUUGUCCCAAUUCAGGCACAUCAUUACCCAAAGCCCCACGUAUCACCAUGUCAUUAAAGGGAGAAGAAGAUACCAUAGAUGUCGGAUAACUCGUAGGUGGCGAACUUACAGGCUAUGGAGUAGCAAGUGAAGGAACUAUCACGAGUUACAACACCUCUGAGUCACCAAAAUAUGUAUUAAAAAUUGCGUCUGCACUCUUAUAUGGCAGAGAAACAUUUUAGGCUCAAUAGUUGCAGCACUCCCAUCCAAAUACGAAAAAAUAUGCUCAAAAAAUUUCACAUUGCAAGACACAAAGAACUUCUUAGAAUUUAGAUCAUAUAAAUACCAACUUUUUUUGCCAAAAGUGUAGCCUACAAAAACACACUUUCGACUUCGACUAGCAAAAAUUAUCACCUUUAGAACGUUGAUUAUGAGCAAAACAUAAGCAACCAAACACACAAAGAUUAUCAAAUAAAGGAUAUCUAUCAAGCAACAUUUCAUAGGGUGUUUUAUUGUGAAGAAGAGGUGAAGGAGUUCAAUUAAUGAGGUGAGAAGCAGCCAACACACACUCCAACAGAUUUCCCUGGAAACGCAAAGCACGAACUACAUUCAAAAUAUGUUGAUGUUUCCUCUCCAUUCUUCCAUUUAGUUGAGGAGUACCAAACACAAGAUGUUUGAAAAAUAAUGUUAUUUGCAAGAAAAUAAUCUUGGAGACAAUUAAAUUCCAUCCAUUAUCAUUUCUAACACACUUUAUUUGUUGAGAAAAUUAACAAUCAACCAUAACAAUGAAUGACAUGACAACUUUGAAAACCUUAUUUUUAUUAACCAAUAGAUAUACCCAAACAACAUGAGAGAAAUCAUCAACCAAUGUAAAAAAAAUAAUGAGAUCCACAAGAUGGAGUGUCAUAAAACGCACAUAAAUCACAAUGAACUAACUAAAAAAUACGACUGGCUUUCUAUUCACUAAUUGGAAUUUUAUUUCUAGUCUGCUUAGUACGAUGAUAAAUUUCACAUGCUUUAUUCAAAUGAUCUCUAGAGUUACCAACAUAAGGAAAUAAUUUACUACUUUCUUGGAAGAGUGACCCAAUCUUCUAUGCCAAAGUUCCAAAGAUGAUGAAGCUUCAUCCGAAAUUGCGUUGACUGUCGAAACUUGCCGAAAGUAGUAAAGUCCAUCCCAUCUCUCACCCGUUCUAAUCAACUCCCUCAAAUGAAGUUCAUGAAUAUCACGUAUGUUAGUAGAAAAUUGGGCAAAACAGUUCAUAUAAUCAUUUAAUUGGGAAACUGAAAUUAAAUUGCAGUUUAAUUUAGGAACAUAAAGAACAUGUUUUAAGUGAAUUUUGUUCGUCAAUUUAACCAUUCCUUCUUGGGUAGCCACCACAGUUUGGCCAUCAAGGAGACCUAUGAAACAUGCUACAACAUCUCUCACAUUCGUCAAACAUAUAAGAUCACCAGUAACAUGAUUUGAACACCUCAUAUAAAAAAUUCAAUUAUUCUUAAACUUACCAUUCAACCGAGUGGAAGUUAAUUGUUUAAUACCGAACACCGCUAGCAGAGACUAUCAUUGCUCAGCGGUAAAAUUAGGUAGUGUCGCUCCCUGGUGGUGGUGGAGGAGGAGAAGACUUGUCACCAACCAUUUAGAAUGAUGAAAAAAAAAUUGUGUCAAAAACCUUGCUCAAAUGUAUAUAUAUUUAUACAGUAGUAGUUACAUAGGAAUCAAAUUGCUAAAAGGUAAUAUCUCAUAAUAAUAUUCUAUAAUAUCUCAUUAGGAAUCAAACUGCUAAGAAAUAAUAUCCUAUAAUAUCCCAUUAGGAAUCAAAUUGCUAAAAGAUAAUAUCCCAUAAUAAUAUCCUAAUAGAUCAUAUUACACUUUUUCUCUUAAUUUUAUUUUUAUUUAAAGGCAUAUAUUGAUUAGCAAAUUAUUUUUGUUAAGAUUAUAGACUGGUUUAUGUACGUCAGCAUGAGGUGCAUAUGGUACAUAACUUGUAAUUAUCUGGUUAUUUCAUCAACGACGUAAAUUUUUAACAGUAAAAAUAAAUAAAAUUUUUAACAGAAAUAAUCAAUUUACUUUUUGAUCUAACAUAAAUAAAGAUAGAACAGUUAUAUUUAUACAUGAAUUUUGUAUAAAUUUAUAACUCUGUUAAUAUUUAGUGUCAUAAUAACUUGUUAAUAAGAUGUUAUUUUGUGGUUGAGUUGUGAAUAAAAUGAAUGGUAUGAUCGGUUAAGAGAUUGUAGGAUCUGGAUUGAGAAUCUCGACGUGUCUGCAAGGUCUUUUGGACCGUAUCGUUAAUGUCUUUGCCUCAAGGUGAGUGAGUUUCUGACAACAAGACACCGACCUUUGCCUCUAACCUUGCCACCAUAUUUUGUUUCGUCAAGGUGGAUUUGCCUUUUCAACAUGACACUGCUUGUAGUGCUCCUCCUCUGCCCUUUCUCUCUGUGAUCCGUAUGUUAACGGAUGGUGUUGCCCGCUUCGGUUCUGUUUUCGGGUCUUUUAUCUUUUCUACUUUCAGGCCUUUUCUGUAAGGGUGAGCUUAUAAAUUCAGUGUUUCGAGGUAUGGAUCUUGUACUAAUCUGUUGUAAUUUUCUACUUGGAAUGAAUUAUUUUUUCUCAUGAUGAAAUAAUUUGGUUAACUAACAAAUAUAGGAAAAGAAAGUAAUCAUUCAAUUCAGUACAUUCAUUGUUAUGUUCAGUGAUUAUGAAACUAUAUCUAGAAAACUGUUUUCUUCCAUCGCAAUUCCAAGGAGAAAGAUGGGAGCAAUGGGUGGUCCUAUCAUAUUAAUUGAUAAUAUAAUUUUAAGAUAAAAAUAUAAACUAAAAAAUAAUUAAAAAUAUAACUUGAAAUAUAAUAUGAUAUAAAAAAACAUCAACAUAAUAUGAUUAUCAACAUAAAAUAAGCCUAAGCUCAAAAGUCCAUUCGUACCAAUUUGAACUUAUUACAAUCUGAACCCGUAAUAAAAUUGAGCUCGAGAAAGCUCAAACCCGUAACAGAUUCAAACUCAAGAUCAAUCUGGCCUAACUUCAAGAUAAAUUCAAUCCAAAGCCCAAAAAAUCUCGAAUUUAUAAUUGAACAAUCAUAAUAAGUAUUAAUAAUUAUUAUAAUUUUAUGACAUUAUAUAAAAUAAAAAUAAAAUGUAAAUAAAUGACUAUAUUUUUUCAAAAUGUUUCAUAAGCAUAUUGCAUAUUGCAUAUUUAUAUUAAAAUUAUUAAUAGGAAAAAUAAUUAAUAAUAAUUUUUUAUGUUAAAUUAUAAAGUGAAAUAAAAUUUUUAAAAAUAUUAAUUUAAUACAAAUAAUUUGAAUACUAUAAUUAUAUAUGUAUAAAAAAUAUAUAAUAAUUAAAAUAUAUAAAAUUAAGCUUUAAUGCUAAUAUUGUAAUAUAUUAUAUAACUAUUACCAAAAAUUGAAACUGAUUACCUAACCCGACUUUAAACCAAUUGAUAUAUUACUAAUACAUAAUACAAUAAUAUAUUAUAAUGUAUUAGUAUUACUAACACAAAAUAAUAUAACAUAUAAUUAUUUCUAAAAAUAUUAAUACAUAUAUAUAACUAUUAUUAUACUAUAGAUUAUAAUAAAAUAUAUAGUAUAAAUGAUAUUAUAAUGUUUAAUUAUCAGUGCAUAUAUAUAAAUUAUUAAUUUAUUAUAUGAUAUGAUAUAACACUAUAUAAUAUAUUAGGAGGGAUAAUUUUUAAAUAUACAAAAAGUAUAGGGACUUAUAUCAUAUUUUGACCAAUAUAAUAGUAAACAAUAAUGUUUAAUAAUUAAUAUAUAAUGUACUACUGUUAUAUAUAACUAUAAUUAUAUUAUAAAUUAAAAUAAAAAAUAUAGUAUUGCGUGAUAUUAUAAUGUUUAAUCAUUUAUGCAUAUAUAUAUAUAUAAACUAUUAAUAUAUAUUAUAUACUAUACCGUAUGAUGUAGAAGUAAUAUAAUAUAGUAAAAGGGUUAACUUUCAAAUGUAUGAAAAGUAUAGGGACUUAAAGCAUAUUUCAACCAAUAUAAUAAUAAGCAAUAAUAUAUGAUAAUAAUUAAUAUAUUAUGUACUAUUUUUAUAAUUAAAAAGCAAAUUCAGUAAUCAACACAAAUUACAAAAUCUAUAAUCUCACACUUAAUUUAUAUAAUAUCAUAAAAUAAUAAAUUUUACAUACAAUAAGCACUUUAAUUAUUUUAUAUAAAAGAACUUUAUUAAAUAUACAUAAUUUAUACUUUUUAUAAGGCAAAAUUGAGUUAUGUUGUUAUCCUAUAAAAAUAAAAUAAAUUAUUACAUUCGAAAUUAAAAUAUUUAUAAUUAUAAAAUUCAAAUUAUUUAAAUCAAUUAGAGUUCACCCGACUUGAUUUGAAUUUGAAUCCGAAAAAAUCUAAAUUCAAAAGGGUCUGAGCUUAAAAAAAUUUAAGUGAUCUAUAACAUAUUUGAGACCGAGAAAAUCAAACCCAAAUUAAUUUAAACCUUAAAAAAUUUAAGUCUGAAAUAAGCCUGAUCCGAGCUUACUCAUUUCUGAGCUGUAGUAAGGAGAAAAGGAGAUUGGAAAGGAGAAACCGUAAUGUUUCUAUAAAGAAAAAAUAGGAAUAUUUUAUUAUCUCAUUAUUAUUCUGUGUUUAAUAUAUUAAUUUUUCCUUUUAGUUUAUCACUUUUGAUAUCCUAUUAUUUGAUAGUUAUAUUGGAAUUUGAUUAUUUUAGAGUUUAUUCCAAUCGAAGUUUAAAUGAGAAUAUAUUUUUUAAGUUUUUUUUUUAAUUAUAAAACUCGAACUUAAACUCACUUAAAUAGUAUGCUAACUCUUUACCUCUUCUUCCAACAAAUAAUUCUAUAUUUUGUUGAAGCUAAAGUAUUGAUUAUUCAAUUAAAAUAAAAAUAUUUUAUAUUUUUAUAAUUAAAAUUUUCAUUAUUAAAAAGCAAAUUCAGUAAUCAACACAAAUUACAAAAUCUAUAAUCUCACACUUAAACAAGCUUGUCUGAAAGGUGGUUGGAAAGUCUCCACAAAUAUUCUCCAUAUAUAUAUAUGCGAGUACAUAAGGUAGCUCUUGUCACGUAGUAACGUAAAAAAGACAGAUGAAAGUAUGCAAUGGCAAUAAUAUGUCUACAUGCUUCUUCUGUAAUAAAACAAUAACAAAAGUUAAACAACUCCAUGGACAAAGCAUUGGAAGCAAUAAACAAAAAUAAUAUAAUAUGAAAAAACCCAAGGAAGCAAAGCCUUGAUCAAUAGAAAUGGAAAGAGCCUUGGGGAAGAGAGAGAGAGAGAGAGUAUAAGAAGAAAAGGCUGCAAAGGAAAAAGGAAUUUGGUUUCCUUGUUUGUAGAAAAUGGCAACUGAUGAAAUAAAGGAAGGAAACCCUAAUGUUAAUUAUGGAAUAAAAAAGAGGGAUACUGUUUAUCGUGUAGAGUGUUGGAACCAAUCAAGUGUGAGAAUCUUGGUGUCAGUAUAAUGGGGUUUUCUCUGCUUCUCCCUUUUUUCCACAGAUUUUCUUUUAUAAUAAAUAUUUUUGUUUUUUCUUUCGAAAAUACAAGGAAUUUUCUACCAUUAUUAUAUAAAAACUUUGUGAAUCAAUUUUGUUUUUCUUUUUACAAUAUUGUUGCCUCGAACAGCACAAACUCGAAAACACUGUUUUGGUGAAUUAUGAGAAUGACGAUGAUGAGGUAUCUGUCUCUCUCUAUUUCUCUUUGCAGAGAGUCAUGUGCUCUGCAUUUUUUCACUUUGGUUUGCCUUUUGGAGUUAUGUAAUUCGUUGGUUUUUUUUUUUACUAUUAUAUACUAACAAGUAGAUAUUUAUUAAGGUUUUCAGUAUUAGUUCGAUGGUUAAAUCGAAUCGAUCAUUGAUUCAUAUAGUUUGAUUACGAAAGAACAAAAUUAAUAUUUACAAAUAAAUUUGAGUAGUGUUAACAAUCAAUGCCAACUAGCUUUUAGAUAAUUUAUGAGAGGCUUGGUUGAUAUCUAUCAUGUAGAAGUUAAAAGCAGAUGCUUAAACGGUUGAAACUAGCUUGAGAGCGGAGAUUUCGAUAGGUAAAAGUGGAAAUUGACAAUACUCUCUUAUUAGAAAUUUUGCGUUCUGGUUUUGUUUGUGUAAACAAUAUAGUGGAAGUCAGAUUGCUCCACACUUGGAUUGCUAAGGAUUGGUAAGUGAAGCUUAGACUUUUAUCGAGAGAUGGCAACAGAGUCACUGACUGCUUGGCUAAGGAAAUCUCGAGAAGCUUGAACCAAGUAAUCAUCCUUGAUGAAUAUCCGAUCUAUGUGCAACGUCUAUUGAAAAUUGACACUUAUCAUGCAAUGUCUGAUGUAAUCAACGAAAAUUAGACUAGUUUUAUUUUAAUAUAAUUUUUUCUUCUACCAAAAAAAUAAAAAAUCAAUGCCAACUACUCCAGGCAUGAAGUAUGAACAAGGUAGAAAAACAAAAACACACACGAUAUGUUAUACAAUUCAAUUUUCUUAUUUUAUGGGGUCCUGUCCAAAGACAUAAUUCGUCCAAAGACAUAAUUCAUUAUCUUAGUAACUCGUACAACAAAGUGAUUAUAAUUUUUAACACUCACUUUUGUAUCUAAAAUCUAAAUAUUUCCUCCUCUAAGCUUCCUCACUCAAAGCUUAGAACAUUAACCAAGUGACUUAUUUGAUUUUAUACUUAAUGCAUGCAUAAGAAAUGUUCCUCAAUGAACAUAAAUAAGUGCUCUCAUAUCAGUACAUUAACUAUACAAGUCGCCUAAAUUUAUAAGGAAUCGAGAAUUAUCAAUAUACCAUAUAAAUUACAAUUAAUUUUCUUAUAAAACUAGUAAGAUAAUAAGUAUAAAAAAUAUAUCUAAUGAGCUUAGAAUAAUUAUUAAAAUAAUUAAUAUAUAUAAUAUUAAAAAAUAAAAUACUUUCAAAUCAUUUUAUAAUAUUAAAAAGUAUAAUAUGUACAAACAGUAGAUUUACACUUUUUUAUUCUUCAAUCUUAAUUUAAUUUAAUCUCUGCUAAUCGAUGUAACUCAUAUUUUGUGUAUACCUCCUCUUUUUUAUGUUUUUUUUUCAAUAAAAUAAUUUUAUUAUAAAUUAAAAACAAAAACUCACAAAUAAAAGCACAAAUCAACGAGCAAGAAAUGUGGGUUUUUUCUUAAAAAUAAUACUAAAAAAUAAUUAAAUAUAAAAAUAGCGUGGGAAAUAGAUUAAAUAGAAAAAUGGAGUGCUUUUUUUAGUGCUUUUCUAUGCAAUCUAACUGGUUGACAGCAUUAUUUUUUUUAAAUAAUUUUUUAUUGGUGUUGCCUGACACAAUAAUAAUAUUGAAAUAAAGUACAAUGAAUCAAAACAUUCACGGACUUGAUAUGAAACAUUCCCUUUUAAAUUGGUUGGUGUAAAAAAAAAAAGUUAAAGGUAGUGCAUGAUAACGUGACAACAUCGACACGAGUGAUAAUUGCUUCAUGAACCCUUCUAUUUAAAUUUUUUUAAAAAAAUAAAAAAUCUGAAAAAUAAUUAAAAAAAACUAAAAAUUAGGGAAAACUUUAAACUAUAGAAAACAUCACAUCUGUUUUUCAUACCAUUUUUGUAUUUAAUUAUUUUUUAAUAUUAUUAAAAAAAACCCAAGAAAUGUAAAUAGAGUAGAUGACGCCACAAGGCCACAAAUGUUGAAGCAAACAGUACAAAGAGAGGCAGUGAUCUAGAAAAAAGCUAAAAACGAAGAUUAAAGCCAAGCAAAGAACUGAUCACGAGAAAGCCCUAUUUUAGCAAUUCCAUCUACAAAGCAGUUCAAAACAUGGUUGGUAUGGAUGAAAUCUACUUCUCCAAUUUCUCCAGUAAGAGUCAAUAUCUUGGAAGGAAAAAUCCAGAGUUCUACAGCCUACGAUCAGGUUAGUGAAAACUUUUGGGGCUCCAAACGUAGAGCGAGAGAGAAAAGUGAGAGUGAGUUGAUUUGGUUAACUUGAGGAAAUGACGAAUUUCACAUACAAGCAAAAGGAUCAAUGGCAAUUUUUUAAAUUUUUUUAAUUUUUAAAGUACAAUAUGAAAGUCAAACAUAUGCAAAAUUAAGAAGACUUCGGCAAAAAAGAAUCAUGCAUUUUAACAAAAUUUUGAAUGUGAUAUUUAUACUUUUAAUUUGUUCAUUUUAGUAUGUACAUUUAUUUUGUUUAUGAUCAUUAUGGUAUUUUGUUCUAAUGAUGUUAAUUUUUUACAUAAAUUAACACGUGAAAUGGUUAAAGAGUCUCACGUGAUAUUUUUGAAUCGAAGAAAAAAAACUAAAUGAUCAUAAUAAAGGGACUCACGUAAUUCUUUUUUUUUUCCUUUUUAGACAAAAUAUUUAAAAGCCAAACCACAUCAUCUCGAUUUUCUUUGUUUAGUCUCGAGUAUAUCUUGUGUUUGAAAUCAAUUAAGAUUAAGGUUCGUUUGUUUCACUGAAAAUGACUUCUAAAAAAUGAUUUCUGGAAAAUUAUUUAUUUUUCUGGAAAAGCUAAUAAUUUCUGUUGUUUGGUAGAUUUCUUUAAAAUAUUUCAUAAAAGUUGUUUUCAAUUAAACAAACAUACAUUUGAGAUUUUCUUACUUUUUCAUUGUUUAAUUAAAUUUAUUUUUAUCUAUAAUUAUUUUUGCAUAUAUUAAAAAUAUUAUGUUAAAUUCAGAUUCAUUACAAAGUCAUUUUUUAAUAACAUGACUACUAAGUGAGUAUUUUUUAUUUAAAAAUGUGACAUCAACAAAAUUGAUAAAAAAAAAUUAACUAUGUCAACAAUUGGACUUGAUUUUAAAUUUGAAAAGUAAAGGGACUAAAUUCUUAAAAGUAAAAGUACAAAUACUAAGUUACAAAUCUGUGAAGUGUACAUAGAUUUAUGACAUAUUUUAACCUUUAUACUACAAAAUAUUUAUUAUUAAUAUAUUUAUAAUUGUAAUAAAUAUUUAUUAUUAAAAUAUUAAUAUUGAAUAUUUUCAAUAAUAUGUGAAGAAUAUUAUUUAAAUUUAUUAUUUUUAAAAUGUAUUGUUAAAAUAAAAUUGAAUAUUAAACAAUUUAUUAAAAAAAUAAAUUAUAUCUAUUAUAUUAAUAAUUUAUUAUAUUACUAAAUAUAAAUAAUUAAAUAUGUAUGUUUAAUAAUAUUAAAAAAUAAUAUUUUAAAAAUUUUUAAAAAUAAAAAAAAUUAUUAUCAAUAUAAUAAUAUUAAGCUUGAUUUAAGUUAAUCUUUAUAUAAAAAUAAAAUUAUCUAUAUAUUAGCUUUUUUCCGGAAAAUGACUUACGCUUUUCAAAAGGAUAAGUCAUUUUACGAGAAAAAGGGCCUAUUUUACUUUGACUUGUAAGUCAUUUUCCGUUAACCAAAUUAUUUUCUGUGAAACAAACAUAGGAAAAAUACAGAAAAUAUUUUCCGUAAAACCUUUUAAAUGUAAACAAAUGGACCCUAAGUGUUGUCAAGUUUAGUGAUGAUUCGAGUGAGAAUGAUGUUAGUGCAAGUUAAGUGAUGGGUGUUACCAAUUUUGAUAUGGAAAUGAAUAAUUAGGUCAUAUUGAUAUUAUCGUUAUUUUCCACAUAAAUAAUGAAAUGAUGAAGAUGGUGACAAUGCUCAAAAUUUUCAUCAAUUUUUAUUUAAUUUAUUCUAGAUUUUAGUUAAUUUUGAAAAAAAAAUUCUAAGCCUAAAAAAAUUAGUUUUUUUAUUUAUUUUUAUUUAAUCUUUUUAAUUUUAUUUUGAAAUAAAACAAAGAAUUUUGGAUUAAUUAUAAAGAAGCCUCUGAACUCUAAUUAAAAGUCAACAAAAGAAGUAUUACAUGGCAGCCCAUAAUCGAGCCACAUGUCAAAAAUGUCGGCAUUUAACACUGUUAGAGGGAAUUAGUGAAUUGAUAGACAAAAAUUAAAGAUCGGUUACCACAUUUGACGUUUCGAAAGUAGAAGUACCAUAUUGAAAAGUCUAUUAAAGUAUAGGGGAUUUUUUUUACCAUUAACCCUUAUCAAAUUAACUAUUAAUUUUUAAAUUUAAUGUUAAAAAUUAAAUUAAUUUUUGUAAUUUUAAUAUUAAAAACUAUUUUUAGUAUAAUGUUGAUUUAAUAAUAUAAUAAAUAAUAAAAUGUAUUCUCGUGAAUUUAAAUUCAUGCUUAUAUAUAUGGAUUAAAAUAUUGUUUUCCUAAUUAAUUUUAAAAUAAAAAAUAAUAAUUAAAAAUGAAUUUGAGGAGUUAAGAUGAAUUCAAAAAAGAUUGUAUUCAAAAAUUAAUAUUAUUUUUAGUUUGUCUUGUGCACACAACUUGGCUCGUCGAUCACAUGCCUGUGUACCACUACACGACUUACCACACGGGCGAUCACACGCCCGUGUGGAAUCGACAAAAUACUUUUUUGAUUUUUCGCUGCUUCUCGUUUUCGGUGUUUCAGGUACACACUUGAUAUUGAUUCGAAGCUAACACGACCACGAGCACUGCAGAACCUAUUAUUGGCCAAUAACACACCAAUUAAGUUACUUAUCACUAGCUUCAACAAAAAGACACAAGAUGGCAAAACGCCAAAUUUACAAAAAUGUUACCUUCAGUCGAUCAAUCGGGGUUUCGCACACUUAAAACGUCAAUCAGAGACCUCUAACCCUUUGAUCAAUUCCUAAUCAACCAACAGAAAAAACCCCUUAAACCCCUUAACCAAAAAACAUUAACAUAGAGUAGGAACAUAACUUACCACACCACGAAAUCGCACACUUACACCCGGAACGAAUGAACAAAAGAAACCAAUUAGGGAAAAUAGGUGAGGGGAAAAGAAUUUUCGGCAGCAAAUUGCCAGCAAUGAGGAUGGAAAACAAUGGCAAAAAGGGUGGAGAGAUUUUGGAGAAAAAGAUAAACCGAAUAUUCAAUAACCACCCUUAAUCCCCUAUUUUUCUCCUAAAAACCGUUUGUCACACUCCCACUAUCCCUCAAAUACUCAGCAUUUUACUAGCAUAAAUAAUAAAAAUAUUGCUCUUAUCCAAAUUCAAACACAAGACCUCCUUCAUACUAACACUCUACUUAACCACCAGGCCAGCAAACCCAUUCUGUUAUAAACUUACCAACAUUUAAUUAAAAGCCUACUGUCUAAAGAUAGGGCUUUAUUCAUAAGAAUACCAAAAUUUACACAAGUUGUGACUUAAACUUAGAAUCUCUCACACACACUCAUAAUACUUAACCACUGAAAUAGAUACUCAAUUAUGUCAAUGAAUUACAAAAACAUAUUUAAAAACUUGGGGCGUUACAUGCGACUUUUUAUAUUAAUUAUGAGAGAAACGCUAAAGGUCCAACUGGUUUAGCUUGUGAAGAUCUACUUUGAUUAUUACCCCAAUCAAAGUUGGGGUGAUUUCUCCAUCCCGUAUUAUAGGUGUUGGCAAAUGGGUUAUUCUACUACCUCCCCAAAUUCCUAACAUAUCCAACCAGUUCUAGUUCAGCUAUGCACUACUUACAAUGAUGAUUAUCCCUACACUGAUCACAAAUAUCAUAAAUUGUUUGCUUCCUGCUAACCCCGAUUUUCUCAUUCAUAUAUCAUCUCAAAGUAGUCAUUUCAGCGACAAGAGAAGGCAUCGCAUCAACUUCUACUACUCCAAUCGGUUUCUUUUAGUUUGCACCAGCUCUACUCAAAGUCCAUUGUGGAUCAUUUUCUGUUUUGUCUUCAAUUAUUUUGGCAGCUUCUUCAAAUGACUUAAUAAUGCCCCAUGUAGAUACCUAAUUUUGUUUGGGCUUACAAUUAUGGGUUUAUUGAACCUUGGAAUUGUUGAAUGAGAGCUACAAAAUGGAAUUGGAUGUGAAAAAAAGUUAAAUUUGGAUUUUGAGACUAGGACCAAAUGGAAUUGAACUUACAAGUUUUGGGGCUUGAAUUGAAUUUUGUAAAUAUUUUAGAUUAAGUUAAGAUUAAAUUUAAAUUAAAAGUUGUUUCUAAAAUUAAUUCUAAUUUUAUUCAAGAUAUUUGGAUAUCAAAGAUAUGGGUUUUUGGUGAAGAUAUGAAAAUUCGUUUUAAAAUAAAAUCACGAUUAUUUUUAUAAAUUAUGGUUUUAUUUUUAAACAUUUCAUUUUGCACAUAAAAUUAGGUUAUGUUUUAAAAUCAAUUAAGUGGUAAGCCUACUAUUUGGUUAAAAGCGCAUUUUCUAUUUUCAUUAAGGGUCCAAAUCAAAAUUGAGUCCUAGUUCAUUUCUAAGCCCAAUUCCAAGCAAUGGUCAACUUAAUUUGGGUAAAAGCUCAAAAGAUUAUUAGUCCACAUCAGGUCCAAUUGAUUCUGGGGCCCAAAAGUCCAACUUUAUGAGAUUUUCUGGUUAAGGUUUUGAUACCAAAGUUGUCGCCCAUGGGAACAAAAAAGGCCAACGGAGUUAAAAGUGGUAUUAACACUAUUCAUUAUAUUUAUUAUAUAUUACUACAAAUCUUAUCACCCUUGUACAUCAACGACAUUUCCUAACCCUUUUCGAUCACAUCAAUUUACUACAAAAGAUAUACUUCUUUUUUUGGUAUCUACUGAAAUUAAUUCUGUAACAAAUCAUUCGCAUUUUGUAAGUCUACUAAAGAAUAGAUGUUGGCUAUGAAUUUUUAAAGUUAUUACAUAUUCAAUGCAAUGAUCAAACCCUUGAAAGCUAAUUUAAGAUAAGAGAGAUUUUUGCCAUCUUACUUAGAGGUGUUCAAACGGUUAAUCGAACCGAACUAAUAUUAACUAAACUUUUUAAUCUUUUAACUGUUAAUCGAACCAAUUUUUUUUAAAAAAAAUUAACCGAACCAAAAUAUUUUGGUUAAUUCAGUCGGUUAAUCGGAUUAACCGAAAUUUAUAUGUUAUUUUUUGUUAAAACAAGUAUAAAACAUAUCAAAAAAAUAAUUUUAUAAUGCUCAUUUGACCAAAUUAACCGAACUAGUAAUAACCUAAUACACAUAAUAUAUAAUACUAUUUAUUAAAUUCAGUUAAUUACCCAAUUUCGAACCGAAUUAACCGGUAACCGAAAUUCUAAAAAACCUUUAACCUACCUCCAACUGAAUUAUAUCGAUUAAUCAACUGAUUAAUCGAAUUAGAUCAGUUUAAUCGAUUAUCUCGAUUUUAACUGAAAUUUAAACACCCCUAAUUUUACCUAACUCUCCUGUUUACUACAAAACAUGUAUUUAAACAUUUCAUAUUUAUCACAUUUGGACAUUUUAUAUAUAAGCAUUUAAUUAAUGACUUUGCUUCAUGUUGAAGUUGAGACUCUUAUUAUCUUAUCCUUUACUCACUAUGCAUAGGAGGACGAUACCAUUCUAUAAGGGAUUACAUUCAAACAAUUAUAGGCCAAGUUUAUCCAUUAUCUAAAUCAUUGAUUCUUUGUUCGCAUAAUAAGAUGUUAACACUAUAUCUUAUAUGCUAAAUUAAGAAUUCAUUCAAUUCAUUCCUUUCGAUAUCCUAUUACUGAUAUGCGAUUUUUUAUUAUCAAGAUAUACAAAAACAAUUGCCAACUCAUUUCGAUAAUAAGUUUUCUUUCUACUUUUGUGUUGACAAUGGAUUGCUUUGUUUAUUUGAUGAUAAAAAAUCUUGUAUUAUCUCCUAUGUAAUCCAGCCACAGAAGAGCCCUGAAUACAAGGAGAAUAUUCCAUGGUCACAUACUUUUAUGCAAUGUCUUGAAUUUGGAUUGGAUCCUUUGUCCAAUGAUUAUAAGGUCAUCUAUAUUUGAGAGGUUUCAAAUGAGAAAAAUUAUUCGCAUGGACCAUAUCAUUAUGCUAUUUAUAAGAUGAACACUACUUCUUGGAAGGUUUUGAAUCAUGAAGAAUUACAGCUUCCUAAAUACCUAAGUCCAUUCCCCGAUGAAAUCAAUGCAUGUGUAAAUGAUGUUUGAUACUGACAUGCCAACUCUAAGAUCCUUACAUUUUAUUUGAGCAAUGACGUUUUUAAUUGAUAGAAUGUCCUUGUGAAGUAUAUGAAAAGUUAUUUCUUUUACAUGAUUAUAUCACAACUCUAAUAUCCUCGCAUUUUAUUUUAGCCUUUAGCAUAACACAUAUAUAAUGUUGAGUAUGUCUAAUACCUUCAAUAACACAUACAAUAAUACGCGCGCACAAGCAAAGUAGUAUAAUAAGUUCCAUGAGAACUUACUUUCUAAACAACAAAAUGAGGGAGUCGCGCACUUCCAAUGUCUUCACUCCAAGAGAUUCUCUUUUCCUUUGCUAGAGCCUUCGCUAGCCAUCUUAUUGUUUUAAAUAAACAUAUAAAUAUUAUAAAUAUAUGUAUUCAACAUCACGACAAUAAUAUUUUAAUGGCUCAAUAACUUAUUCAAUGUAUGUAAAUAUGAAAUGAGAUGAUAUAAUGCCCAGAUAAAAAAAAAAACCUUACCAAAAUCGCAACUCUCGUAUUAGAACACAAACCCUAAAUCAUUGGGAACAUAUGGUUUAAAUAUAGUUUUUAGGAUGAGUUUUGCAAAAAGAAAUGAAAAAAUUUGGCGAAGAUUUGUAGAAAGAUGAGUAGAAAAGAAGAAAUGAGAAAGUGGAAGUUUCUUCCCUGUUUUAGAUAUAUGAAAGAUGAUGGCUUCCUAUUUUUUGUUUUAUCAAUUUUAAUAAAAUAUCUAAUGGUUAACAAGUCAAAAGUUAACAAGUUUGGCCAAAAUUGAUUUUUUUGAGUACAAAUGUUUUAUGUAGUGUUUCACCAUAAUGUCUUAUAAAUAUUAAUAUUUAUCAUAAAUAUAUGUCAAUUAUUUAAAAUAUCCCCAAUAAAAUUAUUAUUUUGCUCCUCAACUCAUAUUUUUAUUUGAUUAAACUCGAAAUUUUAAAAUAUUUUAAUGUAAUUUCUAAUAAUUUUUCAACAAUCUAAAAUUAAUUAGUUCCAUAAAAAUUAAAAUUUUUUAUCCAUUGAAUCCAUUUAUAGAUUCUAAUAAGAUUCACGUGUUUCAAAUAAUUAUUAAAAAAUUAAAAGAUUGAAAAUAUAAUAUAAAGAUAUAAUAAAAUAUUAAAAAAUUUUAUAAACUAAUUUUUUAAAAAAACAAAAAAACGAGAAUACCAAUUACCCAACCAUAAAUUAAUAUUUUCAUAACGGUCCAACUGCCAAAAUUUUCACUGCGGUGAAACCCACCGACCUUUGUAGUCUCAUCUGAAAUCUGCAAAAUAAUCGCUAUGUGUCUAUUUGCAAUUGGUGUGCAAUAUUAUCUGACAAAUUUGUUUGACAAAUCAUCUUCUUUCAAGGAGUUAAGUUUUGCUGAAUUGACCGCAGCAGAUCCCUCACUCUUUCACUGCCUUCUUCCCUCUCCAUUUCUUCUUUCUAGAGCCACAAACUCACUUCGUUUUCCAAUAAAUAAACAACAACAAAAAAAUCCUCCUCCCCCCCCCCCAAAAAAAAUAAAAAAAAUCAGAGGAUGGCUUUAGCAACAUCGCUGACAGCGUCGAUGUCGGUGACGUCGCUGCGGGAGAGCAGAGUAUUGAAGACGACGACGUAUAGGAGAAAGCAGCGAGUAAAGCAGCAGCAGCAGCAACCACAACGACGCGUGCAGGCUUUUUUUGGUAACUUUAGUCAUUUCGGUGAUGUUGUACGUAGAGACAUGAAUUUCUUGAAGAAAGGUGUUCAAAGGGGAGUGGAGUGGGCGAACGAAACGUUUCGGAUUCCUCAGGUUAAGAAAGCCGUUGACGACGUCGUUUGGCUUCGGAAUCUCGAGGAUCCUAACUUCUCUCCGCCUGCGCAACCACCGGUGUGGCCUCAACCUUAUUAUCCAGGUUUUCUUUUCGUUUUUGGCCAAAUUAGUAAUCAAUUAAUUAUUGAAACUGUUAGAUAAGGAGAAGGGAAAAUGAAGUGGGAAGUGAAGGAAGAUAGGAGAAAAUUUUAUUUUAUUUUAGUUUUUGGCGAGCUAAGAAAUUAAUUGAACAGUUGAAAAUGUUAUUUAAGUUUCCAUGCUGCUAUUCCUUAGAUUGAGAUAAAUGCAGAGAGAGAAGGAAAAUGAAGAGAAACUUUUGUUAUGCUUUCUCUUGUUUGGUUUUGAAAAUGGAGAGAGAAAUGAGCGAAGAGAAGAUAAAAUUUUAUUUUGAUUUUGAUUUUUUAUAUUUGGUAUAAUUAGAAACCAUAUGGAGAUCAAAUUCAGUUAAAGUUUUUAGUUUUCAUUUAUCCUAAUUUUAGUUAUUGAUAGUGGAAUACGAUUAUUUUGAUAGCACUGUCUGGUAUGGAUUUGAUGAUGGCUGAUCUUAAAGCAUUGGAAGCUUAUGUCAGUUAUUUCUACUACCAGUCAAAAAAAUGGUCAAAGCCACUUCCAGAAGCUUAUGAUGCGGAAGAAGUAGCUGAUUAUUUCAGUCACCGGCCCCAUGUAGUGGCUCUUCGACUUCUCGAGGUAGUUAAAAUGAUUGAUCAAUCGUUUUAUGAACUUCUAUUAGGUUUCUACUUCUUCUAUUUGUCCUUUACAGAAGUUGUUAAAAAAUAAAUGGUAAAGGAAAAAAGUUAGUUUUGGUUAAUCAUAAACAAAUGAUUAAAAUGUCUCGUUGAUGUUUCAGAUGAUAAAAAUAAAAGAUUACAAAACGAGACCUUUAUUCUUAUAUAUAUCAUUCGUUACAAUAUUUAAAAUCACGCAUUUUAUUUGCCACAGAAAUCACAAUUUUAUUUAUAAUUCUUUGAAAAUAUAUUUAUCUGUCUGCAUCCUAAGAUGUGCUUUACAUUUUUGCUCCUGGAAGUAAAAACAAGUAGAGCAUUUGGAAUCAUAAUAUAUUUUAUUCUUUUAUCUAGAAUAAUAAUGUGUAAAUGUGUGUUACAUUGUAACAAUUUUCUUUUUUUAAUUAUGUUUGUAAUUCUUUUUUGGAUAUUGCUUUUACCCCUUAUCUAAAAAACAAGACAACAAUAACCAAAUGAAUUUAUAACCAGAGGUGCUUAUUAGUUGAAAUGCACAUGGAGCAGACAAGGCAUGAUCAGCAAACUUGUUGAUAAGAUAACAUGUAUAACUUUAUAAUUCCUAAAUUCUGUUUUGAAGUCGAAUCUACUUUCCAAGAUUUUCCUUUCUGAGACAAGCUACGUUUAUUAUAUUUUCUGUUCACUUUUAUGAGCAUCUCUUUGAACAUUUAGUUACACCAAGUCUUUUGGGGCUCACGAUUUUGUGUUCUGCAAGGUUUUCUCAUCCUUUGCCUCUGCUGCAAUUAGAAUUCGAAUGGCUGGGCUCAAAAAGUCCUUAAGACCUGGUUCAUCUAAAGAUAUUGAUGAGAACUUAUCACAGUACAACUUUGGGAUGGUGUUAAAGGAAACAAUGCUAAGCCUUGGUCCCACUUUUAUCAAAGGUCAGAAUGUGGUCUAGUUGAAGCUUGAGCACUUAAUUUGCUAUUUGCAUCCUCUCAUAGUUGUUUUUCUUUGAGUUAUAUGCGGGGCAUUUUAUUUUUCUCCUGCAGUCACAAGCUUACCAAUAUGCUAGUUACAUGCAUUUGCUUGCUGAUGCAGUUGGGCAGUCCCUUUCCACAAGACCAGAUAUUAUUGGUCCUGAAAUUUCCAAGGUCAGAUUACAGAGAAUUUUUUUUAUCAUAUAUUUCUUGUACCUUAUGUGGGAACCUUUAAAUGACUCAUUUUGUUUAUGUGGUUGCUUCUAACUGUUAAUAAUUCACUUUAGCAGGUAUCAAUCUAUUCAUACGUAUAUGCCAUUAAUUUCAACAUUUUCUUGCUACAUUGUCUACUAAAUUUAAUAAAAAAAUUGAUUAACUUUACAUUGUUUUUGUUUUUUAAAUUGUUCAUAAUGAGAUUCAAAUGCUUUGCAUUCUUUUCUUCAUUUAUUAGAUCAUUAAUGAUUAUGUUUCAGCCUUCAGAGUUGUGGCUCUUAAUUUAUGCUUGAAUGUGUAUUAAUCUAUUACUGGGAGACAUGAUCUAAAUAUGAGGUUUCUCAUAUUCUCCUUGAUUUUCUGCAUUUUUAGUGAGCAUGCCUUGAUAAUUUGGAUUGAAUUUACGAUGGCAGGCUUUGUCUGAGCUACACGAUCAAAUACCUCCCUUUCCAAGACCUCUGGCUAUGAAAAUUAUUGAGGAGGAAUUAGAUUCUCCUAUUGGGUCAUUCUUCAGCUACAUCUCUGAGGAACCAGUAGCUGCAGCAUCAUUUGGUCAGGUGGGCUGUAAAUAUCACAUAUCUCAUGAUAUCACUAUCUUUUUUAUUUCUUUUUCCUUGUAUAACUCACUUCAGUGUUUUUAUUGUGGUCUUUUUUUAAUUACCCUUUUAGGUCUACCGUGGGUGUACACUGAAUGGUUCUGAUGUUGCUGUGAAAGUUCAACGUCCUAAUUUGCGCCAUGUGGUAGUGCGAGAUGUUUAUAUUUUACGUCUUGGGGUAUGUAUUGACAUCUCUAUCAGCAUCUCCCUAUGUGGUUGAGAAUUCAAUUUCUAUUUGAACUUGGUAAUUGAUAUUCUUUUUUCAGCUCGGGCUUUUGCAAAAGAUUGCAAAGAGAAAAAGUGAUCCUCGUCUAUAUGCUGAUGAGCUUGGCAAAGGUUUAGUUGGGGAACUUGAUUACACUUUGGAGGCUGCUAAUGCCUCUCAGUUUCUGGUAAUGAUAAUAUUGGAACUUCCACAAAAAGUUGCAUAUUGUCACCAUAAUGAGCUUAGUUAUUAUAGUUGGCCAAAAUUGUCUUCUGUCUGAUAUCAUCAGCCUACUGAGACCUUGUAUUGAAAAUUGAGUUUAGAGUGAGGAUGAAUUCUCAGCCAUAGGUUAACUUUGGUUGUGGCAGUCAUGGAUUUUGAUUUCUAUUAUUUUUCCUUAAUUCAAAUAUUUUAUGUUUCUAAGUACUUGUCUUGGAAAGAUGCCCUUUCUUCAAUUAACUUGAUGUGCCUUUCACAGGAUGCCCAUUCUCACUUUUCGUUUAUGCAAGUUCCAAAAGUAUUUCAACAUUUAACCAGGAAGAGAGCUUUGACAAUGGAGUGGAUGGCUGGUGAGAGUUCAACUGAUUUACUCUCUAUUACUAAGAGCAGCUCCAUCAAGCACGGGUCCAAAUAUUUAGAGAGGCAGAAAGUUGAUGCAAAAAGGCGUCUUCUUGACCUAGUGAGUAGUGAUUUACCAUUAAACCCUGCAUUUAGCAUCUGAUAGCUUGUAUGAAAUAGAGUUCUGCUCCUGACCAAUCACUUUGAAUUUGACCGUGGCCUGUGGCACAUGUAUAGUCACAAUAAGUUUACAUUUAGGUGGGUGAUUUACUAGAGAUCAACUGGGAGUGAUAUCAAUUGUCAUGUCUCUUGUAUACAAUUAGACUAUAUAUAUAAAGAUUUUAGAGUGAUCAACAAGGGGUUGGAAUAUUCAUAAAUUUGCAAAUAAUCUUGCUAUAUAUAUGGUGCAAACUGUAAUAUAUAUUUGGUUUGUUUACCAAGAAGUUCACACGAUAAGAAUAUUAAACAGCAAGCACUUAACAAGUCCAAAAAUUUGGAUUGGCAGUUGAGAAUGUGAGUAAGUAGUGGAGGUCAAAGGUUUGGUUUAUGUUUUAAAAUUUGAAUUUCUUUAAUCUGCUGAUUGCAAAAGUUAUCUGCUGUUUUGAAUAUAUCAGCCACAUUUUGGUGUUAAGUCAGUCCUCCUAAAUACCUAUUAGGCUAAUUAGAUUGGGAUUGCAUAUUUUACCCUCAAAGUUGGUAACUCUUAAACUGAUUUUCUCUUUUCGCAAAAAAAGAAAAAAGGAAGCUUAUUGUCUAUAAUACUUGUAUAUAGAAUGCUAUGCCAAUAUGACCUAGCCUAAUUUUAUUUGCAGUUGGUUGAAAGCUUUUUUGCUAUAACUAUUUUAGGUUAACAAAGGAGUGGAGGCAUCACUUACUCAACUCCUUGAAACAGGCAUAUUGCAUGCUGAUCCACAUCCUGGAAACUUGCGUUACACGGCAUCAGGACGGAUAGGGUAAACUUGUGUUGCCUUCUUUGUGUUAGAACUUCUGGUUUUGCUCUGCUAACUUAUUGUUUUUAAUGAUGAUUUCUGCAUCAGGUUUUUGGACUUUGGUUUGCUUUGUCGAAUGGAAAAGAAACAUCAAUUUGCAAUGCUAGCAUCCAUAGUGCACAUAGUAAAUGGUGAUUGGUCAUCCCUUCUUCAAGCUCUGACUGAAAUGGAUGUUGUAAGGCCAGGAACUAAUAUCCGACGUGUUACAAUGGUAUGACAUACUUCUUUAAUGGCUCUAUACACAGACUAAAAAUUUGUACUUGAGCUUAGAGUUUUCUAAGAGACCUACAGUAUUUUCUGCUUAUUGUUAAUGCAGCAAAGCCUAGUUUUUCUUGUUGCUUUUAUCAUGUGGUAACUGUUGAAUUCUGCCAAUAAUACUGACCCUGAAUCUUGAAAAUGGUUCAGGAUCUGGAGGAUGCCCUUGGGGAGGUAGAACUAAAAGAUGGGAUUCCUGAUAUCAAGUUCAGUAGGGUGAGAAUCAAUAUUUCAUAAUUUCAUAAUUAUGAAAUACGACAAAUACCUAUCAUAAUUUCAUAGCAUUAAUUCCUUUGCAAAUGCUUAUUAUCAGGCUUUCCUUUUUGACUGUCCAUGCUAGUACUUUUACAUGAUUCCUCUCAGUGGCCCAGCUAAAUUAAAACAAUAUUUCUUCUUACUGUUUUAUAUUUUUAAGUGGUUGAUUGUCAUAUUGGCAUUGUUGAAGGUUUUGGGCAAAAUAUGGUCUGUAGCUCUCAAAUAUCAUUUCCGCAUGCCUCCAUACUACACGCUAGUCCUACGUUCUCUUGCGUCCUUGGAAGGUAAGUCAUUGUGUUUCAGAUGUCUUCGUUUUGAGUUGAUUCUUUUGAUUGAUUUAUUUAUUUAGUGGUAAAUUCAUUGUUGGUUAUUCUUUUUUAUUCACCUGGGUUGUAAAUUGUAAUCUCAUGUCACAACAUCAUGUUUUGCAUGAAGACCACCAAAAGUGGUUAAAGAAUGGAUAGUUAAAAGUUUGGAAAGAAGCAAUGUUUUAUAAAGGAUUCAGAAGUGCAGUGCAUAAUUUUGAUAAUUCUUCAACUUCUAUGUGACAAAAAGAAUACUGUUAUCGUAGUACUUAAUCGUUACUAAUUGAACCUCUGGCAGAGGAACCAAGCCUAAGUGUUUGCAAUGAUUUAAAUAACUGAUACGGCUUGACUCAAAUUUAGUUGGCCGAAGUUUUUGUUGUUCUCUUGUUUAAGAUAUUUGUGAGAAAAGAGUUCAUAGAAUAUGCUCGGGAGAAGAACUAAAAUACCAAUCAUGGGAGUGAUGCCAACAGAUUUUCAGUUGUCAAGUGGAGUAGGUGUAUAUGUAUGUAGGUUUUCUGUCACACAUAUGAUACGACUCUGCAUUUUCUUUCAUGUAUCAUUUCUGACAGUAUAUCCUAUGCAUUUUUCUUUCAUUGCAUAUGUUUCUUUAAUUGUUUUUCAUAUCUGAUAAUCUGUAGUUCAUUAUUUCUGGUUCUUCUAUACCAAGUUUACACAUAAUCAUCUCAACUGGCUUUAAUUCACCAAGCAUUUUCCUGAUAUUCCUUCAGGUUUGGCAGUAGCUGCAGAUCCAAGUUUUAAGACAUUUGAGGCAGCUUAUCCUUUUGUUGUCCGCAAACUUCUAACUGAAAAUUCAGCUGAAACAAGGAAAAUUUUACAUUCGGUGGUGGUUUAACCCUCUAGUUUAUCUAUGAAUAUUGAGCAUCAUUAUGAAAGUCUCAAUCAGUGGACCUUUUUUCUUUGUAGCUCUGUCAAUAGGCCUGAACUGUUAAUAAUAGUUUUGGUCCCAAGUAUUUUCCUGCUACAAAUAUAAAUAUAUUUUAGAUUUUGCAAUGUUCGUUUUCUAAAUUAGGUAAUGAUUUUGAGGAAAAGUAGCUUAAGCUUUCUUGAGUUUAUUGCUGUUAUGUGUUUGAACUGUAGUUGGAUGUGCUUCUGCUUGCACUGUUAUCAUCCAAAAUUUAUAUUUCCAGAAGGUGAAACUAUAGUUAGUUCCUAAUUUCCAGCACUGUAAAAUGCUUCAUUUGGUUCUUAGGACCUCUCUGUAGUGGUCACUGCUAUAUGGGGUACUGAACUAUGUUCUGUUAGUAACACUGGGUAUCAUUGGGAGAUUCCUGAGUUGAUUUUGGGUUCCUUGUCUAAUCUAUUUGAUGUUUUCCCUAUACAGGUGGUUUUGAACAGAAAGAAGGAAUUUCGGUGGGAGAGGCUGGCACUUUUCAUGAGAGUUGGUGCAACUAGGUACGUUCAACUCUCAUGGUUUACCCCUUUCUCUUCACAUUGUCAAUGAUCAUGUGCCCAUAUUUUGGAGGAUUCUUUCCAUAACUGGAUCCUUCCAAUUUCUGUUACUGCAUCAAUCAAAUUUAAUUACACAGAAGGGGAAGGAAAAACCGUUCAUCAAGAAUUUAAAUGCUUUUACGUCAAAGUCCUGCAUGUUCACAGAUACUUUCCAUGGCAUUUCUGUUCGUACUUAUACCAAUAGGGGAAAAAAGAGAGGAAGAGUUGUAGAUUCCAGAAUCUUCUAUCCGAAUAGACAGCCAGGGUGAAAUGAACUCAAUCCAUUUAAUGAACUUAAAAUGUGUACUGUAGAGUUUCAAGAAAUGUAAGUAGUUCUCAAGGAAUUUUGUGUCUAGCAGUAAAAUGUAGAAGAGGCUCAUCCUUCUAUGAUUUAAGGAAAUGUAUGCUUUUGGAGCAAGCAUUGCUAUAGAGAUAUAUAUAAGAUGGUCAUUUGCUCUUUAUCAUGUGCUCUCAGGACAGGCACCCUAAUGGUUUCCUUUUUUUGGGUGUGUGUGUGUGAUAGCAUUUAUCUGUUUCAAAUUUAGGCUCUAAAUAUGAAAAUUUUCUGCAGAAAGAGUUUGCAGUUGGUGGAAGCUUCAAGUGGUGAAACUUCCCUGGAUAAUUUACCUAGUAGGACUGAUGGUGUGUUUGACGUUGCAUAUUUGUUGCUAAGGCUUUUACCAUCUAAAGACGGUGUGGUACUAAGAAGACUUAUAAUGACUGCGGUGAGUGCCGUUCAGCUUGAUUCCUUUUCUAUUUCCACCUUUCCUCCUGAACAUAAAAAUGGUGUGAUAUUAGACGACAUAUAAUGACUUACAGGAUGGUUGAUGGCAACCAAGAAUACCAAGGGGCUUUAUUAUUGUUAAUAUGUUGUCUUACCAUGUAAUUUUGACGUGGAAGCUAGAAAUUUUUUUUGUUCAUUUUGUAUUUUAAACUUGUAUGUUGGAUAAGCAGGAUGGAGCUUCAUUAGUACGAGCUGCAGUUUCCAAAGAAGCAAAGGCCUUCCGAUUCGAACUGUGCAAAAUCAUUGCUGAUAUCCUAUACCAACGGAUGGUAAAAGCUCUUGGGCAACUCGUGCCAGCUAGCCAGUAUAGUUACAAGUUAAGGCUGGCCGGUGGGCAUCAGAAUACAGAGCUACAUCCAUCUGCUAGAUUAUCUACAAGUUCAACCGUCUAUGACUACCAGUCCCUUUUACGCGACCGGCGACUGAAGCUGAUCUUAUCCAAGAUCCUCAAUUCCGCAAGAAAGGAACCAGCAUUGAUGUUACGGUUUUACUGGGUUUCAUUUGUCACAUUCAUCGCUGCUUCAGCCCUGGCUUUUCAUCGGCUUUUAAUCUCUUUGUCAGCAGCGUACAUUGGCCCAGCAUCAUUCAUUCCCAAAAGAUUUGCAAUCAGCGCAUGAAACUUUAGUAGAACCCUGCAGUGAGCCUAUUCUUUUUCCAUAAAAAAAUUUCUUCAAGCAGCCAUAGGUAUAUGUUUGGGAGACGGUAGCUAUAUGGUAUUUCUGGGAUGAGUUAUAUGUAUAUAAAAUAUCACUGUUUAAAAGCUUUGAAAGACAUCAAAUGGGGAGAAUUUAACGCCUUGAGGCUAGUGCUCCUGCAGCGAUGUAAGCCAUAUCAUGCAAUAUGAAGGCAGCUGGCAGUCUACGUGACUUUGGAUACCUCAAAGCUGACAGGGAACAUUUUUGUCUAUAGAACUUGUACGUCUAAUACCUAAAUGUAAGUAGUCGAUAAUUUUAAGUUUCACCAUUCAAUUGAAUUCAUAUAUAUUAUUUUACUGUAAUUGAUAAUCUUACCAUAGCUCCAUUGUACUCGUGAAAUUAUAUAUUUUUAAAAACACCGAUGUUCGCCAUCUCAAUAUAUAGUUUAUAUCCUGUUCAGUUAUCUAGUAUAUUAACACAAGAAAAAGUUUAUUUAUUAUUUAUGUAAUAAAUACCAUAAAAAGUAAUUGGCAAUUUAUAACUUAUAUUAGAAAGAUGAGUAAAAUUUUAGUAAAAAGUAGGACUUUUUCAAAAAAGUAAAAAAAAAAAAAACUUGAGUAGCAAAAAGUUACUUAAUUUAUUGUAACUUAUAUGCUAAAACUUGUUAAAAAAAAUUUGUUCCUACCGAUCAUAACAUUAGUUGCAAGUUUUACUGAACAUGCUUUAUUAUAAUUAUCCAAAUUCUUAACACAAAUUAAAAGAUUUAAAAAAAAAUUAAGCAUGGUGACAUACUCCCUUAAUUGCAUGCAGUUCUUUAAUGGCAUCUUCGAUUAUCAUUAUCCCGUAUGAAGCUUCAAUUUAGGUUUUUAGAUAGGAUACGUACCAAGAGAGAAGAAGUUGGUAUAUUCUUGCUAAAGAGAGAAAGUUCAAAUAAAAAUAUUAGAAAAUGUUAACGGAGGUUUUGCCCUUUUCCUUAACCUGAUUUCUUAAUUGAUUAACUAUUUACAAUAUUUUAUCUUUUUUGUAGGUUAAGAUAGAACCUCUAAUUCAAAGAAAAAAAAUUGUGCAAACAAAUAAAAAUCCUCUAAUAAGUAAGUUUCUGAAGAAAUAAGUUGUCACAAAUACAUGUUGAAUUCAACCCUAUGUCUACGUAAAAGCAAAAGAAUUUUCUCACUAAUUUGCUUAAGCAUUGCUCAAAUAGUAAUGUUGUAGAAUCAGUCGCCAUAAAAUUUUGGAGUGACUCCCAAGUUAGUGAAUUCUAUCACUCAUCUUUUGUAAUACACUAAUUAUAAGUUACUCCCACCACCAAUGUUAAUGGUGUGGAUUCUUUUCUUUCACUACUUAAUGAUCUUCAUGUCCAUUAAAAGAAAUAUAAAUCAUUUUGUUAUCUAACAUAAAUUUCUUAUUUAUUUUUUCUUAAUUAUAUAAUUUUGUAAAACUUUAUUAUUAUCUUUUGCCCCUAAUACAAGUAUUUUAGUUUAUAACAAUAAUUCAUUUAUUUGAGGGUAAACUCUCAAAAUAAUAACUUUUAUUUACUUCAUAUUAUAUUUUAGUUAUUUACAUUAUCGUAUUAUAACAUUUUAGUCAUUGAGCCAUUAAUUGCCGUUAACUGUGUAACUAUAAGUUUACGUGAAACGUUAAAUUAUCAUUUCAAAUAAAGAUUUUAGGUCAAAUUAUACAAUUGGUUCUCAUAUUUUUUUUUCAUUUUGAUCGAUUUAAUUUUUUUCUUUCAUGUUCUUUUAAUUUUCUUUUUUUUCUUUAUUUUCCAUUCUCUUCUCUUUCUCCAUUUGUUUUCUUCAUUUCUCCAUCUCUUUUAACAUAUUUUUUUUAUGUUUUUCAUUUGUUAAAAUUAGUCCCUAUACUUUAUUUUUUUGAACCAUUUAAUUUUUUCCUUUUUGUUUCUUUAUUUUUUUUUCUUCUUCCCCUUUAGUUUUAACAAAUGAAAAACAUAAAAAAAAACUACAUUAAAAGAGAUGAAGAAGGGAUGAAAGUAGAGGAAGAAGCAAAAGAGAAUGGAAAAUAAAGAAAAAAAGAAAGUUAAAAAACACAAAAAAAAAAAUUAAAUCGCUCAAAACAAAAAAAUAUGAGGACCAAUUGUAUAAUUUAACCUAAAAUUUUUGUUUGAAAUAAUGAUUUAACAUGUCAUGUCAGCUUACUGUUAUGCCGUUAAUGGCAAUCAAUCGUUCAGUAACUAAAAUGUUACAACACGUUAAUGUAAGUGACUAAAAUAUAAUAUUUUAAACAUAAAUAACUAAAAUAUAACCUUAAAUAAAUAAAAAUAAUUAUUUUAAUAGUUUAAUUAGUAUCAAUAUUAUUAUUAAUAAAUAAAAAUAUCUAUUUAAUACGCUAAAGCGUAUUAUCCUCCUCUAUUUAAAGGUCGAAUGAGAUUGAAAAAAGCUCUAGCAAUAUAUAAAAAAAUGUGUUUGAUAUAAAUUUAUAUUAAAAUUUAAGCUGUUUUCCGUAAACAUAACGGCGUUAUCUCACUCCGAUCAACAACAUUAAGAAAGCCCAAAAAUCAAAUCAAAGGAAAAUAAAAUAAACAUCUCCUUUUAUAGAUCACUCCGUUCUUCACUGGAAAAACAUAAUCAAACUGCUACAAAAUAAUUCUCCACCAUGAGCUCUCCGGUAAUUUGAUCUUUGUUUCUCCAAAUUUCUAUGAAGAUUAACGAAAUGAAACCUAUCCAAAAUGAAUUAAUUUGCUUUUUUCUUUACAAUUUUUUUUAAUUUGAAUUUAUAGGGAAGUGGAAUGUUUAGUGGAUUUACAAAGUUAUGUAAGGGAUUGGCUGUGAUAUUAAUCGGUGGCCACGUUGUGGUUCAGCUUCUUCCUACUUCUGUUACUUACCUUGCUCUUAUUCCCGCCAGGUUCUCUUUUAUAUAUAUAUAUUUUCUCAUCAGUUUUAUGUCAAUUUCAUUCUAUUUGGCGUUAGAAUUUUUGGGUCAUGAUUUAAUAUUUGUAUCGGUUGCUCUUUACGGCUCGGUUCUAGUUUUAAUCAAAAAGUUGAUAUUUUGACGAGCUCGUUGGACUGCUUCAAGAUUUUGUUAUUUGGAUGUUUAGAUCUGCGUUUGUGAAUAGUGUUAUCUUUUUCUUGAAAUUGGCAUGUUGUCUUUUGAUGGGUUUUUUUCCUUCGUAGUUAAGUGAAAGGCAUAUGCUUUGUACAAAUGUUCAAAGGAGGUGACUUGCUACUUUGUUCAUUUGAAUGCUUAGAUCUGGAUUUAGGAACUUGAAAUAAACUAGUAGUAAUCCUUAUGUAAUGAUUGUAGCUUUCUUUUUGAACUUGCUUACUCUUUUCCGGUGAGCAGUUGCUAGUUAAGCAGAAUAUUUAUUGCCUUUUUGCAUAUUUGAAAAGAAUUACAUGAGAUUUUGAUGCCCUGAAGCAUAGAUCUGGAUUUUGGUGCUUUACACAACCUUUAGACACCAUUUAUUUUAGCAUCUCCAUCUGCAUAGCUGCUUAUUGUGUAAUCGGCUUAUUUAUUUAUUUAAUGUUUUAUUUACCCUUGGCUGAAGGGAUCUGUUAUCAGGAUUUGUUUUUAGAAAACCAGCACCCUACCCGUUAUUUGUUCUGGGAUUAAAGCUAGCAAUGGUUUUGGCUGAAUUGGAAAGAUUAAUAUCAGAUCCUGUCAAAAGAAUGAGUUUUGCACUUUGAGGUGGGAGAUCUGGUUGUAGUGCAUCCCAUUUGAUGUUAGUAAAUAUUGAAACAAGAGCAACAUAUUAUAAAUGGCCUGCUCAGACUUUACAAUGAAUUGCAUGCUAGUUGCCAUUAUGAUAUGAUUUCUUAGCCACUAGAUAAGCAUGUUCCAUGCCAACAAUCUCUUGGCCUAUUGGCAAGAUUAUUAUGUUGUUUGGUAUGAGAGAUUGGAUUCAAUCCUUAGCAACCCCACCACCUACCCCCAAUUAUAAAAAAAGAAAAAGAAAGAAGAUAAAGCAUGCUCCUGUAUAUUGUUGAUUAAUAUAUGUUGGAAUAUUCGUUUUCCUUGAGAUGCAAUAGAGUAAUGCUUUGGAUUGCAAGUUUUAUUCCAAGGACUUAAAACAUUUUUUGUCCCGCCUGAAACCUUUUUUGCAGGACUAUUCCUUUUGGUUGGAACCUCAUAACUGCUGGUUACAUUGAACAAUCAGUGCAUGGGGUAUUAACAUUUAUUUACUCUUUGUUUUACCUAAUAUUCUUUUUUUUCUUAUUAGUCGUUGUAAUGGUUACUGAUUUCUGCAGGUGGUUGUUAGCACCCUUGGUCUUCUUUUCAUGGGGAAGUUGCUUGAGCCUAUAUGGGGUUCUAAGGAGUUCUUGAAGUUCUUCUUCAUAGUUAACUUUCUGACGUCUGUUUGUGUUUUCAUUACUGCUAUUGCUUUAUACUACCUAACAAUGCAGGAAAAGUACCUGUGAGUACUUUGAUCUUCCUAUGUCUUUAACAGAAUUUAAUUCUGUUUAUUUCUUCUUCUUCUGCGCCUCCCUCUUCUGCUUGUUCUUUUUUUCCACUAGACUUUUCAGUCAAAUGUUUGAGAAACAAAAGAGAGUGAAUUUAUAAAAUUGAAGUACACUUUCUCAUGUUCUUCUCUGACUGAAUUGUAGAAAUGUUGACUUAUUAUGCAAAAUUUGAUCUAAUAUAUUUGCCAUUCAUGUUGAUAAUUCUUAGUUACAUGCCUCUUUCCGGCUUCCAUGGGGUGCUGGCAGGCUUCUUGGUUGGCAUCAAGCAAAUAGUACCUGACCAAGAGCUAUAUCUCCUAAAAAUCAAAGUAAAGGUAAAGAUUUAUGUUGCGAGGUCAUUUAAGUCUAUUUGGCAUAAAACUCUUUCUAGCUGGGAAUUCCCCCUUCACACCUUUUAUGAUGCUUCCUAUGCCAUGCAGUGGUUGCCAUCACUUAUGCUAUUGCUUUCAAUUGCCAUAAGUUUCUUCACUCCAGAGUCCGCAACAUAUCUUCCAAGUUUGAUAUUUGGGACAUAUAUUGGCUGGAUUUACCUUAGGUACCUGCAGAGAAAACCAGAAUCAAAGCUUAGGGGAGAUCCAAGUGAAGAUUUUGCAUUCUCCACAUUCUUCCCUGAAUUUCUCAGGUAUUGUUCAGUUUCCUUUUAGCCUAUGAAAUGACCAGUUCAUUUCUCCCCCCCCCCUUUUUUUCUCUCUCAAGUAUUUGUCAUUGAUUUACAGGCCAAUCAUUGAUCCCAUUGCAUCAAUAUUUCACCGGAUGCUUUGUGGGAAAUCUGAAGCUUCAUCAAAUCCUCAGGGUUAUACAUUGGGAGGUGCACCAUUACUUGGUUCUGACCCCAUUGAGGCAUCUAGGAGACGGUACCUUUUUCACUCUUUUAAUAUGUAGAGAAAAUGGUUUUCAUAAAUGUAUUCAUCAUAGCAUGGGGAAGGCUAUCAAUGCGAAAUUUGUAGAAUAAACUUGGCCAGUUGGCCUUGUCCUUGAAGUUGGAUAAUUUAGGAAUCAGAAUUAUAGGGAAGAAAAUUGCUGGUUACAUGCUAAACUUGCCUUAGCUUUGCAACAAAUCUAAAGACCGAAUACUUGAACCUCACCCAGGUUGCAUAAUUUGAUGUAUUCUCUAUCACUAUUGGGAAAAAAGGAAGUUUUUUGUAUUUUCUAGAGAGCUUACCCGGCUCACAUUGCAUAAGAUGUCUAUAGUUGCUAAUAAUUUGCAUUUAUUGUGAACUAAACAAUAUGUCACCUUGCAGAGAAAGAGGGGCUAGAGCGCUGGAGGAGAGAUUGGCAGCUGAGAAAUUGGCUGCUGGACGUGAUUCAGAAGAGCCACACAUAGAUGGAAAUGAUCGUGUUUGAUUGCUAAGAAAGUCCAUCGUCAUCGACACCCAUCAAGGCUUAUGCACAAUCAUCCAUAUGUGCUGUUGCAGCAUAUAUAUAGAUUAGAAAUGAAAAGAUCCCAGAGCAUGUUGUUACCCUUACAGUAUAACAUAGGCGAAAUUCAUUCUUUUUUUUUUUUUUUUUCACCUUCUUUUGUUCCUAUUUGUUGAUUGCUUGUACAACUGCACUUUGUCCUCAUUGUGAACCUUCGUUUUGAAUGUAAAAUUUCUCUUUUUUUCUUCUUAUUAUGGUCGGAAUAAUACAUACCCGAAAUAAAACAUGUGACAGUCAUUUAUGAAGUAUCUUAAAUAUUCCAUCAAAGAAUUUUUUUUAUAAAAAAAAGGUUAAAGUAUUAUGCAAACAGAUUCGAAAGUGUAAAAGAAAAGCAAAUACAAAAUGCUAUAAAGAAUAAAAUGAACUUAGUAUAUUGAACUAAUAAUUUUUGAAAAAAGUUCUUCGUCUACAUACAUGAACAAAGGAAGAGUUCAAUCUCUCCAAGUUUUUAAGUUUCCCUGUAUACUGGCUUCAGUUCAAAUCCAUGUAACAUGUACAAAAAAAAAUGGCAGAAGUUAGGAGCAUUGUCCCUUUCAUCCGAGCUGAUCUUCAUUGGAUCGAUUAAUUUUUUGCGAACGAGAAAUCGGAUGGAAUGAUGUCAAUCUCGUGUUGUGUUCGAAUUGUUUGAGGUGUCUCAGCAUCCAUUUGUGAAGAGCCAGACUCUUGAACUGUCCUAUCUACAUCCCUCAUUUCUAUCUGUGUUCUAUCAUGAUCAUGAAUAGGGUCAUUGAUUUCGUGACUGUGUAGUGGAGAAUGGAACAACCCUAGAUCCCAGUGAUCAACCGAAUGUCCUGAAGAUAUACCAUAGGUUUCGGAUCUUUGAGGAUGUUUAUGCAGAAUAUGAACCGGUGACAUCCCAUGAGUCGGAGUUGCCGGCCUGCUCGAAAAUGGUGUCGUAUUCUCGGAAUGUAGCAGCCUGCUUUGUUUAGUGUGUUUCUUUGCUGUAUGAUGCCAGUUUUUUAGUGCAGCUGCAACUCUAUCAUUAAAGAUAGUUGGUCUCAUAUUAGUUCCCAUCUGUAAACAAAACAAACAAAACAGACAAAUUUAGUAUCAUUGUUCACUGUUAUAAACUCGACUUCGAGCUAGAUUUUGAUUCUUUUUGGAUCAAAUAUUGGUUUUGCAUCAUGGUCUUAACUUGUUCCAGGCUUAUCAUAGAUCAGAAUAUGAGAACUGCAGAAGAUUUUAAAAGUUUCUAUUAUUUAUAUCUUACCUGAGUCACUAAAGCAUAGAGUGGAAGAGUCACAUAACUGCAAAGGAACUGUAUGAUAACCCUGAAAAAGUUGCAAAUUUUGCAUUUUAUGAGAAAAGUUUUCACUUUGUUAAAUCAAAAUGUUGGCCUAAGAAGUUGCAUGAACUCACCCCAUUGAGACUCUAAUGAUGACAUCUUCAAUAUGUUCAUGGUAGCAAGAUCUUAUCGUAAAUUCAUACUGAAAUUUGAUGAAAAAAGGACUUAUUAGAUAAGGUGAUCAAACAGUUGCAUAUGAAACACGCAACAGAAGGGAAAGAACUCCAAGGAAUAGGAUUGUUUACCGUGCUCCACACGAAAAAGGCCAGUUGAAAUGCAUUCUGGAUAUAAAAUCAAGGAUCAAUGUACAAGCAUUAGCACAAGUGAUGACAAUGAUGAUUGGUUUAAUGUUGGUAGAUUAAAGGAAAAUUACCGUAAAAAGAACGACGUGAAUGAGAAAAAGAAGGAAGCGUGGGCGUCCAAACCAGAAAAGGUCAUCGCCUGGUUGAACCACGGGUGCACCCUUGACUACAUCUCCUCUAUCUUGAAUUCUCAACCCCAUUUUGGUUAUGAUCACUUGUAGCUUGGCUCCAACCAUUAGGAUUAUCUGCAAAGACCCAGUUGAGGAUUUAAGAUUAAUUUGCUCAUAAUCCCAAACCAGAAAUACAUGUACAAAUGAAUCAAACAUGCUAUUGUACUUACAAUUAAGGGGAUAAAAGGUAGCCAUAAAUAUGAAUACCAUCCUGUUGAUGAAGAGCAAAUUGAUUAUUAAUCAUUAGUAAGCUCAAAAAAAUCCAUCACUAUGUUCAUAUGAUGACACUAUUGAACUCAAUUCUUUAUGAAUAUGAUGAGAUACUUACCAUGUGUAUAGGCAAGCAAGAACAAGACAGCAAUGGACCAGAUGAUUGGACUGCAAACACAAUCAUUAACUUAGCAUCGUAAAAUUUUAACUAAUAAAAUUGAAGAACUCUUGGUUAGCUUGAGACUACCAACCUGAUCCCUACAACAACUUUAAAAUCAUCCUCUAAUGAUCUCUUGAUGUAUUUCUGGAAAUCGAAUUUUGUUUCGUUUCCAGGUGCCAAAUGUGCCUAAAAGCAUUGCAGAUUGAAGUUUCAAUUAGAAACAAGAAAAUAAGAAAAAUAAAAUAGCAUAAAACUCCAUAGAAAUCCAUGGCUUAGCUUACCAUGAUAAAUCCAUGCCUCAAUGUCAGGUAAUCAACCUUUGUGACUGACCCAAAGAAUUGUCUUAAGAAACAGACCUAUAAAUAAAAGAAUCAAAUCAGAAUUCAUAACCAUAAAAUGUCGCCUAAAGAAAAAGAAUCCCUUGCUAUAAAUUCAAUGGUUGCUGGACUUCUUUUACAGAAGGGACUCGGAUUUUUCAUUUUUCUUGAAAUACUCAAGUUUUUUCGUAGAAGUCGGGCCCUCCAAAUAUAUGAAAAAAAAUUCAAAUGUUCAAUUGAUUGUACUUACAAUCCAAAGAGUUAAGGUAGAACGGCUCCAAAAGCUCAGAUGCCUGCGCCCAAAUGAAGUGUCCCUUGCAAAUCUGAACCUCUCUGGGUCUGCAUUAAAUAAAGUAAAUGAAUAAACAUAUGGUCAACGCAUAUCUAGCUAAACAUAAGCACGAAGAUACGAUCUUCCACAUACAAACAUACAUACCAUUGUAGAAUUGGUAUUCAAUUGUCUUUGUCUCAUUUUCCCAGGCCUUCCAUUUCCUCAUCUGCAGUUCAAAGCCAUUAUUAAAGAAGGGGAAAACAGGCAGAAUGAAGAGAGAAAAAGAAUCAGUGAAAGUAAUUUUUUUUUCUUCAUUUAGUUACCUUAGUUCUUCCUAAAGCAUAGAUUAUGAUACAGUAAAGAAUGUGACAAACUGCCAACACAAAGAUGAAUAUAUGGAGCUGAUGGAUACCAUAAGCUGAAACAAGUGCAACUUUACCCUGAAAAAAUAUAUAUACUUCUCAAUCUAAAUGAACAGUUUAUAUGAAUAAACUAUGAAAUAUGCAUAGAUUAAAUCUAAACAAUCUUGCCUGUUCUGCACAUUUGUCAGAUUUGGAUGCAAGACUGCGUCUAGGAAUAUAAAAACUAUCAUCGUCAGAGAAUUCAACAAGCUUUCUACCAGAGGAUUUUUCAGAAUAUUUUUCAGCCUCAGUUUUCUUAUUGCAUGGAUGCCAAGUGUUUGCUACAUGUGCUGGAAUGCAAAUUUCAGAUAUGGGACCUUGAAAGACUGUUAGAAGCAAUGAUAUGAAUCCCAUGAGCAUAAGCUCUACACAAAAAGAAAAAGAAACACUGUUAGUUUUUUUAAUUAAGAUUAAAGAAACGGAAAUAGUGUUAAAUUACCUGCUUUAACCUUCUCAAGUGCUUCAUAAAGAGAUGUCUUGUGCCUUUUCUUGAACCACUGUGUGAAGAGUGAAACAAUGUAAUGUUAUAUAAUCAAACAUACAACUAUGUCAAGAGAGUAAUGUCUGAAAAUCAAAAUGUAUAUAAGAAAAAAAGAAAGAAAGAACAAACCUUGCCUACAAUGUGAAUGGAAUGUUCAAUGAAGAUUGAAAUAACAACCAAAACAAAGCACACCACAGCAACAGCCCAUGUCGGUGUCUCCUCUAAUGAACGUGCUUUAUAAUCAUUCGCCAUUGAUAUUAUAAAAGCUUGCAAUGCUUUUGCAACUAUAUAUAUACACGUACGUAUCAACAACAAAAGGAGAAAAAGAGAAAAGCUCUUCUUCUGGAAUUGCUUUUAUUGUUAUUUGUUUAAAGCUUUGAUCCAAAAAGAAAGUGAUGUAAGUAAUAAAGAAGGCAAAAGAAGGUGUAUUGAGAGAAAGUUGCAAGAAGAAGUGAUGUAAAGGUGCUAUUUAUAUAAUAGCUUUGAGUUUCAGAGAAUUAUUACAAAGAGAGAUGACUUUUUCAAAGAGAGGGCCUCGUUGACUCUUGAGAUUCCCACCGUUUAGCCAUGGCUUGUUGACCGAUAACUAACUGCAAUGGAGACGAAACCAGAUAAAUUAAUUGAAGAAUUGAAAUACAAUUUUAUUAUUAUACUAAUAUAUAAUUUUAUAAAAAUUUAAAAGAUUAAAUAAUAAAAUUUCCAUUUUUGAAGGAAGAAAAAUUGCAAAUUAGGUUUCAAUUCAUUAAAUAGGAGAAUAAAUGUGGUUCAGUACGAUCAAACUCACAUCCUCUCAUACUGACAACAAUGUCCAUGCCAACCGAGUUAAGACUCAACUGAGUAUAAUUUUUUAAAAUAAUGGAAAGAUUUGGCUAAGGUUAAUAUUUAUUUAUUUAUUUUGAUGAAACAUAAUUCAAACCAUAAUACAUUUUUUUUAAAACAAUAAUCUCAUUAUAAGUUUUGAUUAUAUCAGCUCUUUUUGAUAGAAUGCUUAGAACUAACUAUAGUCUCUGCUCAACCCAUAAAUAGGAGGAUAAUACACUUCAAUGCACUCGAACCCAUUUUUUUUAUAUUAGCAAUAAUACUAAUGCUAAUCGAACUAACGCUCAAUUGAUCAAACCAUGAUAUAGUUACUUCUAAUUUUUUUUUUUUAAAAUCGGCUUAAUAAUGUUUACAAAUAUUAGUUAAUUUUUUUAGUUAUAAUUUUAAAAAAGACAUAAUAUCAAAUUUAGCUCUCGAUAUUUAUAUCUUUUGUUAAUUUGGCUUUUGUUCUUUUUUUACCUAAAUUUGGCCCUCGACCUUUAAAAAAAAUCAAUUUGGUUAUCAACCUUUCAAAAAAAAGUUAAAUUAUUUUUUAAUAGAAAUACUGAUUAAAACGUUGAAUUUUUAAACAUGAUAGCUUGAAUGACAAUCCACAUUUACUUCAUGCUAAUUUUUAUAAAUUUUUAUGAACUUUUUAUAAUUUUUUGAAUUUUAAAUAAUUUUAUUUUUAUAUUUUUCAAAAUUAUUUAUUGAUAUAGUAUAUAAGAUAAAUAGUGUCAUGUCAGUAUUAAAGUACAUGUGAAUUGUCAUGCAAGUUGCCACACAAACAUCGUCAAAAAAUUAUUGUUUAAAUCAACAUUUUCAUUAAAAAAGUUAUUUGACUCUUUUUUUAAAAAUUAAGAAUCGAAUUUAAUUCAAAAAAAGUUAAGGAUAAAAUAAUAAAAGAUGUAAACAUUGUGGGUAAAAUUCAAAAUAAAAGUUUUUGGUAAUAAGGUUACACUUUAAGUCAAAGACAUUAGCGCGUGAGGUGUGGCAAAAACGACAAACCUCCCACUGUUUUUUUUUUUUAAUGAUAAAAUAAAUAAAAAUAAAAAUGCAUUAUCUACUAAGGUCUUCCAUUUUUGGCUUUGACCACAACCAAUGAAUUUUCUAGCAAUUUAUUGGUGAAGUGUAUAUAUGUAUAUUAUCAUUGUUGCUAUGUCAACAAAAAAAUUCAAAGAAAUUUUAAUAAGAUAUAUUAAUUUUAGUCAAUGAGUUUAUCUUUCAUUGUUUUGGAUAUUAAAAGUCAACUAUAUGUAUUUGAAAUUUUUUUAAAGAAAAAUAAAAAAAUAUUUUAGCACAAUAAACUUAAAUUAUUAAUUAACUUAUUUAAGUUCCUAAAAUUAUUAUUCUAGACUUUUUAAAAAAUUUAACUUUAUAUAUUUUUUAGAUUUUUUUGAAUUUUUUAUAAUUUUAAAAAAAUAUAAAAAAUCAUUUUGAAUUUUUAAAAAUUAUUUUGAAUUAUUUUUUAAUUUUUUGUUGAGAGAGAGAUCAAUUUAUUCAUUUUUAAAUUUGACAAUGACCAAAAAGGUAUUUACAUCAAUCUGUUAUUUAAAUUAUUUGAAUUAUAAAAUUUAACUCGAUUUGAACUCAAAACUUGAAUUACUUAUUCGAGUUGAUUCAAUUAACUUAAAAUUCAAAAUUUUUUAAUUUUUUGAAUCGAAUCGAAUUUUAUUUACCCCUAAUUCUAAAAAGUUUACUAUUGUAUAAAUAUAAAAAUAAUUGAUCCAAAAAUGAAGAUCCUAAAACUGUGGAUAGAUGUAGUCACUAGGUUAAGUAUUUAUGCUUUUAUAUAUUAGUGAUGAACAUGUAGCACCCGUCCGAUUGCCCCAAAGACUACUUCAAAGAGUAUAAAAAAAUAAUUAUUAUUAUUAUUAUUAAAAUUAUAUGGAAUUAGAAAGGGAAAUUCAAUUGGUUCACUUCGAUAAAUAUAUGGUCAAAGAUUUGGCAGGCAACAACCUUAAUGACUUCAUACUUCAUUAUUAUUAUUUUUUAAUGAUUCUGUUGAAAUUAAUCUCACAUUCUUGGAUCUGGUUAAUGUUGGGUUUUAACCUUGUAGUAUGAGCCUAAAAGAGUAAUCAUGGUGCACCAAGUGUUGUUAUUUUAAGAAUUUUAGUAAAUAUAGUUUUGUUUUUUAUUUAUUUUGGUUGGUUAAUUAUUGAAUUAAUUAUUCAAUUAUUGAGUUAAUUACUUAAUUUAGUGCUUGAUUUUUUUAGUUGUAAAAUUUUAGCUAUGGUCAAACCGUAACAAUUAAAUUUGUUGGAUAAAGUUUUACUAUUAGUCUUAUACUCUGUUUAAAUCAUGGAUUUAGUCAUUAUCAUUCAAGUUGUUCAUCUUUAGCCUUAUACUUUUUAAUUUUGAAAUUUCAAUAAUGGUUUAAGGCUAACUAAAUCUAUUAGCUAAAAUAAUAUUAAUUUUUUAUUAUAUCGUGGAAAUAAAAAAAUAGCAUGACAUUACAUAUGUGAUAAUAUAUUUACUAUAUAAAAUUUUGGAAGUAGCAAAUUUUAAUUUAAAGAAAUUAAUAGUUACUGUUUCACUCAUGAUUGAAAAUUUAAAAUUCAAAAAAAUAUAUAAUUUGGAAUGAUAAAAAGUAGAAUAUAAUACUAAAUCUACAAUUUGUGUAUAUUAUAAGCUAUAUAAGUAACUAUUCAAUAAAAUAAUUAAAUGAUAAUUAAAUAAUCCUUAACACAUAAUUACAAGCAUCAACUGUUAAAUGCAUUAAAGCCCAAUGUUAAAUGCAUUAAAACCCAACUUCAAAAAUAAAUAUUCGAUAUGGAAUAAGAUUAUUAUUUUAUAUCGAAAAUUUUUAAUUCUACAAGGGAGAGUUAGAAGUUGUCACAACUUAUGUGUCAUGUUAGAAUUGUGUGACUCGAAUCCGGGCCUUAAAAGUUUGAGGUGCAACUUACUUGUUAAAAAAAUAAAAUAGAGGCAAGAUUGAGGAUUUAUGGGUACGAACCUUGCCGCAGUUGAUUAUAAAAAGGUUGUUUAACCUUUAAAACGUGUGUAGCAGAAAACUUUUUGUAUUAUGUUUUUUAAAAUUAGUGAAUUUCUCCUCCUCAGCUCGUGGUUUUUCCAAAUAAGGAUUUUCCACGUAAAAUCUGCAUGUUCUUAUUUUUCUUUCUUAUUGCUUUGCGAUCAUUCCUACUGUCAUUAUCGAUGUAUAGUAUAACAAACUGGUAUCAGAGUAUUCGAGUUGCUUGUCUCGAUCAUGGUAAUGGCGACAUUGAAGUAUGAUAUUUUGUUGUUGGAUCACAAUACCAAAUUUUCAUUGUGGCAGGUAAAGAUGCAGGCAAUUCUCGUGCAGAUGAAUUUGGAUGAUGCCCUAUUAGGGUUAGAUAAGAUGCCUUUGACAUUGACGCUUAAAGAAAAGCAGCGUAAGGAUCGAAAAACCCUAGUACAAUUAUCGAAUGAAAUUUUACAAGACGUGUUGAAGGAGAAGAUCGUCAUUGUGUUAUGGUUGAAGCUGGAGCAACUAUGCAUGUCAAAAACCCUAACUAGCAAGUUGCAUAUGAAGUAGUGUAUUUAUUUUCAUUAUUUGGAAGAAGGUACGUAUUUGGUAGAAUACUUAAUUGUCUUUAAAGAAAAUUUCUCAGACCUAGAAGCCAUGAAGGUUCAGUAUAAUAAAGAGGAUUUAGGGUUAAUUUUGCUUUGUUCAUUGCUCCUUAUUAUUAACCUUUAGAGAUACAAUUUUAUAUAGUCACGGAUCUUUCACUGUUGAUGAAGUUUAUGAUUCCUUAGCCUUGAAUGAUAAAAUGAAACUUUUUGUAGCUGGAUCCGACCUUUAGGGAGAGGAUCCCAUUGUUCGUGAGAGACAAAAAUGAAAUACUGGUGAUAAUCAUGGGAGGACACAGGAACUAAAUCUUGGCAGUAAAGCUAAGAGUAGAUCGAAAUCUUCAAAUAGAGGUAAAACUUGUAAUUUUUGCAAAAAAGAAAGGGCACAUUAAGUCUAAGUGAUACAAGUUACAAAAUAAGAUCAAAAGAAAGACUGUGAAUUAAAAAGGAAAAUAACCGAAAAAUCUGGUGAAGCUGAUGUAGUACAAGACUACAGUGAUGGUGAACUCCUAGUUGCUUCUGUUGAUAACUCUAAAGUAAGUGAUGAGUGGAUCCUCGAUUCUAGUUGCGCUUUCCAUAUGAGUCCCAACUGGGAUUGGUUUACGACAUAUGAAACUGUGUCUAAAAGUGUUGUUUUGAUGAGAAAUAAUGCUUAAUGUAGAAUUUUAGGUAUUGACAUAAUCAAAAUUAAGAUAUUUGAUGGAGUCGUCAGAAUACUUGGUGACGUACGACAUGUACCAGAAUUGAAGAGAAAUUUGAUUUCGUUUAGUACUCUUGAUUCAAAAGGGUACAAGUACAAAGCUGAAGUGGAGUUCUAAAGAUUAGCAAGGGUUCUCUCGUCGUGAUGAAAGGGCAAAGAAAGACUGUCAAGUUAUAUGUUUUGCAAAGGUUUAACAGUUACAGGUAAUGCAAUCAUUACUUCCUCUUCCUAGUUAGAUGAUGAUGUUACUAGACUUUGGCAUAUGCAUCUAGGGCAUAUAAGUGAGAAUGGCAUGACAUAAUUAAGCAAAAGAAGACUUAUUGAUGGACUAGAAAACUGAAGUUUUGUGAGCGCUGCAUUUUUGGGAAGUAAAAGAGAGUUUGUAAGACCCCCUAACCCCGAACCGUAGCUGGAACAGAGUUACGAGGCAUUACCGGAUGUAUCAGACAACUUAUGAAUAAUUCACAAAUAAAAUAACAUUCAUAGCAUAAUUUAAUUACUAAAUUCCUAUAUUGAACUCUCAAAGUCUAAAGCAUAAAUUUAAGUGAAACGAGACUUGUUUAAGUACUCCAAUUUUUUUUUUAUAAAUUUCGACAGCAUUUCUGCUUAUUUUUACAUAAAUCCCCCUGCAAUUAAAACCAUAUCCAUUUCAAGCAUAACCAAUUCAACCAAAUUAUUUCACACAUUUAUUUUCUAUUCUAAAUACCUCUAAUCAACUUAAUCAAUAUAAUAUCAAUUUAAAUUUAUCAUUGUACUAAUUAAAUUGAAAUGGAUAAACUUUUUCAUUAUAAUUCUUAGACUUGUAAUACUAAUAUUUUAAACCAUUUAUAUUCAAAACAUAAUAACCUUUAUACACAUCCUAUGUACAUGCCACAUUACCAAAAGAAAAUAUACAUCACCAAAAAGUUUGCUGAAGUCGGGUCUGGCUUUGGAUGCUGGUUCAGUACUUGACUUCUACAACCUGCGCACGGAAACAACCGUACGCUGAGUAUGCAUAUACUCAGUGGUAUCACUAUAAUUUAGUUUAUAAUUAAAUACAUUAAAUCGCACACAUACUUUUACAUUACAAUUAUCAUCACUUAAUGAACAAUUUAAUCUUUUUAUGUUAUCAUUCGAUUAUAUAUAUAUCAUUCUUAUUUCUUUAUUUCAAUUCUCAACUUUCACAUAUGCUAUAUACUUUGACUUGGACUCGGCGGAUACACGGAUUCCAACCAACACACCAGUACGGCACAAUGUGCCUUAACUGUACACAGUACUUAAUCAGUAAUCAGUAACGGUAGCAGUAGCAGUAACAGUAACAGUAUUCAACACACAAAGUGCUGAAUCUGUAACAAUAGCGGUAACAGUAUUCGACACACAAAGUGUUGAAUCGGUAACAGUAACGGUAACGGUAACAGUAGUCGGCACAUAAGUGCCUGAUCAGUAAGCCGGCAAAACCCGUACUCUUCCUGUAAUAACCCGAAUUUUACCGUUACCGAAACAGUGUAUUUUCGGGUCUCCGUUUCUGAAAAACAGAUUCGUAAAUAUUUAUUAAAAAUAUUUACGAAGUAAAAUGAGUGGUUAAUUAGAGUUUAAUUAAGUAAAUUUAGCUUAAUUAAGAGUAAUUAGGAAAAAUGUCUAAAUUGAAUAAAGGAUGAAAGUUGAAUUGUAGAUUAAAAGAAAAUGAAGAGGACCAAAAUGGCAAUUAUGCCAUUUGUCCUAAGUGAGGCGGUAUAAACAUAAAAAUCUGAGAUUUUUAUGUGUUAAAAUAUAUAUUAAAUUAUUAUUAUUAUUUAUUAUAGUUUUAUAUUUAAUUAUUAUUGUUAUUGUUAUUAUUAUUUAAAUUGAUAUUAUAUUAUAAAAUGAAUAAAAGUAAGACAAGUAUGUGGUAAAAAAAAUUUUUAUAUGUGUACCAAUGAUAUACAUACACUUGUAAUACACAUAUAUGUUUGCUUAUUGUAUAAGUAUAUUAUAUAUUAUUAAACGUAAAGUAAAUAAAAAGGAAAUAAAGGAAAGGAACAGAAUGAAAAGAAACAGAAUGUGGAAACGAAACAGAGAAGAAACAGGGGAGAAAGAAAGAAAGAAAAAGAAAAAGGAAAAGGAAAAUUUGGGGUUUCAAGGUUCAAAGUUAAAUUGGUAAGUCAAUUUAGCCCCUUUUCUUGUAAAUUUUGAGUUUAUGGAAUCCUAGAGAUAAAUACUACUUGAUUUAAGUGAAAAUUUUGAAAGUUGUUAGCUUUUUAGAUAUUGUUCUUUUUGAAUAAAAAGAUGAAUUAAUGGCUAAAUUGAUAGAAAUUCAAGUUAGAAAUGAAAUAAGGAUUAAAUUGUAAAGUGAUUCACAAGUUUUAUGCUUUAAGGACUAAAUUGAAAGAAUUUUGAAAUUAUGGUUUUAUGAUGAAAAAUGGAUAAUUAUGUCUAAGUUUGGUUAAAAAUUGAAUAGAAAUGAAGUAUGAAUUGAGAUAGAAAAAGUAAGUGAAUCUAGUUAAGAUUAAAUUGAAAUUAAAGUAGAAAUUGAAUAAAAAUUGUAUUAAUUAGACAUAAAUUAGUAGUGAAUUAACGAAUAUGAAUUGUUUUAAUUCUCGUAGCUAAUAUUGUUUCGAGAAGUUUCGGCUAAGUAAGGAAAUAGCAAAGUCGACGAGGAAAAGCUUGGAAAAGCUCGGAAAAUACGGUUUGUAUUUCUAUAAUCCGAACCUAGUUAUUAUUUGUUAUAUUUAUAUACAUAUGACAAUUGUUAGUGUUAGAAUUAUGAUGUUUUACUAGUGAAAUGGAUUGAUUUUGGUAUGUGAUGAAUUUAUCAAAUUUAUAUUGAUUAAAAUCAUUUUGAUUAAAUUUAUAUUGAUUGAAAUUAUAAUAUAUAUAUAUAUAUAUGAUCUAUGUAAAAAUUUGAAUAUUGAAUGAAUGUUAUAUUGAAAAAUUAUAUUGAUUGGAAAUAUGAGGGAAUUGAUAUGAAUAUAUGAGAUUUGUGAUAAUUGAAUAUUUGAUAUUGAAAAGUGAAUUGAGUUGUAUUGGAUUAUGAAUUAAUGUGAAUAAUUGAAAUAUAUUUGUUGAAUUGAAUGAAAAUGUAUGAAAUUGUGAAAAUGUGUGAAAAUAUGUGAUUAUUAGAAUGGUAUAUUGAUGAAAGAUUUAUUAAAUUGAGAAAGUGAAUCAAAUACCCUAUUAACAGUAUCGGACCAGAUUGGAUACAAAUGGCAUGCCAUUGGAUUUGUGAUGUGAUGAGGAGAUUGCAGUUCGGCUAAGAAGAUGUUUCUGUUAUUAUAUACUUCGAUUUAUCCGAAGAGGCAUUUAAUGCCUUAUUGGUGUGUUUGGGAGGAUAUGAUAUACUGGUGUGUUAUGGAGGAUUUAUAAUAUUCCGGGUGUGUUUGGGUUGGAUAUUCUGGUGUGUUUGGGAGGAAUCCGCGUAUCUAUCAGAGUCCGAGUCUUGUUAAUAGGGGUAAAUAAGUGAAAAGAUAAAUCGAGUGAAUUUGAUUGAUUGAGCUAUUGGAAUGAAAUGAGAAGUUGAAUUGAGAAUUGAAAUUGAGAUAUGAGAUUGAAAAUAUGAACCAAAAGGUUCAUGAAAUGAGUGAAGUUCAAAUGGAUGAUAAUUGAUGCCACUUGAUGAAUUGAAAUGUGAAUUGAGAUAUAUGACUUGUAUAGAAUUUUUAUGGUAAGUAAAUGAAAUUUAUCUAUAAAACAAAUAAAUGAAUACUUAUAAUUGUUAUUAUGAUUUUAAGUUUAAUUGUUAUAUUAUUAAGUGUUCGGAUUAUAGAAAUACCACUGAGUAUACCAUACUCAGCGUGCGGUUUGUUUCCGUGCGCAGGUUUAGUAAAGAUAGAACGUUGAAUCAGCAUCCCAGUUCGAUUCCGAAUUCAUUAAGGUAAAGUGUGUUAAUUAUUGGUAAUGGCAUGUACCUAGGAUGUCUUAUGUGUGUGUCAUUUUGAAAUUGUAAAUGUAAGGAUGAAAUGAUAUUGUAUGGAUUUAGUGAAUAAUAGUGGUAAAUGAAUAAAUAUGGCCUUCAGUAGUGUAAAUUUUAAAAUUCACCAUAAAUUGUGGAAAUUGAAUUAAGGGCUGAAUAAAAUAUGAGAUUAAAUCCUGAUGAGUCUAGUUUCAUAUAGAGGAAACGGUGCAUGCAAUUGGAUUUUAUGUUAUGAGAUAUUUAAAUUGUUGUGAGACAGAGUCUGAAUGACUUUGAGAUCCUCUGUUCUAAUUUUAGAAAAUCAUUGGAAAUUAUACAAAAAUAAUUAUGAGUUUUAAUUUAUAUAGUUAAAAUCCUUAUUGAGUCUAUUUUUAAGAGGGAUAGAUAGGAACAUCAUCUGUAUGCCGAAUUAUGAGAUAAAUAAUUUUUAGUGAAGAGAGGUCAGAACUGUUGGACAGCGAAACACGGGAAACUUUUAGAAAUAAGCUGUACUAAUUGGCUAAAUCAAAAAUUCUGAAAAUUUUAUGGUAGAAAGGUAUAUGAGUCUAGUUUUAAGGAAAAUUAACGGAACUUAAUUUGGAGUUUCGUAGCUCCAGAUAUAAAUAUUUUAGUGACUAUUGCUCAAGAAGAUAGUUUUGACAUGAACAUAAGAAAAUAAUGGAAUUAUGUGUAAUUAUUCUGUAAACUCCGGUAAUGCUCCAUAACCCUCUUCCGGGAUGGUUUGGGGUUAGGGGGUGUUACACUUCCAUAUCCUAUGGCAUGCCAACUAUAUCCGACUAGCCCGACUAGUUAAUAGAGUAUUUAAAUCAUUUUUCAGUACAAUUUCCAUUUCGAUUCAAUAUUAAUUAUAAUUUAUUAUUUUGAUCAAUUUACACAGUAAUACUGUAAUUCACUUUAUUAGAAAUUUUACAGUUCAAUGCAAUAAACGUAACAUUAUUCAGUAAUUUCACAGUUCAAUUCGGUAUUCAAAACAAUAUUCAGUAUCCCAUAAUUCAGUUCAGGAUCAAUCUCAAUUUUAAUUCCCAAUCACAAAUUUUAUCAGUUCAUUAAAUACUUACCUUAAAAUACUGACCACACAUUCAUAUUAAAUUAAACAUAUAUUAAUUAUAAAGCUUGAGUUAUAGUGAUACAAACCAGAAUUUUCUUCGAAUUUAAUCCUCGACGAUCUUUCCUUUUCCUUUUUAGGCCGAUGCUUCAGGCUUGAUAUUAGCUACGAACAUUAAAAUAAUUUCACAAUUAUUAGCAUAACACAAUUUAAAUGCUGAAAUUUUUAUCUAACUUUUACUUUAAUUCCAAUUUAAUCCCAACUAAACCUAUUUAUUUUUCUUUCUCAAUUUAUACCUUUUUGCUACUCAAUUUCUUGCCAAACUCACAUCUAACUAUUUAAUUUUUAUCAUAUUUUCAUAAUUUCGAAUUUAUUUCAAUUUAAUCCCUAAAACUCAAAACUUAUAACUUAGUUUACAAUUCAAUCGUUUAUUCAAUUCCAAUCAAAAUUUCUAUCAAAUAAACCCCCAAUUCCAUCAUUUGUUCAACAUAAACCCUAGUAAAAAAUCUAUUAACUUUCAAAAUUUCAACUUAAAUUCAACAAAACUUUAUUCUAAAGCUUCUAAGACAUCAAAAUUAACUAAAAAGGACUUAAUUGACUUACCAAUCAAAGCUUCAAGCUUUAAAUCUCUAGUUUUUCCUUUUUCUAUUUCUUUCCCUUUUUCUCUCUUUUUUUCUCCCUUGUUUUCGAAUGCUUCUGUUUUCUAUUUGUUUGUUUUAUUUAUUUUAUGCUUUAUUUCUUUUUAUUUUAUUUUAUUUAUAUUAUAUUUAAUUAAUAAAUACCUAUUUAAUAGCAAUUAUAUAUAUAACAAUUGUACACACACAUGUUUUAUAUUUGUUCAAUAUUACCACCCUACAUUUUUCAUAAUUUUAUUUAAUUAUCACAUAAAAAUCUUAUUUUAUAAUUAUUUAAUUAAUAAAUAUCUCUUAAUUUUAAUAAUAAAUAAUAAAUAUCUACUAAUUUAAAUAAAAUAUUAUAAUUGUAUAAAUAUUAUCAUUACAUAUGUAUAUUUUUAUCACCUUACACUUGUCAUAAUCAUACUUUAUUUAACAUAAAAAAAAUCUUAUGAUAUAAUUAUUUAAUUAUCAAUAAUAUAAUUUAAUCUAAUUAUCUAUUACUUUAAUAUUAAGUAAACAAAUUAUUUUAUAACAAGUACACAUGUAUCUAUUUAUUACAAAUAUACCAAUAUUUUUUUUUAUUACCAUACAAUUCUCUACUAUUUAAUUUAUUUAAUAAUAAUAAUAUAAAACCAUAACAAUUAAUAAUUAUAAUAAUCAAUUAUAUAAUAUAAUAUAAUAUAAUAUAAUAUAUAUAUAUAAUUUAAAUAAAAUCUUAGAUUUUUAAUAUGUUUAUGCCGCCUCAACCAUUACUUAAUGGCAUAUUUUCCAUUUUGGCCCUUUUUACUUUCUAUUGCUUUAGAAUUAAACUUUUACCUCUUAUUCAAUUUAAUCCUUUUUACUAAUUACUCUAAAUUAAGCUAAAUUUACUUAAUUAAAACCUAAUUAGACACACCACUAGACUCAUAAAUAUUUUUAAUAAUUAUUUUCGAACUUAUUUUACUAAGAUGGAGGCCCGAUAACACACUUUUCUGGUGCCUACGGAUUUUGGGUCGUUACAGAGUUUGAUUCACCAGAGGAGUCCAUAACACAAAGGGAACGCUAGAUUAUAUUUAUUUUGAUCUUUAGGGGCCAUCUAGAAUGUCUUUUAGGGGUGGCGUUAAUUAUAUGCUAAUAAUCAUUGAUGAUUUUUUCCAAAAAAGUUUAGGCAUUAUUCCUGAAACAGAAAAGUGAUAUGUUACCCACAUUUAAGGAUUAUAAGACUAUGAUCGAAAAGCAAAUAGGAAAACAUAUAAAACACCUCCGCACAAAUAAAUUUUGUUCUAAUGAGUUUAAUGAAUUGUACAAAUUAGAAGGGAUCGUGAGACACUUGACAGUCCGUCGUACUCCACAGUAAAAUGGCAUUACAGAAUGGAUAAAUAGAACAAUAAUGGAAAAGGUUUGAUGCAUGUUGUCGAAUAAUCAUCUACCAAAGUUGUUUUGGGCUGAAGUGGCCUUUACAACAUGUUCAUUGAUUAAUCGGUCUCCGUCCAUUGCUAUUGAGGAAAAGACUCCACAAGAGGUAUGUCUGGUACUCCUGCUAACUAUUCUAAUUUGAAGAUUUUUGGGUGUCUCACGUAUGCUCAUGUUGAUAAUGGUAAAUUGGAGCCUAGAUCUAUUAAGUGUAUUUUUCUUGGAUAUAAGGCUGGUGUUAAAAGGUAUAAGUUAUGGUGUCCUGGAACUAGAAAAGUUAUAAUUAGUAGAGAUGUUAUUUUUAUUAAGACCGCUAGGCUACAUAACUUACCUCUUAAAGACUCUUUUGAAAAAGACCAGCAGAGGUCAAACACACAUGUGGAGCAGGUGGAGCUUCAGAUUAAUUCAAAAUCUACAACAGAGUCUACUCCUCAGGUUAGUAUAGAAACUCAGAGUAGAGUUGUUCCUUCACCACAAUCAGCACCAUAAUAUUCUAUUGCCAAGAACAAACUAUUUGGUAGAUGAUUUCAAAAGAAGCAGUUUUGACAGUUGUGUUUAUCUUGAGAAGAGUGGUGAUGAUUCAUCUGAAUAUCUACUCUUUUAUGUUGAUGACGUGUUAAUAGCAACUAAAGAUAAAUAAGAGAUAAGAAAGGUCAAAACCCAGCUUAGUAAAGAACUUGAGAUGAAAGGUUUGGGAGAAGCAAAGAAGAUACUCGGGAUAGAGAUUUUCAAAGAUAGAAAAGCAUGUAAAUUAUACCUAACUCAGAAAGGGUACAUUGAAAACGUUCUUUGCAGGUUCAAUAUGCAGAGUGCUAAGUCUAUUAGUACUCCAUUUGCAACCCAGUUCAAACUUUCAUCAGCCUUGUCUCCGCAAUCAAAUGAUGAGAUUGACUACAUGUCACGAGUUUCAUAUUCUAGUGCAGUGGGAUCUCACAUGUAUGCUAUGGUUUGCUCACGUCUAAAUUUAUCAUAUACAGUUAGUGUAAUUAGUUGGUACAUGGGGAAUCCCGAUAAAGAACACAUGAAAGUAAUUUAAUGGAUUUUUAGAUACUUACAAGGAACUACUGAUGUUUACUUAUAGUUUGGAAAUAAUAAAGAUGGAGUCAUUGGGUACGUUGAUUUUAAUUUUGCUGGAGAUCUUGAUAAAAGAAGGUCUCUCACAGGGUAUAUUUUUAUUAUUGAGGGUUGCACCGCCAAUUGGAAAGUCACUUUGCAGACUACAGUUGCUUUGUCUACUACUAAAGCUAAGUACAUAGCGAUUAUUGAGGCUUCUAAAAAAGCUAUUUGGUUAAAGGGUCUCUUUGGUGAACUCAACAAAGACAUUCACAUCAGUACAAUGUUUUGUGAUAGUUAGAGUGUCAUAUUCCUUACAAAUGAUCAAAUGUUUCAUGAGAAGACGAAGCACGUUGAUGUUUUAUAUCAUUUUGUGUGUGAUAUUACUGCCCGUGGUGAUAUUGUUGUGAGCAAAGUUACCACUCAUGAUAAUCCUGCAGAUAUGAUGACUAAGUCACUUUUUAUAGCCAAGUUUGAAGAUUGCUUAGACUUGGUCAGUGAUCAUUGUCGAAGAAUACCCCUUAAGGGGUUUCAUGAAAGAAGUGGAGAACUUGUUCAUCGAGAAUUAUUGUCAAUAUAGAGAUUGUUAGAGUUGUAUGACCCGAAUCCCAACCUGAAAAGUUCAAUGUGCAAUUUACUUGUUAAAAAAAUAAAAUAAAGAGAAAAAUUUGGGGAUCUGUGGGUACGGACCUUGCCGCACAAGUUGAAAUUGUAUAGGAUUAUACUUCUUCUAUUAAACGUUAAUAAUAAAAGGGUUAUUUAACCCUUAAAACAUGUGUAGCAGAAAACCUCUUGUAUUUUGUUUUUCAACAUUAGUGAAUUUUUCCUCAUUUACCCGUGGUUUUUCUCAAUAAGGAUUUUCCAUGUAAAAUCUGUGUUCUUUUUUUUUCUUUCUUAUUGUUUUACGAUCAUUCCUACUAUAAUUAUCGACGUAUAGUAUAACAUGUCCUUAUGUAAUAUUAAAAAAACUAAAAAUUAAUCAAAAUAAACACAUGUCAAUCAUUUAACUCUGUCCAUGGAGUUUAAAAAAUUCAAUUGAUAUUGUAUCAAAUAAUUUUCCUAAAAAUAAAUGAUGAUUAAGUAUUUUUGAAUCGAAUAUUUCUCAUUAGGAACUGUCAAGAGAUGCCAUAGAAAAAUAAUAAAACUAGUAAAAACAUUAAUACAAUGAUUAGCCUCACAAUGAAAUACUAAUCCAUUAAAUCCUCCUAACCUCGAUGCCUCUCUCAAUAAAAGGUAGUUUUGAAGUGCAUAGACUAUGUUUUCCCUUACUACACCACACUUAUUCCAACUUGAAUCAUUGGACGUUGGCAUUAUAGCAAUUUUUGCUGCCAUUGGCAAAAUUUCAUUUCUCAACCUCUAAGCAAAAAAUUUAAGCUUUGAUAAGGUAUGAAUACUCCAAAUUGCGUGCCAAAUAAAGUAGUGUAGACCAUAGUUUGUAUCUUUUGACAAGAGCUAACUAUAGCAAGCUUUUGUAGAAUAGAUACUUGAGGAUGCAUCCCACCAUACAAUCACAUCUUACACUAAAUCAUGCAAGAGAGGACUUAUUUAAAAAAAAAAGUAAUACCAAAGUGCUUGAAUCCACACAUGCCAUUUGGUAAUCUAACUAUAUUCCAUUACAACAUUGCCCAUCUUUGAUCGCCACUCUUCUCAGAACAAAGUUGUAGAGGAAAAAAUUAGGGGUGAGUGUUUAAUCUAAUCGAAUAAAAAAUUUCAAGUUAAUCGAGUUGAAAAAUCCUAUUUUAUAAUCCUAACUCAAUUAGAAAUUUUUUCGAAUUGAGUCGAGUGAGAUGAGGUUUGGGGGAAAGCAAAAGGAAAAAAGUUUUGGGGGGUUUGGGGGAAGUAAAAGUUUUGGGAGAAAAGUAAAAGGAAAAAAAUUUAAGGGGUUUUGAGAAAGUAAAUGUUUUAAGGGGAAAGUAAAAGGAAAAAAGUUUUGGAGGUUUGGGGGAAGUACAAUUUUUAGGGGGAAAGUAAAAAGGUUUGAAAAGGGUUGAAGGAAGGAAAGUAAAUGUGUUUGGUAUUUGGUUUAUUCGAAUUUUUUGAGUUAUUCAAAUUCAAAAAUUCAACUUGGUUCGAACUCAAAAUUCGAAAAAAAAUCAAGUUGAUUCAAUUAACUAGUCAACUUUAUAUUAUUUGAUUCAAAUAAUUCGAAAUUCAAUUUUUUUUAGUCAAAUUAAAAUUUUCUCACCCCUAGAGAAAACAACACAUAACAUAUGUAAGCAUCGCUUACAAUACUUGUAGCGACGUAAAAAAAAAAAUUUAGCUUGGUCGCUAAUUAGGGUGUUUGAUUGAAAGUUUAAAGACUGAGUUUUGAUUUUGAAAUAAAAGGGAGUCGCCACCGAUCCUUUUUCUUAGAUGUGAUCGGAUACCUAUUAGAUUUCUUCUUCUUUUUUUUUAAAACAAAAAGAAAGCCGAGUUUAGGUCUACAUCAAAAGCCAGAGAAAAAUUAGGGUUCGGGAGUUGGUUACGCGCAAGGAAGGUAUUAGCACCCUCGCGACGCCCAAAAUUGGUAUCUUGUAAAACACGCGUUGUCUUGAUUUUCAAAAAUACGAGUUCAAUGUAAGAUUUAAUCGUGAUCCGGUUGAAAAGACGAGAAUUUUUUAAAUUUUGAUUGGUUAAAAGGGCGUCCCGUUUUCAACACGAGCCGAUAUGAUUCACCCAACAUAGCGAUGAGAUCAAUGACUUAGUGUUAAACCGAUACGUCGCCUCAUGUAUUGAAAUUAAUUAGAAAACGAGAAUAAGAUUUUCGAAGUAAUGCAGAGCAAAUUGACAUGAAAUAAAAAUAAAUAAAAGAACUAGAAACAUAUUGAAGCAAAUAAUAAAUAUGACAAUAAUGUCAAAAACGAUAAAGAUAUAUGCGGUAUUAAACGUAAUAUGAGAAUUAAAGAUGAAAUGGAAACAAUGUAUGUAUAUAUAUACGCAUAUAAUAAUGGUUAAUAUAGUCAUGAAAACAUGAUAUUAAAAUAUUAAUGAUGCUACACAUACGUAUACUUAAUAGUAACAAAUAAAAACUAUAUAAUAUAAUAUAAUAUGAGAAAUGUAUAUACAUAAGAUGAUCAAAAAUACGUAGAUGGAAUAGUUUAAGAAAUAUAUACAUGGAAACAUUAAAAAUAAGUACAUAAUAUAUAUAUAAUAUAUACAAUAUAUAUUUAUAUUAGAAUGAUAAUAGUAUAUAUAUAAAAACUAUACACAUGCUACAUAAGUACGUAUAUAUAUAAAAAUAACAGCGGUGUUAGGAAUAUGUACAUAAGAUAGUAUAAAGAAAUAUAUAACUAAUGAUAUCAAAAUAUAUACAUAAUAACAUAUAAACAAUAUAAUAUUUUUUUUAAAAACGUACAUAAUAUAUAAAUAUAUAUACAUAAUAUAUAAAUAUAUAUAUACAUACAUAAUAUAAUAUUUACAUAAUGUAUACAUAUUAGAAAUAAAAAAGACUAUUAAUAAUACUACAUAAAUAUAUACGCAUACAUAUUAAAAAUAUAUACAUAUAUAAUAUUAAAAAAUGUAUAUACAUAAUAUAUAUAAAAACAUAAUAUAGUAAAAAAAUAUACAUAAUAUAAGAAUGUUAAAAUAAUAAAUAAAAAAUAAUGAAGAAAUGAGUAAAAAUGAUAUACAUAAUAAUACAGUAAGAAAAUUAUAUAUUUAUAAUAAGUACUUAAAAACAUCUAUGUAUAUACAGAUAAUAAAAGUAAUAGUGAAAAUAAUAAAUAUAAUAAUAAAUAUGAUAAUAGAAAUGAUAACUGUCGAAACCAUUCCUUGAUUUAAAAAUUUUAAAAUUUUAAAAAAGGGGUAAUCGACUUUUGAAAAACAAAUGCAUGGAGUCACCACCGAUUUUUUGUUUUGGUGUGAUCGGAUCACCUAAAAAUUUGGUUAUUUUAAUAAAACAUUUAUGAUUUACUAAAACAACAAUUUUGGUCUAGAAAAAUUUUAGAAAACGGGCUCAGGAGUCGGUUACGCAUGAGGAAGGAUUAGCACCCUCACUACGCGCAAAAUUGGUACCAAAUCGAUUAAAUAUUGUCCUUAUGUCUAAAAUUAAAAAUGUUUUUGAAAUGUGGCUUUUUUUAAUAAAAGUUGAAUAACCUGAGUUAAUCGUCAAAAAUUUUCUUGUUUCGAUGUCCGGAAAUUUAUAAUUCGAAAAUCACAAAAGGAUGCUCAACUAUUUAGUCCAACGAAAGAUCGAAACCCAGCACAGUAGGGCACGAUUCUUUGAAUUCCCAAACAUUGAUCAUUGCCUCACUUUGGAAAAUACGAGUGAAAUCCCGGAGAGAUAUUUGAUUAUUUCGGUCAGACGGGAGAUUGCAACCCAGCACGAUAGGGCACUAUUCCCCGAACUGCCCAAACAUCAAACACUUCUUUCGUUUUAAAGGGUUUUUAGAAAACGUGGAUGAAACUUCAAAGGGAUCUUCGAUUGCUUAGAAUAAAUGAAAAAGCGCAACCCAACACGAUAGGGCACGAUUCUCAAAUAUCCAAUCAUCGAACAUCCUUUGUUUUGAAAGGUUUUUAAUAAGCAUGGGUGAAAACCUAAAGGAAUAUUCGAUUGUUUUUAAGCAAACGAGAAAUCACAACCCAGCACGAUAAGGUAUGAUUCUCGAAUCAUCAAACACCGAGUAUUGCCUUUAUUUGCGAAAAAUCUUAUUUCGAGGUAACAACAUGUCAUACCCGGUAAGUUAGGGCAUCACACCUCGUAUCUCCAAAAAUAAAUAUUUUUUUUAAACUCACAUUGUGAUUAAAAGGAAUAUUCCAUUAUUUAGGUUAAAUAACAAGAAUCGAAACCCAGUAAGUUAGGGUAUGAUUAUCUCGAAUUACCUAAUACGGAAUAUUACUUUUAUGAAAGAAUUGUUUUAAUAUAUUGAGUAAGAAAAAUAACGUGAUUUAUAGUAAAACAUAAAAGCAAAUUAUAAUAUUAAUGUGAAUAAUAACAUAAUAGGUGCGACAGUGUCAAAAACGAUAAUAUGAGUAAUUAUAAAAGAUGAAGUAAUAGCAAGACUAGUAAUAUGUAAAUAUAAACAAAUGCAUGAGGAAAAUGAAAUGAUCGAAGACAUAAGCAAAUUAACGAAUAAAUGAAAAUGAAUAAAACAUGGAACAACAAAAAUGGCAAUGACAAUGAUGAUAAUAAUAAUAAUAAUAAUAUAACGUAGAAAAUAAUGAUAAUAAUAUAUGAAUUUAAAAUAUAUAUAUACAUACAUAUACCAAAGACAUAUUCAUAAUAAUAGUAUUGAAUAUUAAAAGUAUAUAUAUAAUAGAGACAAAAAUAUAUGCAUAAUGUACUAUUAAAAGUAUUUACAUGGGAUAAUGUAUAAAAAAACAUAUGAAUAAUGUGAUAUUAAAAAUAUAUACAUAAAAAUAUAAUAGAUAUAUAUAUAUCUAAUAUAUACAUAAUAUAGUAUUAAAAAUAUAUAUAAUACAUACACAUUAGAAAUAAUAAUAAUAAUGUUACAAAACAAUUAUUAAUAAUACUUCAUAAAUAUAUACAUACAUAUAUAUAUGUUAAAAAUAAGUACAUAUUAAUAUUAAGAUGAUGAUAAUAUUAAAAUAACCAUUGAUAACUUUACAUAUAAAUAUAUACACAUAUAAGUAUGAUAACAGUAAUUAUAAUACUAAUACUAAUAAUAAAUACAACAAUAGUAGUAAAAAUAAACACAUUAAUAAUCAUGAAAAUAAUGUGUACAUGAAAAAUAAUAAUGAUAUGAUAAAAAAACGAUACAAUAUAAUAAUAACAUAAAGAAAAUAAAAUAAUAAUAUUUAUAAUAAAAGAAAAUAAAAGAGUGUAUUUAAAAGCAUAUAUAUAAUAUUAUUUGAACUAAUAUUAAAAAUUAAAGUAGCAAAGAUAAUAUAAAAAUCAACUUAAAUUAAAAAAGAGACUAAAUUCGAAUUAAAAACGAAGUUUUGGGGCAAAUUUAAAAAUAAAAAUAAAAAUAAAAGGGCCUAUUUAAAUGCACGUAAAACAAUAGAGGGCCUAAAGUGCAAUAACCCCCUUUAUAAAAUGCACAGCAUCAGCUAGGAUUAAAUUGAAAAUUGCGACAAAUUUUGGUGCCAAAUUAAAAAUAAAAAAUAAUUUAAUUGCAAAGUAAUAAAAAGCGGAGGGGCUAAACGCGCAAAUAGCCCCUCCAAUGAAAACACGCGGAUCCUGAAGUUGGAGCGGGUCGGGUCACGGGUCGGCCAUGGGUUAAGAGCCAAAACGACGUCGUUUUGGCAUUAGUGGCUUAAACUCAAAACAACGUCGUUUUGAUGGGGCUAUAUAAGUCAAAAUUCCUAAAAAAAACUCAUUUUUCCUAUUUCAUAAAAAAAAAACUAACCCCUUUUCUCUCAAACUCUCUCAAGGCCUUCUCCCUCCGAUCAAACUCCGGCUCCGUCCGCCACCAUUCGCUGCCGCCGGCCACCGCGCACGGUGGCCGAAAAUUUCAAAAAGUUUUUUUUUAUAUUUAUAUUUCUUAUAUAUAUACCUGAUAUAUUUUAAUACAUGAAUGAGAAGAGAUGGAUUCGAAUAAUAAAAUAAAAAAGAAAAAAAAAACCUUAAGCCGGUUUGCACUUUUUUUUAUGACUUUGUUAUUAUCUUUUUUUUGUAUUGCUUGCUUUUUUUUUUUUGAGAAAAAUCUUUAGAGAGAUUACACUUUUUUUUUCAAUCUCUUUUUUUUUAUAAACCCCUCCUUUUUACAAUAUUCUUGUUUUUGUACCAAAAAAAAUCCGAGAUUUCAGGCUUUGUAGCCGAAAUACCAUGAAUUUGCUAUCUAUUUCCUUGUUUUCUUCUGCCCCUUUUUUUGUUUUUUCUUCUUUUGACUUCUGCAGUUGUAAGUGAAGCAAGUGGAGGUGGCUAAGUUUUUUUUUUUACUAAAAAUUAGUUAAGAUUGUGGGCUAAUUAGGCUUUUAGGGUUUUAAUAUUUGGGCUGUAAUUAGGUAUUGUAUUUAUUUAUUUGAUUUAUUGGGCCCCGGGCAAAAUUUGGGCCUUACAAUAAUACUAUAUACAAAUUAUAUAUAUACAUACAUAAUAAAAUAUAUGUACUAAUAUUAAUAAUAAACAUAAUAGGAAUAAAAAUAAAUGAAAUAAUACAUACAUAAUAUUAGUAUUUAAAUACGUAUAAUAUAAUAUUUAAGGAAAAACCGUAUAUAAUAUAUGCGUACUUAAUAUAGCAUUUAAAAUAUAUAUAUGAUAAUAUAAGAAUAUAACUAACAAUAUUCAAGAAUACACGCAUAAUAUAAUAUGAAUACAUAUGUACGUAUUAUAGAAUUUAAAAAUACUUAAUAUAUCUAAAGAAUAUAUACAUAAUCUAGAGUUAAGAAUAAUAAUAAUAAUAAUAAUAAUAGAUAAAAAGAAAACUAUCAAUAAUACUAUAUAAUAUAUGUAUGUAUGUAAGUAUUAAGUGAAAAUAAUACUAAUGCUAAUAAAUAAUAAACAUAAUAAUGAUAGUAAUAAAAUAUAAUAGCAUAUAGUAUUAAAAUUAAAAUAAAAUAAUGAGAAAAAGUAAAAAAGGAUAAAAUUGAAUUAAGAAUGAAGUUUUUGAGACGAAUUCGAAAUAAAAAGGAAAGGGAUGACCACAGUGAAACACGCCAGGAAAGUAGAGGGAUCCCAUGCGCAAAUAGACCAUUCGGUCAAAAUGCGCAGAUCCUCCACUGGCGCGGGUCGGGUCACGCGGGUCAGAGGUCCAAAACGACGUCGUUUUGGCCUCUGAACCCUAAUCAUUCAAACGGUGCCGUUUUGCCUCUAUUACCUAAACCAAAACCCUUUUUUUUCACUUUCAGCCCCUGUUUUAGAAAAAUCAGAGAGCCACUCUGCUUUCCUUCCCUUUUCAUUCCUCUCCUUAGUCUUCCCCAUGGCCGACCCUUGGCUUUCCACCGCCCCUCGUACCCCCUCUGUAUCCGGUGACUGACGAAGCGCAAAGAUGGGGUUUGUCGAUCACUUUUUGAGUGGGUCCAAAGGUGGUAGACUCUAAAUCCGCGAAAUCGAAAGGAGAAAGGCCCCUUUUUACCUCGUUUUGGUACGAUUCCGGCCACGGGGAAGAAGCCUCCGACGAUGAGAUCGUGGAACGAUGACGCGGUCGCAAGGUAACUCCGGUAAACCCUCUCAUUUUUUCUUUUUAUUUUCGUAUUUAUAAAAGAAUAAACAAAAAAUAAACUAAAGAUAAUAAAAGAUAAAAAUGAGUAACACGAAAAUCACCUUAAAGCUUAUAUCUUUUUGUUUUUCUAUCCCUUCUCUUCCUCUUUUUUUCUUUUUGUUACAUUUUCUGUUUUUUGGCCCUAUAUAUCCGAAUACAUGCCAUUAUCUUUUCUUAUUUCUGUCAUCUGUCUCUGCGUGUCGUGGUCUCCCUUUUUAUUUGAUUUGUUUGCAGGUUACAAAUCAGUGGCGGUGACAGAGGGUAGGUGCAGAGAGCAGUUGGCCGACAGUCAGGGGCAAGUGGGGCGUCGGCUGAACCUAGGGGCUAGGGUUUCUUGAUUUUUUUGGUUAUUGGGCUAGGUUAAGUUUAGGUUUUGGGCUAGGGGAUUUAAUUAGAAUUGGGCUUGAUUAUUGGGUUCCAGGUAUGGGUUUGAAAAUGGGUUAAGUGGGCUAAGUGAGUAGGGCAAAUUUGGGUUUCAACAAUACUGAUUUAGCAAAAACCUCACAACCUCCAAUGUAAACAAUCACUCUAAUCAACUCUUUUUUUUUUUGUAUUUUAUCAAUAACUUGUUUAAAAGUUUUUACGAAUGAAUCAAGGGAGGAGACAAGGAGAAGGUUGCGGUAAUGUUAAGGAAAGUCGGUUCACUUUAGCUGAGCAGAGAGUCGGAGGAAGUAGGUGAGUAAGGAGGCUGAGUAUGUAAAGUACAAGGCUAAGGAUAAUAAAGUGGCUAUUGCUUAAGGUUCGACAUUUUUGUUAUUGAGUCUGGGGAUAUAUAUAUAUAUAAUAGAGGUUUCAUGCUUGAAGAUUCUAUCAUCAUUGUGAACUGCACGGAGGGAUGUAUGUGAUGGGGCUCAUUCUAGCAUUCAUUCUAAAUGAUAGUGCAAGGUUGUAAGAUUCAAGUAAGGUUUGGUGGCCUAAAAGUCACACUCUCAACAGAAGAGCAGGUGCCCUGAGGAAUGGAUGGAUGAGACCCUUCUAAAAGGAGCGAGAAGCUUGUUCGUAGGGAUGGUCGGCAAAGACCCUUUCGAGGAUAACAGAAGGCUGGCUAGGAUCAAGCCUUCCGAGCCACUAGUCCUCUGGUGGUUUGUUGUGCUACCACAUUUUCCAAGCCGUAGGGGGUAUAACAGAAAGCUAUUAAUUUUUUCUUACUAAUAAUAAGUAGCAAACCCAAAUAGCAAUCCAAAUCAUUUUCCUCUUUAACGUCCCAAAAUUACUUUGGUGUUGAAAAGAGAAACACACAUGUAUUUAUAUUUAUCAUCUUUCAAUUAAGUUAAAAUAUGCUUCAAGUCUCUGUACUUUUCAUAAUUUAGAAUUUAGUCUUUCUUUUAUUUUCAAGAAUUUAAUCAUUUUAAUAUCAUAUUUAAAAUUGUAAGUCUAAUUGUUAACAUUGUUAAAAUUCUUCUGCUAAAUUUGUUAAAAUUAGGUCCAUUACAACGUCAAUAUUUUGUUUCAUGAUUAUCAAGUAAGUAUUUUUUUAGAAUUUCAAAAUGUCAAACCAGAAAAUUUAACAAAAAAAUAAUUGAUGAUGUUUAAAUUGCACUUAAUUUUUAAAUCCAAAAAAUUGAAUGAUUAAAUUUUUAAAAAUAAAAAUAGAAAAAUUAAUUUUUAAAUAUGAAAAAAGUAUAAAAAUUGUUAUAUCCCUAUUUCAAUUUGGACUUAGUUGUACCCUUCAUUUGACCACUCAAUGCCCACUAAGUGGCAUAAUUGGAUAUGAAUUCUCGCUUAGCUAUAAAGACCCCAAGGAUUAACAUUGUAGGAGACUCAUCUCUCCCAAAACCUUAAUUUAUUAAGCACUCAUUCUCUUUUACCUGAUUCCCUCUACUUUUUCGACUCUCAACCUUGUAAUGAAUAAAUUGGUCUUCUUCAAUAUUGCCCCUCCCCUUCUCCAUCUCUCUAUUAAUACGAUGUAUCAACAAGUAGUUAAAAGCAUUUUUUAACUUUCAACUCAUUCAAAUGUUGGAAAUCACAGUUGUUUUACAAUAUUUCGUUCUUUUUUUUUUAAUCACUAAGUAAUUCCUAAGGCCCCAUUUCGAAUUUUGGCUGCUCCCCACCAUGUCUUCAAGGUUUGGUUGGCACUGAUCGUUGAGUCUCAUAGUGGUUGACAUUUGACAUAAACCCCCCCUUCCCAUCGGAGAUUCCCUUUUUUAACAAAAUUCAAGAAAUACUAUUCAAAAGGUCAAUACAUUUUUAUUUAUUUAUUCUGAAUUAAAAAAUAUAUAUAAAUUCUGAAUUUAGUUUUUAUAUAAUGAAUGUAUAUUAAGCUAUUCAAGUAUAUACAUGAUCAAGUUUAACAUAUGUCUUCAUCUUACUGGCAAUGGAUUGUAUAUCAUUUAGCUUUUUUUGCAAUAUUUUCGUUGAAAAAUACAAAUUAUUUUCAUCUCCCUUUUUCUUUUUUGCCAAACAAAUAGCAUGAUAAUUGUUAAUAUCGAUUUUUCAUUUUAUUAUUUCCGUUCUUCUAAAUGAUUUCAAGCAGCAAAACAGGACCAAUAUGGAGAAGACCUUUCAUUUACCACCGAAUGAAGACCACACAUAUAUGCUGAAUUAACUUUUCUUUUUUGGUUGGAAUCUUUUGUUAAUUUGCCAUCGUCUUUUUUUCUGAAGAAUGGUGGUUGUCUUUUUUGAAAACCCUUUUUCAAAAAAAAAAAACAUAUGCGCGAAUUGUUUGAAGAAUUAAUCGUAAAUGGCAUAAGAUUACUUACAGAUUGAUAUAUUAAAACUUUCUUUUAUAUGAGCUUAAGUUAGUAAUCGAAUUUUUUUUAUUGGAGUUACAGUAACAUGAAAGAGGGCAUAAGAACUAGUGUUGAAGCAAUUUUUUAACAAAAGGAAAACAUAGAAAAACUACAUUAAAAGAGAUGGGGAAGAGAGAAAAAUAGAGAGAGAAGUAAAAGAGAAUGGAAAAUAAAGAGAAGUUAAAAGAACAUAUACGCUCAAAAUGAAAAAAAUAUAGGGUCUAACUGUAAAAUUUAACCUAAAUUUUUAUUUGAAAUGAUGAUUUAACGUGCCAAUCAACUUACUAUUACACCGUUAACAGUAAUUAACGGCUCAGUGACUAAAAUGUUACAGCACGUUAAUAUAAAUAACUAAAAAGCAAUAUUUCAAACAUAAGUGACUAAAAUGUAACCUGAGGUAAACAAAAAUGACUAUUUUAAUAGUUUACCUAAUAGUUUAUUGCUUGGGAACGUAAGUCAAACUUCUAUGAAUAUAAAAGCAAUCACUCAUAUCUGAAUCUCACCGUUCGUGGGUUUAUUUUUAUCAUGUGCAUAUGUAGUAUGAAUUUAUUCAGUUGUUUUUAGAUUAAUUUGGUUUUAUACUGAUGUUUAUCAUUUGUGCAUUGUAUUAGUUGGAUUAUACAUUAUAAUCAAUCGAGUAUAUAUUUGUAUUUGUUGAUCCAAGUUUUUGAAGUGGUUGUCUAUGUGCCAAGGGAAGUGUUCACUUCCUCUAUGAUCACUGCGCUAGGCACAUAACUUGUCUUAUUUGUUGGUAUGUUUCACCAAAAUAUUUUGAUGAUUUGCUUGCAUAUUUUUUAGGAUCUCGUACAAUGAAUCUCAUGUUUAUUAUUGAAGAAGAGAUUGAGUCAAGCAAGAAAAUUUUUCAAGUAUUAUUAUGUGGUCUACUUGAGAUAUGCAAUCCAUGAAUAUAUGAGAUGAUUUUAUGAUCUUUGUAUCCUUAUAAUAAGAUAAAUGAUUUGAUGAGAUUUGGACAGAUUAAGAUGGAUUAGACGUUAAUUUGUCAAAAUGAAUUCAUGCUCUAAAUAUGGAAAGCUUUUUCAACCUUGAUAGAGAUUUCAUUGUUAAGACAAAUGUUUUUUUAAGUGGCUGCCAAUUUGCUAAAGAAAGUGGCCACUUUCGCUAGCAUAUUUACAAGCAAUAUAAUUAGCCUAAUUUGGAGUUAGAAAUCUUUUUAACCAAAUUUGCUAGGUAAUAACUUAAAUGAUUUUGUAGACGUGUGUUGGCCUUUGAACAUCCAUCUUUUGGAGCAACAAACCUUUGAAGAUUUUAUCAUAUCAAAUCAAACAAUCGAAUCUCAUGAGGUAUGGGUCGAAUCAAUACUGAUUUGAAGACCUACCUUGAAGAUCUUUGAUUUAUUUUGAAUUCUAUAAGGAUAUUUGUAAAGCCUUUUUAUGAGAUUAUUUUAGUGGGAACUUGAUUGUAAUUUAUCUUUAUCCUAGCAAGCUUUAAACUAUUAUAUUUAGAGGCUUGCGUAAGUUAAAACUAAGGAAAUAGAGCACUUAUCAGUUCAUUGAGGAACAUUGUCUUGCAAGUCAUUUGAGGUUAUAAAACCUUUUGUUGUUGGUUUUACAAACUAAAUUAUCAGGGAGAAAUUUUAUGGUCUAACAUUUGAGAUACAAAAAUGAGGAUUCUUCACUAGGGUGUGUUAAAACUAAGAUCACUGGUUGUAUUUGUUUCAAAGAUAGCGGAUUCAUUUUAUAGAGCUAGGCUCCGUAGACGUAAGGAACCCAAAAUGCAUAAUCAAUCUGUUUUUCGCAAUGCCAAUAAAAGUGCCCAUUUAUGCUGCCACUUCUACUCAUAUUCUAUUUCUUGUGAUUACCAACUAUUUCAGGUCAACAAUAUUUAUAAUUGUAAUCAUAUAUAUAAUAUAAAUGAAUGUACAAGCGAAUAUAUGGAAACAUUGAGUUUUGGGUUAGUUCUUUGAGUUCUAAAAUGUUUCCUUUUUAGUUAUAUUAAUUAUUUUAAUAUUGCAUUUAAUUGUAUUAAACAAAUUUAUUGGGUUCAUUAGAAGAAAGAUCAUUUUUAAAAAAUAAUUAAGGAUUUAGGCCAUUUUUUUUCCAAAUUUAGGGAAAUAGAUCGAUUUUGGAGAAACAGAAAACGCUUUCUGCAGGACACGUUUUUUUUUUCUACAUUAUCUGUGUAGAAUUAUCCACUAUCCAUUCUUUAAAAAAUAUAGAAAUAAAAAAAUAAAUAAUUUAGCAAAUUUAUUGGUUUUUUUACCUCUUUUCUUGACAUAUUUUUCAUAAUAAGAAAAGAAAUUUUCAUAAUAUAAUUUAUUUUUGUAAUUUGGGCUUUGAAAAUAAUUUAAAUGAAUUGAAUAUUUGAAAUAAGUCUUAAAAAGAAAAUUUUUAUGGUGUAUUUUGUAUUUUUUGUUAAAAAAAUGGCAGUAAAGUUGAUUUCACAAGCCUUAAUAUCAGUUUUGGAUGUUCUACAGGCAUAAAACUUGACUUGAAGAUAUUAUCAAUUUCAUUUCGAGAAACAUUGAGAAAGCAUGCAAUGAUCUAACUUUUUGUUCUACUUUUUAAUUUGUUAUUGGAUUAUAUUGAAUGAUAAUUUUCUUUAUUUCUCGUACAUAUUAGUUCUUCAACAACAACAUUUUUUAGAUUUUAUUUUUCUAGAAUUUUAUAUAGAAUUUUCUAUUUUUAAAUAAUUUUUAUAUAGAAUCAAGGUCAUAUUGACAAAAAAUAUAAAAAUUGAGGACUAAAAUUGUUAUUAAAUUAACUAAAAAAAUGUCAUUUAUCAGCCGGGUUACUAAAAAAAUAAUUUCGAAAAAUUUAAUGGCCAAAUUAUUAUUAAGUUUAAUUAAGUUAUCAAAAUAAAAAUUUACCUAUAAUUUAGUGAUUAAUAAAGGAAAAUUGUCUUUUUAAAUCUAUAUUUUACUUUUAAAUGAUAAUUUAAAAUAAAGGAUUGAAAAACUUUCAAGUCAAUUUAAUAAUCCAAUCCUAAAUAAUUUUCAUAAUUAAAAAAAUAAACUAUAUUAAUAAUGGUUUGGUACAAUAAAAAUUUUAAAUAAGAAAUUAUUAUUUAAUAAAAUUUAGGGUAAACUAUAUAGUCAUUCAAUUAUCAAAAAAUUUUAUUAUAGGUAUCUAAAAUUAAAAGUUUACAAUUUAAGUACUUACAUUAUAUAGUUCAGUUAUUUUGAUCACUCCCGUUAAAAUCACAAAUAUAAUAACAAAUUUAACCUCAACUUUUACAUAUUAUAUCAAUUUAAUUAUAAUUUUACGUAUGAACCUCAUGAUCCAAAGCAAAGAAAGUUGGCACCCAAUUUAGGUGUUUCAGUUAUUUCGAAUAAAAGCAAAUUUUUUUUAAAGUGGGUGUAUAAGAAAGUAGGAUGGAUUUCUUUCUUGGAUAGUUUGAUAUGAAAAGGUUAUGGUAAUUACUUGUCCUGUCUCAUUCUUUUAUAUAAAAUUAUCAUUUUACCCUUAUUGUAUAACUAUUAAAAAGGUAACCACGUAAUAAUGUGUUGUAGAAAAAAACCAUAUGUAUUAUAUUUGAACUUUUUUUAGAAAAUUAUGUUUAAAUAUUUACUUGUCUUUAUUGAAACCAUUAAAAACAACUAACAAAAAAAUUUGAAACUGGGGUCUGUUUGUUUUACUCAAAAUGGCUUCUAGAAAAUAUGACUUACUUUUCUAAAAAAAUUAAUAUUUUUUGGUGUUUAGAUAAAUUUGUGUAAAAUAUUUGUUGUUGUUUGAUAGAUUUCUUAAAAAUAUUUUAUAAAAGUUAUUUUCAACUAAACAAAUAUACAUUUGAGAUUUUGUUAUCUUUCCAUUGUUUAAUUGAGUUUAUUUUAUAUCUAUAAAUUUAUAUUUUACACUGUUUUUACAUAUAUUAAAAAUAUUUUGUUAAAUUCAGGUUCGAUUACAACGUCAGUUUUUAGUUACAUGACAACCAAGUGAAUAUUUUUUAUUUAAAAAUGUGACAUCAACAAAUUUGACAAAAAAAAUUAACAAUGUCAACAAUUGAACUUAAUUUUCAAACCUGAAAAGUAGAGGGACUAAAUUUUUGAAAAUAAAAGUAUAGAAGCUAAAUUGCAAAUUUGUGAAGAGUACAUAAACUUAUGAUAUAUUAUAACCUUUAUACUACAAAAUAUUUAUUAUUAAUAUAUUUAUUAUUAAAAUAUUAAUAUUGAAUAUUUUCAAUAAUAUGUGAAGAAUAUUAUUUAAAAUUUAUUAUUAAAAUAAAAUUAAAAUAUUAAAUAAUUUAGUAAAAUAAUAAAUUAUAUUAAUAAUUUAUAAUAUGACUAAAUAUAAAUAAUUAAAUAUGUAUGUUUAAUAAGAUUGAAAAUAUAAUAUUUUAUAUCAAUAUCUAAAUAUUUUUAAAAAUAAAAAUAAAAUUUAUUAUCAAUAUAAUAACAUUAAACUUGAUUUAAAUUAAUUUUUACAUAAAAAUAAAAUUACUUAUAGAGAAGCCCUUUUCGAAAAAUGACUUAUGUUUUUCAGAAAAAUAAAUCAUUUUACAGAUGUAAAAUAAUUUAUUUUAUAUUGACUUGUAAAUCACUUUUUGUUAACUAAAUUAUUUUACGUUAAAUAUAAAAAAAAAUAUUUCUAUAUUUUCCGUAAAACUUGUAACAUGUAAAUAAAUGUACCCAAACAUUAAUUAUGAAUAUUAUAUAAUGAUAAUGGAACGAAACAAGUAGCGAAAUCAAGUGUUUCAAUGCUGAAGAGAUAAUGAAUAUAAUAAUAUCCUUCUAUGUCGGGAGUCAUCAUAAUAUUGGGCCUCUUUAGUCGUUAAUGGGCAUUGUCUGAGGAAAUGAAUUGUGCCUCUACACCAACGUCCUUGUCCAUUAAAAGGAAAAAUAGGCUUCGGCGACGAAGCCAGCAACAACCACCGAAAUCAAUAUAAUACAACUUAACUUCUUGUGCCUCUCAAUCUACUAUUAAUUCUUUUAUGUGAGUGUAGCAUCACAAAUUUUUAUUUUUAUUUUUUUUAUACGAUGCUUAGAACAUCAAAUAUUAAAAUUAAUUUAUCUAUAAAUCAGAAUAAUCCAAAGUUUACUAUGACACCAGCCCAAAUGUAUAAGAGAUGAGAUAAAGCCAAACAAACUCUAAACUCACCUUUCAUCAUAUUUUUUUCCAUACUAUUUUACUCUAUGCUAAAUAUUUAUGGUAAGUAUUAAACCUCGAAUAAAAUGGUAUGAAAAAUGUGUCCAUAUGCAUAGUGGGGUGAAGAAUUCCAAAGUAUUUUUGCACCAACCCACUACGGCUAAAGGCUGAAAUAGUGACAUCUCUUCAAGAUUUGAUGGGAAGAAAAUGAUAGGCUUCCCCUUGAGUCUUUAGUCUUUAGUCUUUAUUGACUUGUUUCUUUUAGCCCACUAUUCAAUUGCUUUCUCAUUCAUACUAUAGUUGAAGUUGACGAGUCCAACUCUUCCAAUUACAAUUGAAGUAUUUGAUUUUAAAUAUGCAUACACAUAUGUAUUGAUACCAAAAAUUGGUGAAUGUAAUAGCAAGGUGUAUUGUAUUUUUAAAAAAAUUUUAUAUCCAUUGAUUACUUUAAUAUUUUUUUGUAUACGUUUUAAUAAUUUUUAUAUGUAAAGUAAAAUGAAAGUAAAUAUUGACUCACGGAUUAUUUAGUAUUUAACUAAUAUUAAACAAUAUUACGUGGUAAAAUCGUAAUAUAGAAAGAUAACUUAUAUUAAUAGAUAAUUUAAACAUGUUAUUUAUCAAGUCUAACUGAGGAGAUAUUUCGUCUUGAGCAUCAGAGUGGAUAACUCCCAAAUGAUUGAGAUAUAAAUGUGACAGAUUGGACUGACAGUACAUCGAACACUAUCCAAAUAGAAUAGAUCCUAGAUCUAUUUAUAUAUUUAUUUACUUGUGAUGUUCAUAGUGUAGCAUAUCUUAAUCUUGGGUGUAUGAUAGACUACGUAUGCAUGACUCGUAUACUUUAAUGUAAGUAAAAGUUUAAGUUCAAAUAGAUAAAGAACUGAAAAUUGGUGCGUUGAGUAUAUACAUGAUAGACGAAAAGUAAACGCGAUUACUAGUCAUUUGUCUUUGUGAUAAAUAAUUUUAUUACUAUUUGAUAAUAAUUGACUUUUCACGAAAGAAGAUAUAAUAAUUAUCAUGAGAUAAAUAUGAUCAUAUUUGGAGAACGACUUUGUCCCAAAGAUAUUAAUGAUAUCCUAUGAGGGUAACACACUUAUGACAAAGUCAUUGGACGAGCACUCAAUAAGUAGCUUUCAUGAUGGUAUAUAAUUAAGGAAAGCUCAAUCACGAUACUAUAGUGAAACGACUUCGUGAAUAAAUAAGUUUAUAAUUAAUAGGCAAAAGUUGGAACUUAAUUAUAAAUUAUUUGAGCUCUAAUUAUAUAUGUCAAAUUGGUAUCUCCACUAGUUCGUUGAAACCAGAAAUAAAUUGUAUGUAAAAUCAAAUGGAUAGAAAUGAAUAGGAACAAUGAUGUAAGAGAAAUGGGUCGCAUUCACAAAUGAAUGUGUUUUCUCACUAAGUACAUAAAUGACUUGAAAAUUAAUUUAAGGUUUUUUGAAUUAUUAUUUAAUUAACUAUAUUUUAAUAAUUAAAGUUCAAAAGUGAAAUUAAAUUAAUGGUCAUUAUGAAUCUAUUGAAUAAAAAAUUAAAUAUAUUUUCUCAUAAAUUCUUUUACAGUAAAGUUGUUAUGAUUUUAAUUGAAUUAGAAUUGAGUUGAAAAAAUUUAUUUAAUUGAGAAAUUAAUUUAGUUAAUUUAAUCAAUUAAAUUAAUUAAUUAAUUAAUAUUUAUUUUAGGAAGUAAAAAAUAAGUAUUGAAUUGGAUUAAAUUAUAAAGUGUUGAGUCAAAUAUUUAAAAAGUACACAUAAUUGGAGCCCAAAAUUCUCUUCAUACUACAUGAGGGGCAACAACCCUAGUAAUAUUUAUUAGAAUAGUAGUGUUGGCUUUUUUUUAUAUAACAAAAUGAUUCGUUUUUUUUUAAUUAUAAAAAUGACUCACCUUUUCAAUUAAGUAUGUAAAUGACCUGAGAUGAAUAGUAAACAUGGAUGGUGUCAAUAAAAUUAACGUCACCACCCUGCCACGUCAGACAAUGAUUGGUUGGUCAAAUAAAAAAAACUUCGGGUGGUGUCAAUGUAUUUUUCAUCACCGAUAUAAAUACUCGUAUUUCAUAGAAGGCAAAAAAAAAUUUGGGUGGUGCAAAAUAGAUUGGCAUCACCCAUGUCUAUUUUUUUGUGGUGCCAAUGUAUUUGUCAUCACCGAUCCUCAACCUUUGCUUCUUUGUUUUCCUCCAUUUUUACUGACUUAUAUCUCCUUCUCUAUAGUUAGCCUUGAUUUGAAAAAGUUAAUGAAAAAUGAAUAGAAAAGAGGAAGAGAAUAAGGCAAGGCAAAUGAAAGAAUGAGAGGGAAAGUUUUCCAGAAAAGUUGUAGGGAGAGAGAGAUAGAGAGGGAGAGUUUUCCAAAAACAAAACCUCUUUUUUUUUAAUGAUAGAGAGAAAGAUCUGAAAGGAAAAUGAAAAAUGAGAGAGGGAGAGGGAGAGGGAGAGGGAGAGGGAGAAUUUUCCAGAAAAAUGAAAGAAAAUGUUUUAUUUCCCCAAACACUUUUUUUUGAAAAGAUAUUUUUUUGUAUUCCUAGGGAAAUUAAGGGUCCGAUUGGUAACCUGUAAAAGCUUUUCUGUAAAAGAUUUUCAGGCUUUUCUGAUGUUUGCUUGCUUGAAAAUGAUUUUCCAGGGUAAAAUGUUUUACAAAACACGAGAAAAGUAGGGCUUUUUUAAGGAAAAUGUCUUACUCUUUUGAAAUCAGUAAGACAUUUUCCGGAAAUUGACACUUCUUCUCCCCUUUCCCCUUCCUCUUCCCCUUCCCCUUCCCCUUCCCCUUCCCCUUUUGAAAUCGGUAAGCCAUUUUCAAUGUUGAAGAAGCCAUUUUCAAUGUUGGCUUAUCUUAGGCCACGACUAAGACGAUGACUUGAAACCCGGGUAGAAAUAAGACCAAUCGAAAACCUUGGAAGCAACAAAUCACAAGGGCGUAAGCUGUUGAAUAAGCUGUGGGUCUUGAGGCAGAUGUGGCAUCUUCUGAACCACCGGGGAAUCAGCUGUGGGUCUUGAGGCAGAUGGGGCAUAUUUUAAUACUUCCCACCAUGGUGGGCGUUGCAGAAAUAGUGGACUUCUGUGAUUUUCUAUCCCCUACUCCCGAAGAGCAAGCAGCACGUGAUGCAGCUGUGCAUUCUGUUUUUGAUGUUAUCAAGUACAUAUGGCCUGCCUGCAAGGUAUGAUUGGCGGCCUCUCUUUCUCUCAUGCACAAAAGCACACACAUAUAAAGAUGCAUACAUAGUGUACAAUGCCAAAUGGUAAUGAGUUGUUGCUUUGCAGCCAGAAGUUUUUAAGUUGUUCAUGAUAGGGCUUAAUUUACCAACAAGUGAUAUUGAUGUGAGUAGUUUGCUUCAUUUUAUCCCAUAAGUUUAUGUCUCGCAACUCAAACUAUAUCAAUGUUUAAUCUUGUUAUAUUGUAGCUUGCAUCACAUGGUUGAUGGGUUUUUCAUUAGGAUUAUGAAAUUUAGUAUAUAGAUUUUCUAAUAUGGAAAGGAAAGAAAAACAAUAGGCAGAGGAAAGCUGACCCAAAUUUUUGUAUUUCUCCCCUAUUCUGUAUGACUGACAUUCUUAAGCCAUUUGUUUCCAUUUUAUGUAGGUAAUGAUUCUAGAGUCAGGUAUAAAAAAUCCACAGACUGGUUUGUAUGCUCUUUUCAGGGUAUUAUCUCAAAGGGGAAUUGCAAAAAAGAUACAGGUAUUUUGUUUUUUUGGAAAUUUUACUGAUACAAUAGAGUAUAUUUAGCUAACAAUUCAAUUCCUAUCAAGUGAUUGCAAAAGCUAGCGUGCCAAUAAUUAAGUUUGUAGAAAAUAAAAGCGGUGCCGCGUUUGAUAUAAGGUAGUUCUAUAUUCCUCUUGCCCUCUUGUUCUAGUAUGUUUUAAUCCAAUAUCUCAUCUAAAAUUCUCUUCACCUCUGAACAUUUCUGAAUUUGUUUUAGUUCUGGUAUGAAUAUCAUCAUAAAAGACACUGGAUUAAUAUGAAAUUUUAGCAGUGAGGUUUUUUGGAAGAUAUUAUGGUAGGACUUUUGAAUUGUCUUUAUUGUUUCCUUUGAGGUCCAUGAUAAUUGGGAGGUCCAAGUAAUUGGGAAUUCCAUAAAAAAAUUUAGUAUUUGGAUAUUAGUAGCGAAUGAGGCUAAAUAGUUUACCAAACAUAGAAAUUUUCUUUACUUUUUAUUUCAGGAAGAUGAGAUUGUCGAGAAUUCAUGAACAAGAAAUCUUGGUCAUUUUUUCUCUAAUCACAUAAACAAUUCACUUGAUUGAGAUUCCUAUUUUCUUGAAUUUUCUUGAUUGACAAGAUCUGAUGGGGUGCUUGGAAUUUGACGAGGGUGGAGGCAUGUUUAGGUUCCUAAACUGACUUAUAGCAGAUGUGAUAAGUGCACCAAAGAAAGUUGUUUAUCUCCAUCUUGGCUUGAUGUGGCAAUUUAAAAGCCAUGUUUCAUAUUUUCUAUAGCACUUCUAUCUCACUGCUUAAUAUUUAAUUGGGUGUUCAAUAUUGCAGCUUUGAUGUGGAUAAUGGACCAAAAGCUACUGAGUUUAUCAAGGUUUGUUACAAUUACAGACUUUCCUAUGCUCAGAUGUUUCAUUUGUUAGUGGUGCUUAAGAUAUAGUUAUUUUAAUCCCCUUUUUUGUCAGAUGAAGUCAAUUAAGUUGGACCAUAGCCUCUUUCUUAUUAGGAUUUCUUUUGAGUCAAAUUUCAUUUUUGGCUACAAUUAUUCUUGAAGAUUGUGCUCCUGUGUUGAGUUUGAUUGGUUGCUUGCUUUAUCUUCACCAAUGGGAACCACUGCUUAAUUUUCAUUUAUUUCCUAUGUCUACUUCUGGAUUUGUUGAUUAAAAUUGAUGUAAAUCAUUUUGGUUCAAUUAACUCAUGUUCCUUAAAAUUAGGACUUAUGUGGUUUUCCUGUGGUUAAUUAAAGCUCUGCUUCUUUAGUUUAUUUAUUUGUAUGUUCCAUAAACUUUGGACUUUUUUCUAGAUAUUUUCUUUGUUUUUUUCUAAAUUUAAACUUUGCUUAUGUGUUUUCUCAUAGGAAGCAGUACUAAAAUGGCCUCAAUUAUGACCAUUGUGUUUGAUCUUGAAAGUAUUUUUACAACAGAGAGACCUGAAUGAGGUUUGAGUUUAUCUAUAUUGAUGAUCUGUUCGUUUUGUUUAAAAAGUAGUGUUCCUCUGUUCUUGAUUUGCAAUAUUUUUGAAACUAUGUAGGUAUAUUCAAGUGGAAUAGGUUCAUAUGCUCUCCUUGCAAUGAUCGUAGCCAUGUUGCAGGUAUGCAUUUUUGGAUUUUCGAUAAGGCAUUGGACUCUAGUUGGCUGAUCUAUCAGCAUAGUCUGUAUUCACUUUCAUGUCGAGAAUUAUAAUUUUUUUUCUACAAUUACAUUGAUUAUGCUAUAAUUCACUUAUGAGUCCACAUAAAUGUUAAAUGAACACAUACAUGCCAUGCUAUUUGCUCUCUCUGAAUGCAAUCAAAUCUUGUGUUUAUGAUAAACAACUUGUGGUUCUCUAACGACCCCACGCCCGAGACCGUCGCCGGAGUCGAGUAUGAGGUGUUACUAAGCUUAAUUUAACAUAUUUAGAACUUUGGAUUAUUUAUAUCUACAUUCACAGCUUUUAAGCUACUUGCAUCACAGUCACAAGAAAAAUCAUAUCUCGAGUUACGAAACUCGAAAUCAAGAUCCGUAAAUUUUCCCUAAAUCUAGACUCAUAUACCUAUCUAUUAAUUUUUUUCUAGAAUUUUUGGUUGGGCCAAUUAGUACAGUUUAUUAGUUAAAGUUACCCCUGUUUCAGGACUUGACUGGUCUGACCUCUGUUUACUUCGAACCACAUUUCUCUCUGUACAAAAUUCAUAUGACUAUGAGGUUUAUUUUUCCUGAAACUAGACUCAAUAAGGAUUCUGAGAAUAUAAAAUACACCACAUAAUUAUAUAUUUACAAUUUAUGGUGAAUUUCUAAAUUUGGAACAGGGGAUUCAGAAACUGCUAUGAUCCUGUUUCACUAAAAUUCAAAUAUCUUCUAACAUAUAGUUCCUUUACCUAUUUCAUUUGUUUCAUGUGAAACUAGACAUAAUAAGCUUCAAUUUGAUAUAUAGUCCAUCACCAAGUUCAAUUUCUAUAAUUUUUAGUAAAUUUUUAAAUUCGCGUCAGUGUUGCUGCAGUAUUCUGUUUAUGGCAAAUUUCAUCUCUUUUAUGAGUUUUUAUGCAUUAAGUAUCUUAAUAAUUUUCCUUAACAUCAAAUAUAAUCUAAACUAACCAUUUUAAUAAUUUAUCAUUAUCAAGCAUUUCUUCAACCAUUCCAUCACCAUACCAUAAGAUCAUUUACACAAAAAAGGUAUAUUGCUAUACAUGCCAUACUUAAAUUUACAAGCUAUUACCAAAAAUCUUCCGGAUAGUUUGACUGAGCCUUCGACCUAUCCCAACUCCUGAGCUGGCUUGUCCAAAACUACAAUGAGUAAGAAGGAGGGAGUAAGUAUAAAUGCUUAGUAAGUUCAUAUGCAAGCAAUAAGUAACAUAACAAACAGUCAUACCAAUCAACAUUAGCAUGCAUCACUAAAACACAUAUCACAUUUUUAAUCAUUUUUCAUCAUCUUAUUACCUUAUCGUGGUUGUAUCAAUACUCAACCCGAGGGUUAAAUACAUACCUGUCCAAAAUAUCCGUUUCACAUCACUUACCAAUAUGUCUCUUUACAUCUCGAAUAUUCCUCCAUUUGAGUAGAACUUUACCCGUUGAACACAUCGGAAUAUAAUUCGGAUACAUGGAUAAUUUGCAUAUAAGUGCCACAUAUUGAAUCAAGCAAUCAUGUAACCCGCCCAUAAGCGAACUCGGACUCAACUCAACGAGUUCGGACAUUCGCAUCCAUAAGUGAACUCGGACUCAACUCAACGAGUUCAGAUGCUCAACCAUCCUAGUGACAUGUCACUUGUAUCCUAAUCUAUUCCUAAGGUUCGAACGGGAUUUUCCUCGAACACUUAUCCUUGCCGUCUUCCGUAGAAUACCGAAAUCAAUACUCGGUAACAAUUAUAUUUAACAAGUAGCUCACAUAAUUUACAUAUUAUUUGAAAUUAACCACAAAGCAUACAUUUCAUAAUGAAAUUCAGCAAAACACAUAAUUAAUAUCAAUAACUUAAAAAUAACCAUUAUGCUACAUUAUUUACACAUGAAUUUACCUUGGUACCAAAAUACAAAGAUUUUGCAAUUUAGUCCACAAUCUUUUCUUUUCCUCGAUUGAGAUCGAUUCCACGUGUUUCUUGAUCUAAAAUAACACAUUUAGCUUAUUUAAUAUUCACAUUAUCAAAUUAAUCCUUAACUCAAAUUUUGGCAAAAUUACAAUUUUACCCCUAAACUUUUGCAUAUUUACAUUUUUGCCCCUAGGCUCGGGAUUAAACUUUAUUCCUUAUUCUUAUGUUUUACAACAUGCUGAUCACUUUUUUCUUCUAUGGCAACAUCAAAUUCUCACUCUAACAUGUACUUGUGACUAUUAGGUAUUUUUACCGAUUAAGCCCUUUUACUCGUUUUUGCUUAAAAUCGAGUAGUACAAGUUGUCUAACAUAAUUUAAAACUUCAUAUUCUAUCACAAAACAUCAAAAUACACAAAUUUCACCUAUGGAUAUUUUUCUAAAUAUAAACCCUAGGUUAAAUUAUUGCUAACAUAAGCUUUAUCGAGUUACCGGGAUCUCAAAAACGUAAAGAACAUUAAAAACGGGGCUUGGAAUCACUUACUAUGGAGCUUGGAAGCUUGAAACAAACCCUAGCUAUGGAGAACCCUUGAAAUUUCGGCCUAAUGAAGAAGAUGGACAAAAAUUGGCUUUUAAUUUUGUUUUUAAUUCAUUUUAAUAACUAAAUGACCAAAAUACCCUUACUACUAAACUUUCCAAAAAUUCCUUCCAUGUCCUAAAUUUGUCUAUGAGCUUAAAAUUCGUCAAAUUGCUAUCUAAGACCUCCUCAUUAAUAUUCCAAAACAAUUUCAUACUAAAAACUUCUAGAAUGCAAAUUUUGUAACUUAUUCGAUUUAGUCCCUACUUUCAAUUUAAGCACUUUAAGCAUAGAAUUUCAUCACGAAAUUUUCACAAAAUCAUGCAAUCAUAUCAUAUUCAUCAAAAUAAUUAUAAAAUAAUUAUUUUUAUAUCGGAUUUGUGGUCACGAAACCACUAUUUCGAUUAAGCCCUAAUUCGGGAUAUUACAGGUUCUUACUGCAGAAAGUUUAGAGCGGUGGUUGAUGCAGCUUUGGAGGCCCAUCUGCACUGUCCGCAGCUAUAUCUUUAUAGCAUAGAUGAUAAGGUCGUUCCGUAUAACACUGUCCCCCUUCCUCUGUUGUCAAAACCCCAACAGAUGUGAUUUGUAGCUCUUCCCUUUAGCAUUGAUGACCAGCUCAAGGCUCGACAUUGCACGUUCUACAUGGUAGCCAUAGGCUAUUUCAGUUACUAGCCACCAGCUAGUUUUAGUUUUAAAGUUAUUUGGUGCUAGCAAUGCUUGCAUUGAGUUACUGAUGACAAACAUUUGAAAUAACAUGCAUUAAGACGCAAAGACAUUGAGAAAAAGGGUAUUGUAAAUAUUUCAUUAAAGAGAUUUGAAAGAAGAAUGGAUAGUUCUGUACUUAUGUCAAACUUAUUUAUACAUGCUUUUUUUCUCUUCAUGUAUUUGGCAUUAUGGAUCUAUUUGUCAGAAUUCAUAAAUUAAAGCUAGUCCAAGAUUGUGAAUUUAUGGUUUAUGGAAUUUUCAAAGCUCUAUCUUACAGGACACGCGUCAAAGUACAGUAAUAGCUUUUGGUGCUUUGAUAGCAAAGGUUUAAAUAUUUCACAUUUUGCAUUGUUCUUCUCCUUUUUAUUUUAUAAUGUAUAUUCUAGCUUAAUAAUUGAAUAUUAUUAUAUAUUUAAUUUGAUUUAUUUAUCAUCGUAAUUUAUGUAAAAACAAUUUAAAAUAUAAAUUUAUUAAUAUAUGUAAAAUAGCUUUUUCGGAAAAUAUUUCCAGGUAAUCUGCCAAACAACAGAAAAUAUUCUACACAGAUUUAUCUAAACACCAGAAAAGUAAAUCAUUUUCCAGAAAUUAUUUUCGGAAAAUAUUUUACUGGCAAACAAACGGAGCCUAAAUGUUUUCUUUCAUUUUUUUUGGAAAAUUCUCCCUCUCCCUCUCCCUCUCCCUCUCCAUUUCUCAUUUUUCGUUUUCCUUUCAAACAUUUCCCUCUUUCAUUCAAAAAAAGUUUUCUUUGUUUUUUCAGGAAAGCUCUCCCUCUCCCUCUCCCUUUCCCUACAACUUUUCUGAAAAACUUUCAUUCUUCUCUCAUUUGCCUUGCCUUCUUCUCUUCCUCUCUUCUUUUUAUUUUUCAUUAGCUUUUCUAAAUCAAGGCUAAUGAAAGAGAAGGAAAUAUAAUGCAGUAAAAAUAGAGGAAGACAGAGAAGCAAAUGCUGAGGACCAGUGACGCCAAUCUAAUUGGCAGCACCAAAAAACUGACAUGGGUGACGCCAAUUUAUUUGGCACCACCUAAUUUUUUUUUACCUUCUAUGAAAUACGGGUAUUUAUACGGGUGACACCAAAUACAUUGACACCACCAAAAAAUUUUGGUUUUUUAUUCUAUUGGUCAAUCAUUGGUUGACGUUGCAAUGUGAUACGCCAAUGAGAUUGGCACCACCCAUAUUCACUGUUCAUUUCAGGUCAUUUAUGUGCUUAGUUGAAAAAGUAGGUCAUUUUUGUAAAUAAUAAAAAAUUUGGGUUAUUUUGAUAAAAAAACCUAGCAAUAUGUUUUCUAUUAAAUAAAUAUUAUUUAUCAAUGCCUUAUUUAAAUAAAACUCGAGUACAUCCCUCUAUAAAUAGAGAGCAUCAGUUGACCUAAACACACUUCUUUGAUUAUUAAGCUAUUAAGUUGUGGGAAUUUAUUAACUAAUAAUCAAUUCUAUUUUCUGGGAAGUACGACCUUUACCGGUUUUUAUAGAGAAAGAUUACUUUCCUACUAAAAGUAAUUAAAUUGUUUCUUUUCUUUGAUUUGAUUCAUGUUACUCAAGCUCACACUUAGCGCAAUUCGUGGUAUAAGGAAAACAGAGAAGGCCAUUUGACUGAAAGCCAGGAUUGACUCAAACCAUUCUCUCACAAAACAUAGGUAAUAUUCGAUUAGGCUUAUUAAUAUAAAUAUCACAAAACGACUUGAUUUUGAAAAAUUUUAAACUUUCUUUAUAAUUAUUAAAACUAUUUUCUUAACUCAUUUUUCAAAAAACCAGAUAGUAGAGUUUUCCUAUAAAAUAGAAAUCACAUAAAAAGACUUUUCAAAGUUAAAAUUUAAGGAAAAAUUUUGCAAGCUAUGAAGAGUGUUCAAGUUAAAAACAUGAAAUUAUUUUAUUCAUUUGGUCGAACAGGUUUUUGUAUAAUAUUAUCUUAUUUAUUUUUUAUAGCGUGUAACUAAUAUCCAAAAAAUAAAACAUAUUUUCAGAAAAAAAAUAAAAAAAUUAUAAAAAUUAUAAUUAUUACGAGAUUUUGAACAAAAUUAUUAGGAAAUUUCAAAAUUGAACAUGGAGAAAACAUUGUUUGGGAAAAUUUUGCCCCACUUUUCGAAAUACAGUUGAGUUUAAUUUUAGUUUUUUUUUAUGAUUUUUUUAUUUCUCAAGUUAUCUAUUGAAGCGAGUUUCAUAAUUAAUUUGUUGUAUUCUAUAAGCUUAUUAAGAGGAUAGAUAUUAGCCACGAAUUUUAAAGUUACUCUAUAUCGAAACGAAGAUCGAACUCUCGAUCACUUAUAGAGAAUUUUUUUAUGAAAUUCUUUAAAAUGGAAUAUUAAUGUCAUUCUAUUUUUUAUAGUGGGGUAGUAAUGUCAUUCAAUAUCUUACUUUAGGAUGGAUUAUUAUAAAACAUGAAAUACCUUUAAAUUUCCAAAGGUCAAAAAGCUAAAAGAAAGAAAAGGGAAAAAAUCGGCAUUUUGUUACCGACGGGUGCAGAAGAUGGCGCCUUAGAUACGCCACGUCAGCCCUGAUUUAUUCUCGCGCGCUGUUUUGGUGUGUGGAAGUUAGGUAUAUGGAUAACGAGGGUGACACGUUCGAAGUCGCUUACACGUGUUUGCCAAAGACUACUUUCCCUGUCGGCACGUGCCGUGGUGCUGACGUUGGGCCACCUCUUGUUGUUGUGUAGUUUUGACUUCUUCGGCUAAGAACUGAGAAAGUGUGGAACUGAAACUGAAACGUUGGAAGGUGAGUAAUGCGUAGGUUUACAUUUUUGCCCUUGAUUCUUUUUAAAAGAAUUGCAAUCAAGUCCUUAAUUAAAUGCAAAUUUGUGUUUUUCUAGAUAGAAAAUUAGUCAAAAAGUAAAAUAGGAAAACGGAAUAUGCUUUUGUUCAGAAAGAAAUGCUAUUUCUACUUUACAUUGUUUUUUUUCAUUUAGAAUCCAAUCUUUAUACUUAUAUUUUUAAAAAUUUAUUCUUUUUAUUUUUUUAAUUUAAAAAUUCAAUUUUAAUAAUUAAUAUCAUUAAAUUUAUCUGUUAAAUUCAUUAAAGUGACAUUUAAAAAAAAAUUUAAAUGCCCACAUGAAGACUUGUCCAUGGGCUGGGCCAAAGGUCUGUCCGAAAAGUUAGAGGUUUUGGGAAAAAAUAUAGGCCCAUAAAAUAGGCUUGGACAAAAAAAAAAGACUUGUUUAGAAAACGGACUAGGCUUAAAGUAAGACUUUUUGGCCUGAGCCCGGCCAGACCCAAAUAUACAAAAAAAAAUUUGCUACUUUUUUUUAUUGUUCUUGCUGUUUUCUUUCUUCUUACUUUUUUUCACUAUUUUGUUGUUGUUGUUUUUUUAACUAUUUUGCUACCAUUUCAUUACUAUAUUGCUAUUAUUUUAUUGUUAUUAUUUGGAUAUUGUAUAACUUUUGUUUUAUUGUUAAUUUUGUUACUAUUUUAGAGGCAUUUGCUUAUUAAGUUGCAUCUAUCUUAGUGUUAUUUAAGUGUACAUAACAUUUUUUAAUUUAUUUUCAAUUUGUUGGGAAACAUUUAUAUUAAUGUUAUUAGCAUUUUUGAUGUAUUAUAUUUUUUAAAAAAAUUAUAUAAAAAAUUAAUACGGACGGGCUGAGUUCGGGUUUCAACAUUUUUAUUCGGGUCGAGCUUUUGCAAUAUUUUAGACCCAUUUUUUAGGCGGGGCCCGAGCCUAACAAACAAACCUAAAAUUUUGGUUAGACCCAAACCCAACCUAACCCAUGAACACCUCUACUCACGUGGUAACCAUGUAACAAAAAAAUAUUACAAUGGACGUGAUUUAAUAGAUAAUUUUAAUGGUAUUAACAACUGUUAAAAGUUACAUUAUCAUUUUAAUCAAAAAAAAGCAUUUGGGUUAAUCAAUGAGAUUGCAAAAUUCGAGGUACCAAAUUAUGUCAAGAAGUUAAAGUAUAAAGAUUAAAUCUUAAAUUUGAUCAUAGUAUAGGGACCAAAAUUGAAUGUUGACCAUUAUUAUAUAAUCUAUAGAAAAAAUACGAUAUCAUACCACUUUGUCAUGUUCAUAGUCCUUUUUUUUGCCAAGACGUUUAUAAAUAGUUGAAAAAAUUCACUUUAACCUUUCGAUUACAAAAAUAAUUUUUUUUUAAUUCUUAAGCAUACAAAAGAUAUGAUAGUAAAAUAAUAAAAUAACUAGCACAUAUAAGUAUGUAAAUUAUUUAGGCUAAUUAAUAUCAUUGUAAAAUUAAAGGAUCGUAAAAUUAAAAUAUAAAGAUCAAAUAUCAAAUAUGAGCAUAGUAAAGAAAUUGAAACUACAAUAAAGAUUUAAAAAAAUGGGGGAAAUUAUGUCAUUAAUUAUUCUAAAUAAUUUCCAAAUCAUAAUGCCAAAAUAAAUUUUUUGUUUAGAAUAAUAUUUCGUCUAAAAUUUUUCAUGUCAAAAAUCUUAUCCGAGUAAUUAACAAUAUUAAUUAUUUGUGUUAAACAUUAUAAAAAAAAUCAAAUUAUUGUAGAAAUUCAAGUAUAAAAAUUAAAUCUUAAUUUCAGACCCAGUAAAGAGAUCAAAAGUGAUAUUUGACCAGUUUUUUGUAAAAUGCAAAAAGGAAUAAAAGAAAAGAGAAAAACAUAGAGGGACCAAAAAUGAUAUUUGACCAAUAUUGUAUAAAAUGCGAAAAAAAAAGGAAAAGAAAGGGGGUGUGAACACGUAUUUGUAUCUACCUUUUUAUAUAUCUUAGUAUAUAUUUGGACAUUUUGUUUUAACAAACACUUUUUUUGUUGGUGACAUACAAAUACUGUUUAAUUUAUACUACAUUAAUUAAUCGAGUUUAUUUUAUAUGUUCAAAUUAGAUAAAAGUAUAAUUAUUUAUGUAAGAGUUUUAAUUUAGAUUUUAUUAAUAUUUAAAUCAUCUCAUGCGUAAAUCUUAUCCAAAUUUUAUAAUAAUUGAUUAUGAUUAUAAUUUUUUGAACCUAUAUUAUUUAUAAUUAUAUUUGUAAUUACUUAAAUUUUUUAAAAAAAUGGUAUGAUAUUUUAAAGAAAUUGAAUAUAAAUAUUUUGAAAAAAAGAAAUAUGAAUAAGGAUAAGAUAUGUUUAGAGAAUUACGAUGGUUGGCUGUUCACGGACUAGUUAUAUUUACCGUCUCUUUUUUGAGGUCAAUAUUAGCAAUGCGAUUCAUCUAACGAUAAACCUAAUUCGAAUUAAUUAUAGAGCUAUGGCAUGAUCAAACCCGAACGAACAAAAUGCUGAAUUGAAUCAUACCAAUCUCUACUAGAGGUUAUUACUCAUUUUUUGUACUUGUUGUUUUAUUUUCCAAUUAUUUCUUUAAUUAAGAAAAAAAUAUCAUUAGCAUAAUUAUCUCAUAAUUAUCUAUGAUUGUUUAUAUCUUUAGCAUGACCACUUGAUGAAAUGUGGAGGGAAGCUGGAUAAAUGGCCAAUACUAUUGGAAGGAUUCCUCUUUAGAUAAUAGGUACGGUAACUGGUAUUCAUUUGAUUGGUUUAAUAGGUAUUUUCUUUUAUGGUUCAUAUAUUGGAUUGGGUUCGUCCUUGUAAUAUGGAAUAAUAGAUAAUGGGAUGAAAUAAGUUAUAGGUAUGAAAGUGUAAGAAUUCAAUUGGGCUCGCCUCCUCUCUCUUUCCCUGAUUCGCGAGGCAGGGUUCCGUUGAAUUCUUAAUGAUUAUGAUCAUAAUAUUUUGGUUGUAUAAAUGACAACAAAUAGAUCACUUUUUUUCGAUGAUUUGUUUGAAAAAUGAAAAAGUAUCAUAAACCUCUAUAUACUAUAUUUUAUAUUGCAUUUUAGCUAUUAUACUGAAAAAAUAGGUAAGUUAGCCCUUGUACAUUAGAUGAGUGAGUAAAACAGCUCAUUCGUUAAAAUUGCAUUGUUAAAUGUUUGUUUUGGCGUUUUUAUAUAAGUUAUAAUAACAAAUUUAGCCCUCAAUCUUUACACAUUUAUUCAGUUUGACCCAUACUCUUUUUUGGGAGUAAAUUAGAAAAUUUUGAAACUAAUAAAGCUAAAGGGUCAAAAAGGCCUUAGUAACAAAUUAAAAAAAAUCAAUUAAGCCCUUUUAAAUUUUAAAUUUUAAAAUUUAUUAAAAAUCAUUAAAAAAGUUAUAAAAGUUUUAAAAUUAUAAAUUUUUUUAUUAAAAAAUAACAAUACCAACCCAAUAAAUAGUAGGGGUCAAUUUUUUUUUAAUCUUAUACCCAUUAGAUUUUAAUGGGUUGGCAUUGUUUUUUAUUAUUAUAAAUUUUGUGUAUAAUUUUUAAAUUUUAAAUGGUUUUAUUUUUUUUUAAAUUUGUUACUAAGGCCUUUUUGAUCCUUUAGCCUUAUUAGUUUUAAAAUUUUCUAAUUUACUUUCAAUGAAAGAGUAGGGAUCAGAUUGAAUAAAUGCGUAAAGAUUGAGAGUUAAAUUUAUUAUUAUACUUUACACAUAAACAACAAAUUUUAAUAGAAAAACUAUUUUAUUCACUCCUAUAACGUUCAAAUACUAAUUUACUUAUUUUUUUUAAUAAAGAAACCGAAAAAUUUUUGUGAUAUUUUUUAGCGAAAAUAACUUGAGCUUUAAGCAUAGCAUUUUGGGUCCAAGUUUAGCAUUACGCUUUAUUAUUUAUUGUGAAGUUUUAAAAGAGUUCCAUACAUGAAAAUUUAAUCAUAUAAUUUAGUUAUUCAACAUGUAUCAAGCUCAUUUAAAACUUUACAUUAAAUAACAAAAUGCACUUAAAACCCUUUUUUUUUAAAAAUAUUUUUAAUAAUUAUUAAACAUUAAAUUAAAUCAAAUUCCGAUUUUCGCCGGCAAAUAAUUUAAUUGAUAGUUUAUUCAUCUGUCAAAUGAGUCUUAAUUCGAUUGACAUCGGUAUUAUUGUCAGUGUAAAAGGACGUAGGUUCGAAUGCGCUGAAGCAUAUAAUCCUUCUAUUUAAGUGUUUGGGAGGUAUUAUGAGUAGUUUUAAUUAUUGGAUUGCGAUCGGAGCCAAAGAAUUUUACAAAAAUAUCUUAUUUAUUUUAUUUUAUUUUAUUUUAUUUUCAUACCAUCUAAUUGGCUAUUCUCGAAUAAAAAAGGAAGCUAAGGCUACGCCAUCAAACUCUUUAUAUCUUUAGUCUUUAUUAAAAGAAAUGUUCUUUUUCCAGAAUCGUGAUAGACAAUACUUCAACAUUUUAAAGGUUUUUCCAACUAAUUAAAGUUAUUCUAAACUUGGAUUUGAAAGCUCAAACUUUUCUAUCUUUAUAUUUAUUGGGCUAAAAUAUUUUUUUAAAAAAAUCUCAGUUUAUUUUGGUUUUUUAUUAAAAAAUUCAAAAACUUUUAUUAUAUCUAAAUAAACACUUAUGGUUUUAAUCUGAGCUUAAUUUGAUACUCAUUUCAAGUGAACAUAUUGAUUUUUGUAAAGAUUUUAUUUAGUGAUAAGCUCACUAAGGCUCAUUUUGGAUGGGCGGUUCAUUUACUCGUAGUUAAUGUUAAAAUAAUAAUAACGGUAAAUUAAAUAUUAUAAUAAUAUUGUAGCAUGAGACAAAAAGUAAACUAAACAUAUACAGUACGCCCAACUAUCUAUUCAAACCCCAUUUAAGAGCUUACUUAAGAACAUAAAAAAAUACUUUUUUACAAUAAUUUAAUAAUGUAUAAGGAAUUUUUUCUACCAAUUGAAUGUGUAAAGUCAAAUUUAUUUAAUUUAAUUAUAUAAAUACAAACAUUAUGUUACGUAGAUACUAGUAGUAGAUAUACAACGUAGAAAAAAUUGACAUUGGUAGAUGAACUAACAAAUUAAUAAAGAAAUUGGUGAACCAACAAAUUAAUUAAAAAUUAGUGUGCAAAACUUGUGAAUAUCUUAACCAAACUGAAACAAUAUUUAAUUUUUAUAUAUUCUAAUGCAAGAUUUAUGUAAAAAUGUUUCUGAUUUAAGUUCAAUUCGUAUCGGUAUUGUUGUCGAUGUAGGAGGAUGUGAGUUUGAGUGUACUGAAGUGCGUUACCAAAAAAAAUAUAUAUGAUGAGAACCUAUAAUAAAAUUAAUCUUAAAAAAAAAAAUCUAAUUAUUGUUUAAAUAAGCUUGUUCAUUUUAGUCAUUCGUAUGUUAUCUCUUUCUUCUCCCUUUGUCUUUCAUAAAAUUUUCGUUUGAAUUUUAAUAAAAGUGACUAAAAUGAAUGAAUUAUAUGAUAUAGGGUUCAAAUUGUAAAUUUUUUUUAUUGUGACUACUUGGGUGAUUAUAUAAUUUACCCUUAUUUUUAUUCAUGAAAAGGGAAAAAAGAGUGAUUUUGAAGACAGGGCCCUUAAGAACAAGAUGGUCCCAAAUUGAUGCAAGGCCAUUCAUUCUCAAAUCAAAUGGAUAACGUUAGCUGUCCGAUAUUACUCCUUGGAUCAAGGGAGUAAAAUAACAUAAAUCAUACGUCGGUGGGCCAUUUAGAAUUUAUAGAAAGAAAAAAUAUAUAUAUAUACAUAUAUAUUUAUUGAAUAAAGAUAAAAUAUGCUUUGAAAAAAAUUAACAAUAACUGUGCGAUGCGUGAGUUAAUAGUAACGUAAAUUUAGAAAUAUUAUAUUAAAAUAAUUAUAAUAAAUAAAAAUGUCAAAUUUUAAAAUAAAUUGAAAAAGUUUGAAUUUGUAGUAUUAUAUCAUAAAAUUUUACACUAAUAAAAUAAUUAAUUACAAAAAUAAUAAUAAAAUUAAUUUUAAAAAGUUAUAAAUUAUAAUAUAAGAUAAUAAUUAAGUCAUGUUUAAAGUAAAUUAUUUAAUAUGAUUUUAAAAUAAAAGGUAAGAAGUAAAACAAUAAUUUAUCCAAAAUGAAAAUAAGUGCUUUAUAUGAGGAGCGUCACUGAUUAAAAAAAAAGGUAAUGUAAAACUUUAUGAUAUAUAAUAUACUAGUUUGUAUUCUCAUGCGAUACACGGGUUGGUUAUGUAUAUCAAUUUUGUAUACAAUAUUAGAGGUGAGGGAUAGAGGCAACACAGUUCGAACAUGUGCCAAAUGAGUGUUUGAGAAGAACUAUAACUAUCACUCCAUUUAAGUUAAUACUUUAAUUUUUUUAUCAAUUAAUUUUUGUUUAAAUUUUUAAUGAAAUUCCUCAAAAAUUCAUUAGUAAAUUGAAAAAGUAACGUAAAAUAUUUAAAUAUUUUAGAAUUGGUUAUAUUAAUGUUAUUUAACGUUUUAAAUAUUUAAUAUUAAAACAAUAUAAAAAAAUUAUGGUUUGAAUACUAAUAUGAACACCUUAUAAUUUAAAUAAUAUUCUUAAUAAUUUUUUACAGGUUAUUUAUUUUAUAUAUAUUGUUAAAUUAAUUUGUUUUAAUGUAAAAAUUGUAAAUUGUAAAUUUUUCAAUAAUUUUAUAUUUAUUUUUGUUCUACUUUAAUCAUUAAAUGUUGUUAAUUCAUUUAAGUAAAAUUUUAAAAUAAAGAGAUAAUUUAUUUGAAAUCAACUUUAGAUUUAAAGUAUAAAAAAAUUUAAACAAAACACAUGAAAUAACUUAAAAAAAUAAAAGGAAGUGAGUAAAAGAAUAAUUUAUCCAAAUUAAAAGUAAUAUUAAUAAAUAUUAUUGUUCAAGAAAAAAAUAUUUCACACUUCAAGGGUGGCUGGUAGUUUUUAGUACUUAUAAUUUGAUUUUUAAGUAAUAUUUUAACUUAAUUAAGUGACAUUAAACUCAGUCAACAACAUUAUAUAUAGUAUUGAUAAUUUUUAAAGAUAUUAUAAUAUCAACACUUAUAUAAAUAUUGUAUAAAAUAAAUUAUAUAGGAUGAACCUGCUGGGUCUGUCUCGUGCACUAGGUACAAUUAUAUGUGUUAACUGAACUUUUAACCAACACAUGUAAUUUAAUUAGCCUAAUAACUAUUUUUCUAUUUCUCAAAAUAUUAAUUAACUAAAUUAUUUUUCUCAAUUCAAUUUUACCAUUAAAGUCAUAAUAACUUUACUGUAUUAGAAUUUAUGAGAAAAAUAUAUUUAAUUGUCAUGUUCUAUAAAAUUACAAUGACUUAAUUUUUAUGUUAUCUUUUGUAUUCAAUGAGAAAACGCAAUUGCUGCGGAUAGUGAUACAUGCGAUCUCUCAUUCCAUAGCUUUGGUUUUACAUGCAACUGUUUGAGUUAUGUCGAACUAGUGGAGGGAUUGGUUGGAUAUAUAUAACUACGGCUCAAAUAAUUUAUAAUUAAGUUUUGACUCUUCAUCUAAUAAUUAUAAUAUUAUUUAAUCACAUAGUCAUUCCACUAAAAUGUCAUGAUUGAACUCUCCCUUACUAUAUACCAUUAUGAAAUAACAUGAUAAGUGUUUGUUCAACGACCUUGUCAUAAAUGUGUUAUCCUCAUAUAAUAUUCUUAAUCCCUUUAGAUUAGAUCCAUUCACCCAAUAUGAUCCUAUUAUAUCUCAUGGUGACUAUUACAUUUUCCUUCAUGAAAAAGUCAAAUACUAAUAGGGGCGUAGCCAGAGGCGGCAUGCCUUGUCGCCCUAUUAGCUCAAUGAAAAGUUUCCUAUGUAGCCCUUCUCCAAAAAAAAAAAAAACAACAACUCAAUUUAGCCCUUUUCAACCUCUGAUUAAAUGGAAAAAUUAUAAAUUUAGCCCUUUUGAAAUUUUAAUAUUUUAAGUUAAGCAUUUUUAAUACAAAAUUUUUAGCUUUGAACACUAAAAACAACCCUCAUUCGAAAUGAACUGAUAUAACAUGAGCAGGAGAUGUCACGUUUGAACACUAAAAGCUACUUAAUUUAAACAUCAAUUUCAAAAUUGUACAUAUCUAAAACUAUAACCCUACUUUAAUAUCCUAAAAUCGAUACUCAUGGGUGUCAAGUUCAAUUUUCUUUUUAAGAGAUUCUUUUGAAAAAGACUCUUGAUGGGAGCGAGAGAUUGAUAAGACAUUACAUUGACCUUAAUACUUAUGGGUAUUGAGUUUAUUAAAUUGUAUAUAACCUCUCAUGGUUGUCGAUUUUAGCAAUGUAUGUGGCUAAACUAUACCCCAAACCUUCAUCUAUUUGCUAAUAGCCUUAAAAACCAUCACCUUUCUAAAUCUUAAGCCAUUUUCGUAAACACUUCACUAUAAAUAAAAGCAUUUGAUAAACUCCCAUUUCAAUUAGUUUCCUCCGGUAUUUUUUCCCAUACAAUACUUUGUCUGGUCGAGGAUUUCACUAACCCCUAACUUCAACCAAAGGAAACUCCAACUCUCUUAAUUUGGUAAGUGUUGAAACAUUGUUUAUGUAUGAGUAGACUUUCUAGCCUAAUCGUAAAUAAGUUUAUUGUAACCCACAACUUCAAAUUAAGGUUAGGGUAGAAGAUAUCUCCAAACCCAAUUGAUACUUUACCUAUUUUAAAAGUCUGUUAUUACAUAGGGAUUUGAAACAAAAUAGUUGACUUAUUCUUUGGUUAGAGUUAUCCUUUAUAUGAGAAGGGAUUGAAGCUAUAAUAUGGCGGAGGAAAAUAAUUUGACAAAUAUUUGUAUAAAUUUUUAAUUUAGGAAUAUAUAUUUAAGAAUCAGGGUUAAGUGUUAGUGUUGAGGAUUUAAAGAAAUGGAUUAAGGGUUCUUAGUGCUUCAAGGAAGUAGCAAAGUGAAAAAAAAAUACAAAUUGGAAAACCCUUCAUAAUUAGGCUCCUUAUUCAACACAUAUAUCUUUACUUAACAAUAGCAAUGUUAGUAAUUUUGGAUUAGGAAAAUGGGAUAAGGUUUCUCUAUAAUAGAGAAAAUUUUUAUGGGUUUCUUUAAAUGUAGGAACACUUUAAAAAGUUACCUAUUUUUGAGAAAAAUAAUAUUUAAUGGCUAGAACAAAUAUGCCUCGGUUUUUAACUUUUGGUGGGUUUAGGGUUGGCAGUGAAGACCAUCAAAAGUCAUUGAGUAGUCAAGUGCUAAGGAUCUCCAUGAAAUGGGUUAACAACAUUGGGGCAUCUAGGAUUUAAUGUUUGUAAUUGUGGUGGCAUGGAUGACCUUUGACAUCUAUGGAUAACAUUUACACUGAUCUAUGUGCUUAUAUUUGCAGCUUAGACAAAUGCAUCCAUGGAAGAGGAAGAACAAACCAGGGAGUCAAAUGUUAGGGAUUGGAGAAAUGGGUUGUUAAUCGUGGUCGCAUGGAUGAACUUUAGAAACCAAAAAGACAUAAACAUUAUAAAUUGCUUUAGGGUUCAAAAAAAUGAGUUAAGUUAUUUUUUUAUGUGUAAUGUUAUGUUAUUAACUAAUUAGUUGUCUUAAAGUGUAAUCUGGUGUAAAUUAAAUUAUAUUUUAAAUAAUUUUUUUGAAUUUGGGGCUUUAUUUUUAUGUUAUGUUAAUAAAAUUAUGUCACACAUUUUUUUUAUUUAACAUACAAUUUGCAUUCAAUUAUGAUAUUAACUGUAUUUAUUAAAUGUUAUUAUAACGUACAAAUUACUGAAUUGUUUUAUUUAACAUCAACAAAUUCUCACAACACUAUAUUUUCACUCUUCUAGUAAGUUGUAUAGUCAUAGGUUGGAUCAUCUAUUAAAAUAUCAAACCGUAAUACUAAUAUAAAACAUUUAGAUUGUAAUGCAUUUGUAACAUAUGUGUCUAAUUACCUUCUAGCAAGAGGGAAACUCAAAUAUUGAGAGAGGAUAAGUGCUAUCGACAGAAGUUGAGACUAUUUUUAUUAGUGUAAAAUCACAAGGAAAUCACUUACUUCAUUGUCCCAUUCUCUAAAUGCCUUACAGAACGGUUCAUAUAAGCAUGCAAAAACCAUAGCCCGUGAAUUAUAUGUUCAAGUCAUUUGGAAAUUAGAUAAUAGUUAGAGAUACAUGGUAUCAACUUUGUUGCCAGGAUUUUUUAGCAUCAACACACCUCCAGUCAAUUGAAAAAUGUACGCUUUGACAUCACAUUCAACAUUUUCAAUAGUUGGAUUGUUUGAGAGAUACUCGAAAGUGGUUUUUAACCAUGAUAACUUAAUCCAAAACCUUUCAACAUCAUCUACAGGGACAUCAUCCACAGGGUUAUAAGUUAUUCUAAGCACUCUAAUUAGAUUGAAUGCAAAAAAAAGUUAUUACUAAAAGUUCAUCCAUUAGAAGUAUUGUCAAUAAGGCUACAUCUUCCAACAUUAUGUUUUUUUUAGAUCUUUCUCAUUUUCAAAGUUUUAAAACAAAGUUGUUUAUUCAAAUAAAAAGCUACCCUUAAUAAAUUAAUGUGAUAACCACAAAUGGACACGCAAGUGUUGCCAUUAUGGAAAUGUAGCAAGGGCAAAUCAGUCAGUAGGAAGAGAGAAAGUAAUUGAGAAACUGAGCCUUUUUGUCCUCGUAAAAUUCAUUCAAAUCCAAGGGUGAUUUGGGAGCAAUAAAUGAGGGUAGGUCCAUUUCCAAAAGAAAAAAAAAAGGUGACGACUAAAAAAAUAAAAAAAAGUAUCUGUGUAUUUUUAUUAUUUUAGAAAAAGUAAAAAAAAAUCAAAUAAGGGUUUUUUAAUCAUCAUUUAAAUUAAUAAUUUCACUUUAAAUAAUAUUUUAUAUUUAUUGGACGUGAAAGUUGAUUGAAAUUUGGUUUAAUAGCAGCUUUGAGGUACGGAUGCCAUGCCAAUCUCUCUCUUCCCUUUCUCUCUCUAGGGCUUUCUUUGUCUCAUAUUGGCUUCACCUUCAUGUCUCUCACUUUCUCGCCUCAGAUUUUCUUUCCAAACAAGCCUUAGACUGAGAAACCCCUAGAAAGUCCUAGAGAAUUUCACUCUUUUCCUCUUUCUAUUCGGUUCUGCCGAUUGAAGAAAACCUCAUAGAAGCUGUAGAUCACCAACGUUUCAACGCAGUUGGAUCCGGUUCACUGAGACAGCGACAUCCUGUUUGGUGAGUGUUUCUUAUGAAAAGCGCCGCAGUUUUAUUCCAUACCGCUUCUGUUUUUGUUUCCUGGAACUGAGAAACCCGAGUAAAACAGGUUAUGUUCUUAUUGUUAGGUUUUUUGGAAGAAGCAUUAGUUUUUUUCAGGGUUCGAUAGUUCGUGUAAAAAGAAGAAAAACGGUGGCGUUCUGUUGGGUCGGCGCUGCCUCAUGCGAUUUGAUGCCGCCAGAACCGUUGCCUUGGGAUCGGAAGGAUUUUUACAAGGAGAGGAAGCAUGAGAGGACGCAGUCGCUGCCUCAGCAGCCACUGACGGCUCGAUGGAGAGAAUCCUCUUCCAUGUCGCCGUAUCAGCAUGCGUCUUUUAGAGAAUUCACUCGUUGGGGAUCCGCUGACUUCCGUCGUCCUCCUGGUAAGUUCUUUCCAUCCUUUUUUAUGCCGUUUGUUUCAUCCCCUUUCUCUUAGUUUAAUCCCUAUCGUUUGAAAGUAAGGAUUUUACAAGCAUGAAUUUGGUGUGGUGGGUUAUUUUUUUUGGUGUUGGGAAUUAAGGACUGGUCAGAUCUAUGGGUUUUUAAGUUUUGGUUUAGUUUCUUUUGGGAACAUUUGAUUUUUUUCUGUUUAUUUCAUUUUAGAUCACACAUCUUCAUUCCAAUUGAAGGAGAUUUUUCUUUUUACCAGUUAGUUUUUUUCCUACUCGUUUUGCUUAUUGCUUUAUUUAAUAAAUCAGCGUUCUUGAUUUUCUGCUUAGUGUUUUCUUUUCAUUAGGGAUAUUUUGGUCUUCAUAUUUUUUUGGGUUAUAGAAGAACAUAUACUUUGAUUUUGAUACAUGGGGAUUUUAAAAUUGUUAAUGAUACGCUACCUCGCCUUUUUGGAGAAGGAUGAACCUUUUUUUGGUUUUCUGGGUUCUAUUUGUUUGUGGAUCGUUGGAGGUAGAAACUGUUGAUUUUUCUUUGGUUCCAUUUACUUUGAUCUAUAAAUGGAGAAUUCUAGUUCUCUAAGAAAUAUCCUUCUUUUCUUUUUGUUUUCCCCCUCUUUUGCUUUUAAGAUUUAAGGUUUAUUGAAUUUCUUUAUGUUUUAACCCUGGAUUUGGAAGGUACAUAUACAUUGCACGUGUUGAUACUUUUGUGUUUUUCCUUUGUUGCUUCAAUUUUUAUGAAGGUCAUGGUAGGCAGGGCAGUUGGCACCUGUUUGCUGAAGAAAAUGGUGGUCAUGGAUAUGUUCCAUCGCGAUCAAGUAACAAGAUCUUGGAUGAUGAGAAUUUCCGUCAGUUGGAUUCUCGUGUAGAUGGGAAAUAUAGUCGAAACAGUAGGGAAAACAACAGAGGGUCUUAUAGCCAGAGAGAUUGGAGAGGUCAUUCAUGGGAAAACUGCAAUGGGUCCCCAAGCACUCCUGGGAGGCCUCAUCAUGUCAAUAAUGAAAGGAGGUCAGUGGAUGAUAUGCCAACAUACCUUUCUCAUACUCACUCUGACUUUGUAAACACAUGGGAUCAACUUCAAAAAAGCCAGCAUGAUAAUAAGACAAUUGCUGUAAAUGGGUUAGGCACAGGACAAAAAUGUCAGAGUGAGAACUUAGUAGGCUCGAUUGAUUGGAAGCCUCUGAAGUGGACUCGCUCUGGAAGCUUGUCUUCACGGGGUUCUGGCUUUAGCCAUUCAAGUAGCUCAAAGAGCUUAGGUGGUGUAGAUUCUGGUGAAGGGAAGCUUGAGUCGCAACAGAAAAAUUUGACCCCUGUCCAGUCUCCUUCUGGGGAUGCAGCAGCCUGUGUCACAUCUCCUGCGCCUUCUGAUGAGACAUCGUCAAGAAAGAAGCCACGCCUUGCAUGGGGUGAGGGUCUGGCCAAGUAUGAGAAAAAGAAAGUUGAAGGCCCUGAUACAAGCAUAGAUAGAGCUGGGGCUAAAAUAUCUGUCCGUAAUACAGAAUUUAACAAUUCUCUGAGUUCUAAUUUGGCAGAUAAGAGCCCUAGAGUCCUUGGAUUUUCUGAUUGUGCUUCUCCUGCAACUCCUUCAUCUGUUGCUUGCAGUUCCUCUCCUGGUAAAAAAAUAGUUUCUUAAAUAUUUAUUCAGUUUUAAGUAGAUUACCUAAAACAAGUAUAUGAUAUCAUUGACAAUGUUAUUGAAGGUAUGCCUGCACGAUGAAAUGGAUUCUUGUCAGCAUUUUGGAGUUACACAAUCUAUAUGCUUUUACUGACUAUUCUCUUCAUAUACCAGCAAUGAUUGACUGUCUUGUAACUUAGCAUGACCCUUUGUUAGAUUAUAUGUUCCUGAUUUGCCACUUUUCCUCCUCUCUGACAUUUUUAAUAACAUAAUAAAUAUAAGGUUGGAUGAUGAAUAAAGCAUGCACAACUGUUUUAGUAGGCCCACAUGCCGAUUAAAUUGAUGUUUAGAACACUGUUAUUGUUAUUUUAAAUUGUACAUACUCCUUUUGAAGACCAUGGAAAAGAUUGACAGAGACAUGUUUCUUUUCAUUGCUAUAACAGUAUGCUUGUUUCUCAUGCUCUAGGAACCACUUUUUCAGUACAUAACCAUUCUUGACUCUCCACUUCCCCCUUAAAGCAUUGUCUUUAUGAUUGUAUGAGGUGAUUGCUGUUUUCCUUUUAUCAGUUCUUAGGUUCCAGUUAUUGAUGGGUAUACCUUACCAUGUAGAAUUAUAGAGCCUUAUUUUUAAGGAGGAAAAAGUCUAACAUCUGGCUAGAUUGGUUGUUCUCGAUUGGGAAUAUGACCAUGUCAUAACCAUUUGUUGGAAGGAACUUUGCUUUUCGCUGCAUUUGGCAUUGCUUUAUUGUUGACUGGCUCAUUCUUGUGUUAUCUUGUUUAAGUUUCACAUUCUUAAAUGGUGUUAUCCCACUUCUGUAAAUAUUCGGUCCCCUGUCUUAUAUUCUAGUUGCACACUUCCACCUAUUACCAAUUGGUCUUGGUGGGUGUUUAACUUGGUAUUAGAGCCUACAGUUGCUCUGUAGCUUCCCCCAUAUGAGGUUGACAACUCUAGUGAGGUUCAUAUGUAGGCCAUUGUUGAGCUACAUGUGAAGGGUGUUUAGUAGUCUUAUCUCACAUCUAUUCAGUUUUGGUUGUCUUGUGGUCUUAUAUAUUCGAUUUGGCUUAUUCCGCUUACUAACAAUUUUUUUAGAUUAGAUGUUUGCACUUGUAGCUUCCAGGCCAUGUCCAAAUUAGAGGGUUUGUUAUAUGUAUGUAGUCAUGAAUGCAUGUGUGUGCCUGUCUGUGUGUGCAUAUAUCAGAGACUAUCAAAUUGCUGGAUGUUAAAUGAUUCCCUUCUGCCUUUUAUCUUUAUUCUUGCAUAUUGGUUGCAAUGGGUAUACUUUCUCAUUUAUCACCACAAUACCGCUGGUUGUUGCAGGUGUGGAAGAAAAAUCAUUUGGCAAAGCUGCAAAUGUUGAUAAUGAUACUAGUAAUUUAUGUGGUUCUCCAACUCUUGGCUCUCAGAAUCAUCUAGAAGGGCCCUCUUUUAAUUUAGAGAAAUUGGAUAUCAAUUCAAUUAUCAAUAUGGGCUCUUCACUUACUAAUUUGCUUCAAGCUGAUGAUCCUUGUACAGUGGAUUCUAGUUUUGUUCGCUCUACUGCAAUAAGUAAGUUGCUACUAUGGAAAAGUGAUGUUUUGAAGGCUUUGGAGAUGACUGAAUCUGAAAUUGAUUCACUUGAAAAUGAACUUAAGUUGUUGAAAGGUGACUCCAGGAGCAGAUGUCCUUGCCCAGCAACAUCCAGUUCUUUUCCUGUCGAGGAACAUGGAAAAGCUUGUGGGGAGCAGGAGGCUGCAUCUAGUCAGAUCCCUCGACAUGCCCCUUUGCAGAUUGAUGCUUGUGGUGAUGUUCUUGUUGAGAAGCAACCCCUUUGUAAUGGUGUCCUGGAAGAAGUUAAUGAUGAUGUAAAAGAUGGGGAUAUUGAUAGUCCUGGAACGGCAACAUCUAAAUUUAUGGAACCAUUGUCUUUGGAGAAAGCAGUUUCUCCAUCUGAUGUAGUGAAGUUUCAUGAAUGUUCUGGUGAUUUUGGUACUGUUCAAUUGAUGUCAAUGGGGAAGGUGAUUUUAGCUACUGGUUCAGGUAAUGAAGGGACUGCCACAACCAUUUCUGCAGAAGGCAGUGUGCUAAAAAGGAUUGAUAAUGAUGCACAUGUUCCAGAAUCAUUUAACUCUGAUGUUGGCGGAGAGAAUGUAAUGUACGAAAUGAUAUUGGCCACUAAUAAGGAAUUGGCUAAUGUAGCGUCUGAAGUAUUUAAUAAACUAUUGCCUAAAGAUCAGUAUAACGCUGAGAUCUCUGAAAUUGGCAAUGUAGCAUGCACACAGUCUGAUUCAGCAAUCAGGGAAAAAAUUGCAAUACGGAAGCAAUACUUAAGAUUUAAGGAGAGAGUUUUGACAAUUAAGUUUAAAGCAUUUCAAAAUGCUUGGAAGGAAGAUUUGCGUUCACCUUUGAUGAGAAAAUAUCGUGCAAAGUCCCAGAAGAAGUAUGAAUUCAGUUUACGAUCUACACACGGUGGCUACCAAAAGCAUCGGUCCUCCAUUCAUUCACGGUUCACUUUUCCUGGUAAUUGUUUGAGCCUCCUGCUUAAGAAUGGUUUAUAUUUGUUGCAAGUUUUAUUGUGAUUUUGCAUGUGGCUGAGUGGCAUUACUUUAAUUUAAGUUUGUAAUACUUCAUUUUGUUUCCUCUUAUCUCUUGCCUUUUACCUUUUAUCUAUUUCAAUUUUUAUUGGAAAUGAAAUUAUUAUGUAAUUGUAGCUGAAAAAUCAAUAUCGGAAAUAGAGGAAAAUCUUGAAUGCAAAAUGAGGACUAAGCUAGGUUUCUUCUAUCAUAGAGUCAAGUGGAUAAAUUUAAGUUCGGUUCUCCCAUGCCAAGAAAAUAGAUGUUGAAAUUUAUGGUACAUCAAGGCAAUUCAAGGAAAGAUUUGAGUUCAGUGGAUAUUGAAUCAAAUAGUAAUUGAUACUAACAAGGUAUACAAAAGCUUCAUAACAUAAUGUUAGUGCUGGGAAGAGAUUAUUGCUCUACAUGAACCUUUGUUCACGGUGGAAGAUGCAUCGUUUGGCAUAUAAUGAAGUUGAAAUUCUCUGUUGGUUACUAUGUUCUAACAUCAUCCAUGGUUUUAGAGAUUCUGAGUUUUUUUGUGGAUAUUUGGUAAUAACUGGAGUAAAUACAAGGUGCUGUGCUUUGACCUUUAUCUGGUGAAAUUCAUUGCAUUUAUUGUGAAAACCUAGCUAUGAUCACUUGAAAUUUGGUAUAUUGGUGUUACAAUGGCUCUAGGGUACUAAAACCAGUCUGCCGCAUUUGUCUCCAAGUUGGUGUAUGGUAAAUUGUAGGGUUGGUUUCAUCUUCCUUCCAUAUUAACAUAUGUUCUGUUAGUACAGAUUACAUGCCUGCAAGACUAUUAUGAUCAUCAUAUUUGAUUUGGCUGAAUUGUAUGCCACUGCAAAUGAUGGAUUGUCAAACUAAUAUCUAUGACGUAUAUUGUAUCAUCUUUUAAAGAAUCAGGUUCUUUCAGAAUUAUUGUUGUGACUGAAAUUUUAUGUUUUAGUCGAUGAACUGAGAUUCACUUGAUGGCUUUAGUUUUCCUUGUGAAAAUUUAUAAAGCCACUUUGAGUGUAUUGUAUUUUCCUGUAUUUUGUUUUUCUCUUAAAUGCUUUGAUCUAAGCAAAUUGUUUUUCGUAAUUAUUGUAAUGGUUUUCAAUUGUUUUUUCUUUCUUUCUUUAAAAAACCCUAGUAAAUUUAGCAAGGUAAUCAUCACUUUUGAUUUGGAUUUUCUUCUAGUUUUUGUCUGUUUUUGCUUUCUUUUCUUGAAAAUUGUUUAUUUAAAGAUUAAGUUAUUGCUAAUGAUGUAUAUUGUUACUUUUGGGGGUUGUUUUUGUAGCGGGAAAUCCGAUCCUGGAACCUAGUGUGGAGAUGAAUUUUACUAGUAAACUACUUCUAGGUUCCCAUGGCAGGCUUUACAGGAAUGCUUUGAAAAUGCCUGCAUUAAUUUUGGAUGAGAAAGAGAAAAAGGUCUCGAGGUUUAUCUCUAGUAAUGGAUUAGUUGAAGAUCCAUGUGCCAUUGAGAAGGAAAGAGCUUUGAUCAAUCCUUGGACAUCCCAGGAGAAGGAAAUUUUUAUGGAUAAGUUGGCUGCCUUUGGGAAGGACUUCAGAAAAGUUGCUUCUUUUCUUGAUCACAAGACAACUGCUGACUGUGUUGAGUUCUAUUACAAAAAUCACAAAUCAGAAUGUUUUGAGAAAACAAAGAAGAAUGACCUGAGUAAGCAGCAAGGGAAAUCUGCUGUGAAUACCUACUUGUUGACAUCGGGAAAAAAACGGGGCCGUGAAUUGAAUGCAGCUUCCCUCGAUGUUCUUGGUGCAGCUUCAGUUAUAGCAGCUCAUGCAGAGAGUGGCAUGCGAAACAGGCAUACGUCUGGUAGGAUCCUUUUAAGAGGGCGUUUUGAUUCUAAAAGAUCUCAACUUGAUGAUAGCAUUGCUGAAAGGUCAUCUAAUUUUGAUAUUGUUGGAAGUGAUCAAGACACUGUUGCUGCUGAUGUCCUAGCAGGUAUAUGUGGUUCUUUCUCUUCAGAGGCAAUGAGUUCUUGCAUCACUAGUUCUGCUGACCCUGGAGAGGGUUACCAUCAUGACUGGAAGUGCCACAAAGUUGAUUCUGUGGUUAAAAGGCCUUCAACAUCUGAUGUGUUGCAGAAUGUUGAUGGGGAUACUUGUUCGGAUGAGAGUUGUGGGGAAAUGGAUUCUUCUCAUUGGACUGAUGAGGAAAAAUCUGCCUUUUUACAGGCUGUCUCAUCUUAUGGUAAAGAUUUUGAUAUGAUUUCACGAUAUGUUGGUACAAGAUCCAGGGACCAGUGCAAGGUUUUCUUUAGUAAGGCUCGUAAAUGCCUUGGACUGGACUUGAUACAUUCAAGAACCAGAAACAUGGGAACACCCAUGAGUGAUGAUGCCAAUGGUGGUGAGACUGACACGGAAGAUGCUUGUGUCCAAGAGAGCUCAGUUGUUUGCAGUGAAAAGUUGGGAUCUAAAGUUGAAGAGGACUUGCCUUCCACUAUUGUGAGCAUGAAUGUUGAUGAAUCUGAUCUUACCAGAGAAGCGAAUUUGCAAUCUGACCAUAACAUAUCAGAGGGAAACAUUGAGAGGCUAGUAGAUCAUAAAGAUUCUGUGGCCGCAGAAGUUAACUUUUCCAAUGUGGAUCAAACCGAGCCAAUGUCCGAAUGUGGUGCUGGUGAUAUGGAUGUUGAUAGCAACCAGGCCGAGUCACUACAUGUUCAAAAUAAUGUUGCUUUGGCCAAUUUAAGUGCUCUAGAAAAUCAUGUUGCUGAAGAGGGUGUUUCUGGUGCAGUAUCAGCGUCUCAUAGGGGGACAGGAGAUUGUCAUCCUAGUUUAGAUGCUUCAGUUGAGCCCAAAUCUGGUGCUGCUGCUUUGUCUACUGAGGGGUUUGGAAAUAAUUUGGAGGCACAGGAAACUUUUUCAUCCAAAAAUGUUAUGGAUGUCCGUGAUACAAGAUGCAAUGCGGAGAUUGGCAGUCAAGUUAUUUGUAGGCCGGAUUUAGAUAAAAGUAGUGGUGAGUCCAUUGAUAAAAAUUCUUGUUUAGAUUUUAGCUUCAGCUCCGAAGGUCUGCGUCAAGUUCCUCUUGACUUGGGUUCUGCUGGAAAGCCUUCUAUCUUAUUAUUUCCAAAUGAAAACUUUUCUGCUAAAAAUUCUGCAUCACAUUCUGAUGCCUCUCAAUGUGAAAAAAUUUGCAACCAAGAUAGGUUGUCAGUGACACUUGCUUAUCAGGGGAAUGAAGACAAACAGCCUAACAAUGCUGUUAGUGGACAUGAGCCUGAGCAUUUAUCUGGAAAGCCCUCGGUGGAUCUUGCUGAAUUGCAAAUCUCCACUUUGAAAGAAAUGGAUAUUGAUAUUGGUCACUGUCAGUUGCCUGAAGUUAAAAGGCUUUCGACCUCAGAAAAGGGUGUUACUGGUUCAUAUUUAGUUCAAGAUUUUCUUCAAAAGUGCAAUGGUCCAAAAUCACCAUCGGAGUUUCCACAACUUGUCCAAAACUUAGAGCAAGCAAACAGCAGGCCAAAAUUCCACUCUCGUAGUCUGUCAGAUACAGAAAAGCCUUGCAGGAAUGGUAAUGUCAAGCUAUUUGGUCAGAUACUCAAUUCCAGUUCCCAGGAUGAUGGGAAGGUCCGUUUCCCUGAACAGAGCAUGAAAUCUUCAAAUUUGAACUUCAGAGGUUAUAACAAUGUUGAUGGAAAUGCAUCUUUCUCAAAGUUUGAUCAAAAUAUUAUUUUUGCACCGGAAAAUGUUCCCAGGAGAAGCUAUGGUUUCUGGGAUGGCAAUCGGAUACAAACUGGGUUAUCAUCUUUGCCCGACUCUGAAAUUUUAGUGGCGAAGUAUCCUGCUGCGUUUGUCAAUUAUCCUGCAUCCUCAUCUCAAAUGCAGCUGCAGGCAUCGCAGUCUAUUGUUCGGAAUACUGACCGAAACAUGAAUGGUGUUUCAGUUUUCACCCCAAGGGAAAUAAGCAGCAACAACGGUGUGAUGGAUUAUCAAGUGUACGGGGGUCAUGAUUGUACCAAGGUGGUGCCUUUUGCCAUGGAUAUGAAGCGACGGGAGAUGUUCUCCGAGAUGCAAAGGCGAAAUGGGUUUGAUGCAAUUUCAAAUUUACAGCACCAGGGAAGGGGUAUGGUUGGAAUGAAUGUUGUGGGGACUGGAGUGGGAGGUGUUGUAGGGGGCUCCUGCCCAAAUCUUUCUGAUCCUGUAGCAGUACUUAGGAUGCAUUAUGCGAAGACGGAGCAGUAUGGUGGACAGAGUGGGAGCAUAAUGAGGGAAUAAGAGUCGUGGAGAGGUAAGGGGGACAUGGGCAUUCGCAGGUAGUAUAAAACCAAAAUCCUCAGCAGCAAAUAUUUCUUUGCUGCACACUGUAUAAUAGUUUUUUUGUCUUUGUUUUCAAUGAAAAUGAUGAUAGGGGCAAGCAGUGUCUUUUUUGGUAAAAAAUUAUUUAGGUCCCUUUGUAAUAUUUGCAGCAGCAGUCUUUGUAUUUGUUGUAUUUGAUGGAAAAUACACAAAAAUAAUCUGUCUAAAGUUUAGGAGGGCCAAUCCAGCAAUUUCACUGUGUCUUGUAGGGUGUAAACGAGAUACUUUGCUACAAGCUAUUCAAGUUCAGCUUGAAAAAAGUUUCGAAUUCAGUUAGAUGUGAAGCUGUGUUGAAUUGAGUAUUUUGCUUCUGCACGAGUUUAGCUUAUCUUUAUUGGUAUCGCAUUAUAAUUGAGAUUUGCAAGGGUUGAUCAGUUCAGGGGAAAUUUGUGUGCUCCGCAGGAGCGAGUUUUUUUAUAUUUCCCUUGCAUCUUGGGGGUAGUUAUACAAUUACAAUAUUUAGCAUCAACCCGUGAUUUUCAUCUUGUAAAAACCAUGUCAAGAGUAGACAAGAGUUCAAAGUCUGAAAUAUGUCUACAAAAUUGAUGCAAGUUUAGUAUGUGAAGCCAUUGCGCAAGAAAAUGACAGCCAUCUCUGUUGUCUAAUGCAAUGCAAUAGUAAGGUAUUCCAGGCAGGACACGGGUUUGAAUAUUAAAUUUGAUAUUGUUGAGAGAAGUAAUUAUAGAUCUUUAAAAACAUGAGUUUUCUUUGGCACAUUGCAUGUUUAUAGAGAUAUUACAAGUUUAAAUUUUGGAGAUGGCAUUGUUAAAAGGAGUAACCAUAUCCCUAAAAGGGUAGACUCUACUAUAAAAAUGAUAUAUACUAUCAUAAAAUAAAUCAUAAAAGGUAACAUUCAUAAAAAGGAAAAAGAACAUUGUAAUUGAACAGUUGAUAGAGCUAAAAAGCAUAAUUGAACUGUUCCGUUUAGUAUAAGAAGUAAAAUAUUUUUUGCUACAUCUUUGUUCUUUUUCUAAGGAAGUUUGUCAAAAACAUGUCAGGUAUAUGAAAUGAGCACGAAAACAUAGAAUGGAAAAUUCUUUGUUUAAAGCACAUGAUUAUAGCUUUAAACGAAAACAUAGAAAGGAAAAUUUAUUACUUACAUUUUCUAUGAGGGGCAUCAAUUCUAAAUUUUGAAAUCUAUUCAAUUUAAUCUAAUUUUGACGAUUUAAUCUCUAUACCAAAAUUAACUAUUUAACAUUUCCAUGAACUCUUGAAGUUAUUUAACAUUUCCAUGAACUCUCACUUCAAGUUUAAUUACCCAUGACUAGAUUCAAGCAAAAAAAAAAAAAAACCCAAUAAUCAUACAAAAUAUGCAUAAAUGGUAAACUUAAUAAAAAUAGAAAAAACUUGGGACUUUUUUGGAAAAGCUUGAAAGCAAUGAAAAUAGUAUCAAAGAAAAAAGAACACUUAAAACAAAGCUGAGUAAGAUUAAAAUAAAUAUUAAAGUGUAACUACUAGGAAAAUUGAAGUGUUAAAAGAUAAUUAACUCCUAUGUACAAUAAACUUAACUAACUUAACAUUAAGUCAUAAAAAAAAGAGUUUGAACAAGAAAAACACUAAACCCUAAGCUAAAAAGAUGAAAAUUUAAAAGUUUCUCAUUCUCCCAACUAAAAGUGACUUUUAACAUUUGAUUAUAAUCCAAAAUUUUGGACCAAAAUGUCUUUAGAUGUUAUAUUUUGAUUGGAGGUAAGGUUGGACAAGGACUACCCUGCAGUCAUUUUUUUGUCCCCUCACAACAGUGGUUGAAUUAGGGGAGUCUCAGUAUUACAAUGCCACUGAAGAUGACUUUAAUUCUCUUCAUUUUGUCAGAGGUAUCACGACUUUCAUACUUUGAUAUCGCGAUACCCUAUUCUAACUGAUUUUUUCUUCACUUCGGGCUACCGUCGACUCCUUAUAACACUCAAUUAACUCGUUGGAUUACCUAUGAUGCAUUUGGCUAACUCAAGUCUCAAAAAUAGCAUAAAUCUAACAAAAACAAUUUAUUAACAACCAAAAUUAAAAAUCAACAAAAGUAAAGAAAAUACACCUAAUUUACUUAAGAAUAAACUUAUUAAGUGUAAUGGAGAGCCUAAUUUGAUAUAUAAAAUUACGGCAGACUAGAGAGUAAGUAAUUUAUUUCAUUUUGGGACAUAAAUGAACAUCUAGGGAUACAUGCAAUGCACUGAGAAUAAGUGUUAUCUUAUAAAUUGGACUUGCUGGAGUCUGAAGGUGAAAGUGGUGUCAAAUACAUUAAACUCAAGAAAGAACUUGAACUCAAGAUUAAAUUUUGUACAAGAAAUCACAAGAAUAUCUGGAUGAGAAGUAUUCACCAUGGUUAGAAUUUGUAUAUGGUAAUAACUUUAAAUAGAUUUAUGGAUGGCAUUGUGCAAGCACGUCAAUAAUGCCCCUGACAGGCUGCUUGCCUUUAUCGUCCCAACUAGGGCCGAAUCGUCCUACUUCCCUAUCACGGGACCUGUUCAACUGUUGUGUCUCUUGGGUCAGGUAUUGCUUCAAGUGGCCCUUUUGGAUUACUAUUUCUACUGCAUCCUUCAAAUGGACACAAUGCUUUGUGUGGUGUCCAAGAGCGCCGUGAUAUCGGCAAUGGUGGUUGGAGUUGUUUUAGUGCUGGCUUGGUGGCAAAGUGGGUGGUGCCUCCAGAAAUCCUUGGUAUUCUAUUUGGUCAAAGAUUUGCGCUGGGGAGCAAGUAAGCUCAUGAUAAGUGCGAUACUAAUUGUACGAUGCCGAGACCUUUGAUCUCGGCUUGCUCUAUUUUCCCUAAUAGGUCUUAGGCGACUACAGGAUUGUACAGUAUUAACUCGUUGAUGGCCUCUUGAUUUGGAGGGUUAUACUGUCCAUAUCUCUUGUUGCCCACUCCAGAGUAAGUUCUUGGUUGAUAAUCUUAGAAUCUUUGCGGAGAAGAGAGGCGUGGAGGAUUGGCUUGUCUGGUAGUAAAGAUAGAAGACUUAACAUGAGAUUGUUCCACCUCAUCAUUUUUCGAACACCUGUAACUAUCUCGUACAAAGUGGAUAACUUGGUUGGUGGAUCACUGAUAAUAAUGUACCUUAAGUGCUGGCGAAAAGUCCCAGCAAUCAAGGCCUAAAUGGCCCACUCAUCUGUAACCCCUUUGGUGAUAAUUGUGGCAGUACUGAACCUGAAGUGACGAACGUAGUCAUAGGGAUUCGUUUGCUCUCUACGGAUGGUCAUGAGAUAGGUAGGGGAUUGUUGCAAUGUCUUGUUAGCCAAGAAUCUGCUCAUGAACAACUCGACUAACUGCUCAAAGGAGUGGAUAGACCCUUUUGGAAGAGAGAGAUACCACGCCCGGGAGGUAUGAGAAAGGGUCAUGAAGAAGGCUCAACACUUAACCACGUUAGACGCACCCAGGAUGUUCAUGUGGUUGUUGUAAUGGACUAAGUGGUCUUCCGAGUCCCCUGCGCCAUUAUUCGUGAACUUAGAUAACUUGAAGGAGGCCGAGAUGUUGAAGGACAAUACUUCAGGGGUGAGAGGCUCAUUAGAGUAACUCCAAGAAGUUUCGUCUGUUUUGGCCCCUUUCAUUUCUUGCAUCAUUUCCAUCUUGAAGGCCUUCAACUGCUCCUCCAAGGAAGUAUUAUUUCCUCGACCCCGAGUGUUCUGGGAGUCGACUAGUCGGUCGUCGUUAACGGGUCGUUAACGGGUGGAUCAUUGGGAUUAUGGUGCUCGUGGUCUUUGGAGACUGUGGAUUGAGCCUCAUCAUCUGGAUGUAUCAGAUCGCCUCGCCUCGCCUCGCAACUCUGUUAUCAGCUGCUCAUUUUGCUCGUUCUGCAGAUCGAGAAGGUGCUGACACCCUUGUUGCUCAUUGAAGUGAUGUUCCUGUUGAGAAAGCUGCUCUUCCAGACAUCUUAUUUUCUUCUGCACUUCUGAAGCAUAUGGUUGGGACCUAGAAGGCUGCUACUGAGAAGCCUGGUCCAAUGGUAUAGUGGUGACGGUCAGCUGAGCUAGAGAGUGGCAAGGCAAGCAGCGGCCUACUGCAAAUAAUGAGCUAUCUGCUCCAUAGGAUUCAAAGGAGACAUGCUAGAGGAUGGUUAGUUGGUGGAUGAGAAUAUUCUGGCGAAAGCGAGUGGCUAGCUUGCAAGAAUGCUCGAUCCUCUAAAAGGAAAACGGGAAGUUGAUUGGAAUCAGACCUUUCGGGCUACUGGUCCUUUGGUAACUAGCUGGUUGAUAGAGAAUCGAGGGGCAUCUCUCGAGUGGCUUACCGUGCUGCCACAUGUCCCGGGCCGGAGGGGAUGUAACAAUAUUAUUUAUUUUACCUUUUAUGCCUUUGUUGUAAGGCCUACCGAUGGGUCUAUUUGUCUCUGUUUCUUUUGUUUGCCUUAAUGGUUUGUUUUUGAGCUCUCAAGUUAUUGCUUAGUAUCUCACCGCUUACAUGAAUUUUUCUCCGAGGAAGGCUGGCUUUACUCAAAACUUGUUUGGCUCCUGUCCUUUACUUCGUCCAGCUUUUAAGAUUUUUUCAUUUGGGUAUGGCUAUUCUGGGAUUUUAGCGUGCAUGCCUUUUCUUUUUGUAUGGGAUCUCUACCGUAUUUGAUUCUCAUUUCAAUGAAAUCAUCUUUGAUUAAAAAAAAAAAAAGGAACUGCUUUUAGUUGGGAGCCAAUUCGUAUUUACAUUCAUAAAUGUAUACUUAAAUAUUUCAAGGGAGGAAAUCUGGGGUGAGCCUUCUUUUUUUUUUUGGGGGGGGGGGGGAUGAGGCACCUAUAACGUAGUUACUCCCUGCUACUACGGGCUAUCUUGAUUGAAUUGAAUGCAUUCAUUAUCUCUUUGCCCCUGUAGCAUAAAAAUCCAAAUAUCUUAUCCUCAAUCAUCUGAAACAAAUUCAGCCUUGAAAAAAAAAAAAAGAACAAUCCAUAUUUACCAGAAUGAAAUCAAAGAAAUAAAAACUUGGAACAAAUCAAUGGUGUCAUGAUAAAAAACUGAAAAUGAAACCCCAAAAUGCUUGAGCCAAGUUCAGAACUGCCAAAAACGGCAUCAUUUAGUUUGCUCUGUUGAAACAAUAUAUAUACCAAAAGGGCAAUCAAAUGGUCCUUGGUUAUUUCUUGAUGCAUUGAAGAAUUGGAAAAUAAUUCUGAUUCCUGGUUUUAACGGAAAAAAUUACUUAAAUUAGUUUAGGAACAAGCAAAAAGCAAAUAAAAUGUCAGCUGAUGGAACUCUUGUAAAGUAGCUUUUGAAGCAUAGUAAACUUACUUAAGGAUUAGUACCAUCGGUUGCUUUCUUGUAUUCAGGUUUCAGCUCAUACGAUCCUUGAUUAGUUCCCUUGUUGUUGUAUAUACACAGGUCUUUAAGUAUAUCUUUCAGAAAUUGCUUCAAAGAGAGAGAAGUCCGAAGAAGAAUCAGAAAACUGUCAACUUUUGGCUUUAAGGCAAUAAGUAAAAUAGUUUGUAUUAGUCAACAAAGAUCAAGAUUGCAUCAUUUAUGCUUUGAGUCAAUGACAGUUUAUCUUUCAAUACCAUAUCUAGUGGAAGGAAAUAUGUUAUACCCUGAAUUUUGUUUGCAGAUUGACAAUCCGUGUUGAAAAAAUCUUACACAAGCAAUCAAUACGUCUUCUGAUUGUCUAGAACCUCUAACCUUUAUAUAAUGUUUCCCUUAUUUGAAGUUCACUUUUUCAUUCUUUUCUAGGGUUAAUCAAAACUCACUGACAUGAUCCCUUAUAUAUACUGAAACCACCUGUAUCCGGAUCUGUUUUUCUAAAAAAAAAAAAAACAAUAGCCUACAUUACCUUAAGUCAAACAUGAGUGUGGAAUACAGGUCUGUGUCUAACAUGUACGUUCAGGUUUUCUUUGGAAGGUUCUUGGAAAGCCAUAUCUUUAUACAUAAAAUGUCAAACACAAGUGCUGGACACAGGUGCUUCAAGAAAAAUGAAAAGUUCAAGUAACAUAGGAAACAACAUCUACGCUAGACCAUAUUCAUCUCUAACACCUUAUGAAUCAUUUUUCAAGGCCCUCUUUAAUUUAAAAGCAGGGUUAGCUAGAAUUGAAUUAUAGGUAUGCCAAUAGCAUUAAGGGUGUGUUUGGUUGGGUGGAAAAGUAGAGCGAUGGGAGGAAGGAAAGGAAAAGUGGAAAGAAAAUGAAUUUUGAGUGUGCUUGGUAGGAAAGAAACGUGACAAAAGAAAAUAAGAGGGGAGGGAGAGAGAUGUUGAUACGGGGUUGCGCGCGGACCAAGAUCGAGUUGCCAAGUCACGAGAAACUUCUACGAAAACCCUAAACAAUUAGAUCUGAAACGAAACAGAAAAUUAAAAGAUUAGAUUUUUGAAUUUUCAGAUCUGAAAUAAAAUCCCCAAAACAGUAAAGAAUCAAAUAGAGAAUAGAAAUAAGUGUUAAUAAGGAAUCUUGAAACCCUAGAAGAGAUUGCGAUUCUGCCCAAUUGAACACCCAGAUAGUUUUCCCCAAAUUUCAGCAAUCUAAUUUCUCUCAAAAAAGAGUAUGGAUGAAUCGGCUAGAACCCUAGAAAUUGGGGAUUUUUGGGCUAAUUCCUUAAGAUAGAAAAAGGCUGAAAACACAAUAAGAACAGAAAAUAAAUUAGAUAAAGAUUCGGCACAAGCAGAAAUAAAGAAAGAAUUGACAGUAAGAAAUUAAAAGAUAAGUCCUAAGAAGCCUUGAAAUCCCGAAAGAUCUCACAACUCCCUUCAAACGGCUCUAAUCUCCCCUCCAAAGAAUAUCAAUGGCAAGAAGAAGGUUGAAGAUGGCUCCCACAAUCAAAAAGAUUGUUAAAACAACUUCUAAAGAAAACUCAAGAGAAAAUCCUUGAAGAACUCAAAGAGAAUUUUCACUCAAAUCAAAUCUGAAAUUUUCAAUGUAAUUGUAAUGUAAUGUAGGGUGGCUGGCCAAGCCAUAUAAAUAGGCCUUUCAAAUGUUUUCCUAAUUUAAUUAGAAUACUAAAACUAAAACUAAAAAAAAACUCCUAAUUAUUUUAAUAUGGAAAUUCGGCCAAGGGUCUUUUAUUUGGGACUCUUGGACUGAAUAUAAAAAUUUAAACUAAGUAAAAUAAAUAAAUAAAUAAAUAAAAAUAAAACUUUACAACUUGGGCCACUUUGACAAUUUGGCCUGAUUUUCAACUAAGUAUGGGUGGAUUUCUUGAUUGGGCUUGGAAUCUUCUUAUUGGGCCUUGCCCUCAAGAAUUUGGGCUUUUGUGACUCGUAUCAUUCCCCCCUUCCUCAAAAAGAUUCGUCCUCGAAUCUAAAAAAUCAAAUGAACUCGACUUUCCUCUAUCGAACGGGACUAAUGGCAAUUGAGUCCACUGAGAAGAAUAGCCAUGAGAUAGUAAAUAGCAACGGAAAUAAGCUUGUAGUCCAAUCAUAAGCAUAAUAGAACAGGUAUAACGCAUGUGAAUGGACAGAUUCAGAUUACCAUGCAAACAAUCUAAUUUACUCACCACUGCCUCGUCAAAUAUUUGAAACAAAGAUGGACAUGUUUUAAGGCAUUCAGUCGUCUCACAUUGUUCCCACAAACCAUGAAUAAAUUGCGAGUAAUAAAUCAAAUGGUAAACAUAAUCGUCACAAGUAGGUAUUUGAAAAGAUUCACAUGGUUCACAGAGUUGCAUAAUCAUACCAUGCAUUAAUCGACGGUCUAUAGAUUCACUCACACAUGCAUUAUCAAAAACAAGAAUCUUUUUAUCAACUAUCAAAACAGAUAAAUCAUCAAUAAAUAAAAUAGGACAGUCAAGCACGUUUCGAUCUAAGUGUUCAUCAACACGAUCUUUAUCACUAUCCGAGGAGUACAAAAGUGUUUCAAAGGUUUCAAGCAUCUUACCUCGAUAAGCAGAAGAAUAAGGGUCGAUUUUACCUUUUUCAUUUAAAACAAACCUUCGCUCAUCGGGGGCAUAGUGUAGUCGAAUCUUCGUUGUUGAGUUAACGUUUGUCAAAUGGAACUCAAACUUCAUGUACAACCACAUAAACUGUUUAAGGCACGAAUAUAAAUUGAAAACAAAUUUGGAAAAUUUCGUUACUUUAUUCUCCAAAACAGAUUUGGACAAAUUCAAGGAUUUUACACAAGGCAAAUCAAGAGAAUAACAAAUCACGCUUCUUUUCGUAAUGACUUUAUCAACCACAAUCGAAGAGUAACAAUUAAUCGAAUCAAAAUGAGGGAAUCUUUUAAGAACUAAGUCACCAAAAGUUUUAUCAAUAAUUUUCAAAUCUGCACUGGACUCGGUUUCUAAAAUUUCCUUACCUCGCUUACCUUCGGGAUCAUGUAGUGUGAUUUCAUCUUUGCCUAAGUUGAUCGUAUGAAAGCGUCUUUCAUUUGAGAGGUAUUGAAGUUGAAAGUUAUCUUUCGAUCUUUCGGGAACCUGAAAAGUAGCAACACAAGAAAAAUUCAUAUCUUGGUUAGUGGAAACAUUCCUCACUACCCUUUCCACGUCUUUUUCUUUUGUUUCUUUUUCUAAUUCAUUUUCUCUUCUUUCUUCAAUUUUUUUUUCACUCUCAAUCUCUUUUUGCUCUUUUUCAUUCUCUUUUUCUUUUUCCUCACUUGUUUUAACAGAAUUUUUCAGUUUGAUUUGGUCCUCAUGGACUUGUUCCGGAGUGAGCGGCACUAAGGUGAGUUUCUUUCCUUGAUGCUUGAAAGAAUACCUAUUGGUACGACCAUCGUGAGUGACUUUUCGAUCCAGCUGCCAUGGUUCUCCUAGCAACAAAUGGCAGGCUUGAAUAGGCAUUACGUCGCACACAACUUCGUCUUGAUACUUACCGAUAGAAAAGGCAAUGCGCACUUGUUGAGUGACCCUAAAUUGGCCUUCGUUGCUAAGCCCUUGUAGUUGAUAAGGUUGUGGAUGCUUGGUAGUGGUUAAGCAAAGCUUUUCCACCAUCGUCGUGCUGGCUAUGUUUGAGCAACUUUCACCAUCAAUAAUAACUCUACAAAGCUUACCUUGUACAUGACAGCGAGUAUGAAAGAGAUGUUCUCGUUGCUGCUCGCUCUUUGGUUUUGCCAAAGAUGAUUGUCCACGAUCAUGAAAAUCAUCAUCCAUUCUAGGGACACGUUGAGGGCUGCACCUAUGGGGCUGGUUAUCCCUAUCUUCCUUAAUUGGAUCUCGAUAUUGAUGUUUUUGAUUCACUCGUACCUCAUUCAAAGUAGUAUUCAAUGCUUGAAGUGUAGCAUUUAUUUGUGUGAUUGCAGCAGUAUGUCCGUCUAACUGUUGUUGGACUUUCAUAAGUGCAUCAUUAUUAUCACCUUUAGACAUCUUCAAAACUGUAAAAAAUAAACACUCAACACUCAAAAAUAAAAGUUAGCAAACCU
RNAcentral lists this long non-coding RNA (121315 nucleotides) under Gossypium barbadense (sea-island cotton). RNAcentral describes it as "long non-coding RNA (GBAR_LNC009681)". The record is from RNAcentral. Lineage: Eukaryota; Viridiplantae; Streptophyta; Magnoliopsida; Malvales; Malvaceae.